This 117343-nucleotide long non-coding RNA is filed under the name Malus domestica (apple). Its description in RNAcentral is "long non-coding RNA (MDOM_LNC004919)". Lineage: Eukaryota; Viridiplantae; Streptophyta; Magnoliopsida; Rosales; Rosaceae. The record is from RNAcentral.
AGGGUAGCUCUGUAACUGCUGUUUGACUUAAACUUAAGGACUUCAAAUGUUCCAUUGGCUCCAAAAUCUCUGGAAAGUUUUCAAAUUUAGAGCACCUAUGGAGAUCGAGAUUUUUCAACUUACACCUGCUGCUUGGAAGUUUCUUAAGGUCUUCGCAUUGCCUUAAAUUCAAGUAAGAAAUAUUUUCGUUACACCAAACUGAUUCAGGCAACUCCUUUAUACCACUGCCUUCUAAAUUUAAGUAUUGAAUAUUUCCUGGCAUCUCUGGAAGAUACUUGAGACUGUAGCAGAAUCCAAGAUCAAGAUGAGUAAGCUUGUCAAGAUGUUGAAAAUACGAAGGAAUUUCAACCAAACUUCGACAGUGCCCGAGAUUUAUCUCCACAAUUUUUAGACUUCUAGAGAGAUUUGGAACUUCAGUUAGAUUUGAACAGCCCCGGAGAUCAAUCACUUGUAAGUUGACAAGUAUCUGCAACAAAUGAAAUAGAAAUAUAAAGAAUUAAUAUAAUUUCUACACUUGAUUUUAUAGGUCGUACCCAGUGCACAAGGCUCCCGCUUUACGCAGGGUCUGGGAGAGGUGAAUGUCGGCUAGCCUUACCCCCAUUUCUUGAACAAUUGUCUUUCCCAUUUCUUGUAGCAUAUCGUGCAUCUCUAUGCUUUUCGAUCCCCAACUUGGACCAAUUGAUAUGAGACACCUAUUAAUGAGAAUAUCAAUUCCGGUUUUCGGAAAGCGUCCACAUGAAGCUAACCUUCGUUUUACCUCAACCACAGGCUCCCCUUUAUAAAAACAUGCUAUAUCCAGAAAUAUAUCCUUCUCAUUUUGUUCCAAUCCAUCAUAACUUAUUCUCAACAUUUUCUGGAUAUCUUUGCUGGGAAAUCGUUUCAAUUUGUUGAAUUCCUCUUCCCAUUCUUCUUUGCUCUUGUAAUUGAAGAACAAGGACCCCAGAACUAUAAGAGCUAAAGGAACACGUCCAGCAUAAUGCAAGGCCUUUUCUACCAACUCCUUAUAAUCUGUUCUACGAGUACUGUUAUCCUUGAAAGCACGCGAACAAAAGAGCUGAAGAGUGUCAUCCGGUUGUAAUCCCUCAACCUCGUAGAUAUUAUCCCCUUCAACAGUUUGCCCAAGUGUGCCCCUAUCUCUAGUUGUGAUAAUGAUUCUACUUCCAGUGCCAUACUGAAGACGAUCGCCAGCUAAACGUUCCAUUUGCAUUGAACUACUCACAUCAUCAAGAACAAUGAGGACCUUUGUACGACUGAGCCUUUCUUGAAAAGUUGAUCCUAUGGGCAAAAAAGCUUCUUCCUUUAAUAUCUCCUUAAAAAGUGUUUUUUCCAAGUGAUCUAGUCCACCUGCUUGUUCUGAGUUCUCCCUAACAUUCUUUAGAAAACAAGAAGCUUCGAAUUUAGAAGAGUGUCUGCGAAAUACAGCCUCGGCAAGGGUGGUCUUGCCAAUACCACCCAUGCCCCAAAUACCUACAGUGAUGCAAGCGCCCGGUAAAUGAAUGCCUAACAGCGAUUCAAUCUGCUCGAUGCGGCUUUCAAUUCCAACAAAACCCUUUAAAUCGCAGGAUGAUUCACGACACAUUUUGGCCCAAAUAUGAUCGACAACUUUCUGAAUUAGAUUUGCCUCCGUCUCCGUCCUGGAGUAUAGACGUAUAUGAUUAGGUAGAAAAGCAAUAGUUAGUCUCAAAUACGCUUUACCAAAUCUUAGCACAAAUCAAACUGUUAAAGAAAAUUUAUAACUUUAGACAAGUUAAAGAAUGAGCUAGUUACCCGGAUUUGUUUGAAUAAUCAAACCCAGAUAGAUUGGCUGCAGUCGUCAAAGCAUCCCUCCACUUGUGCACCUUGUCGAUACUGUUGUCGAAACGUUUUUCAAGUUGAGCAAAUGCAUCCGCAUAACUCCCGUGCUGUUUUCGUACAUCAGAUGGAUUGAUGUGGUAGAAUACGGGUAUAACCAUCUGGCCAUAUCUUUCCUUGCACUCGAGUAUGUGCACGAGUUCAUCUAAACACCAUGUGGAAGAAGCAUAGUUUUGUGAGAAAAUGAUCACCGAAAUCGUGGAUUUCUCGAUUGCCUGUAGAAGGGCAGGUCCGAUUUCUUCUCCACUCUGAAGUUUGUAAUCGAUGUAGGUUUCAAUUUUCUUCUGAAGUAAGGCAGCAUGUAGAUGGCUGGUAAUACCAAGGCAGGUGUCCUCGCCUCUGAAACUGAUAAACACAUCAUACUUUUUUCGACGUGGGGGGUUAUCAGCAGCGGAUGAUGAAGAAGAAGCAAUGUCCAUAACCUCUAGUUUUCAGAAACAGCAAAAAGAUGUAGUUGCAGAGAGAUUAAUUGUUGAUUAGAGAGAAAUAAUACUACGACGUUGCACCGAAUUAAGAGGAUGCAAGAGGGGGGGGGAGAGAGACUAGUUCAGAAUUUACUUGAAUUGGCUUUUGACUACAUGCACAAAAUUUCAAAGGCUCGAAAUCAACGAGUGAGAGAUACGAAAGUGGAAAAUUGGGCACAUGAUAGGACCUAUUUUCUUUAAAAACACUAUAAUUUAAAGAAAGAUAUUCAUAUAUUUGCAAUCUUAAUAUGAACAACGUCAUCUCAGCAUGUAAAGCAACUAGUAUUUGAAAACCAUAAAAUGAAUAAGUGUAAACCUUUUCUCCUUGCUUUGCUCCCCUCACAAUCAGUAUCAUCAUCGUCACCUGAUCGAUUCCUGCAAAUCAAGUUUUAGUUAUGUUUCAUACAGUCAAAAAACAAAAAUCAGAUUAUGCAUAUACCAAAAAACACCACACAAAAAGGAAGAGCCCUAUGCGAAAAAGGAUGCAAAAUCAACUUGAGACCUCUUUCUCCUGUUCUCUGCCUUGUUUUCUUUUUCCAUUUGCUCUCUCUUUCAAUCUUUUGUACUGAAGCUUUUUCAGAACCUGUGUUAAGAGAACCGUUGAAUCCAAACGUCAAAAGGAAGACAAUUGAUAAAGAUGCAAACAAAACAAAGUGACACCGGUGACAGGUCACCAGCCAAGAAAUUAACAGCAGACAUAACAAAAAUUAAUUAGCAAUUUAAAUGCCAGCAUAACAUAACACCUAAACUUAUUAAUUAAAAAGAAAUGACAAAAAAUACAGAAAGAGCCUUAAACAGUAUCAAUAAACGCUGACUAACCUCUGACAAGUUACCAAUUUGACGAGGGCUUAUUUGCUUUCUCCAGCUUCAAAAUAAUAUCCAAAACAAUUACUUUUUGCAUCAUCAGCAUCAGCAAGAGCAGCAGCGGAUGAAGAAGAAUACGAAGAAGAAGAGGCCAAUAUCCAUAACCAACCUCUAGUUUUCAGAUCCAGGAAGUAGUAGUUGCAGAGAGAUUAAUUGUGAAUAGAGAGAAAGAGAGAGAGACUGGUUCAGAAUUAAGGAGGAUUCAGCAAAGCAAGCGAGAGAGAGUAGUUCAGAAUUAAGGAGGAUAUAAUGAAACGAGAGAGAGAUAGAGAGAGAGAGAGAGAGAGGGAGACUAGUUCAGAAUUUACUUAGAAUUGGCUUUUGAGGAAAAGCAACGAGUAAGAAACGACCAGUUACAAAAGUAUAAAGGGGGCACAUGGGAUGUGGCCCUCCCUUGCGCGUUAUGCGUCCACGGUUUUGAAUCGGGAAUACUAGUACUAAAUUUGUAAAUUAUAUAAUGUGUGAUUACUAUAAAAUGAGCAUGUUUAUUAAUAUUUAAGUAAUAAUUCAAUCUUAAAUUUCUAUGUCAUUUAGUUUAUAAAUUUAAUCUCUCUAGCAUUACUCUUUUUCCAAUUAGUUGGUCACCAAUUUCUUCUAAGAAUUUUCCAAGCACUUUCGUUCGAGGAUAUUUUAAUAAGGUGUGUUAUCCACACACCUCAUUUUACUUCUCACACACCUCAUGUUAAUUUAUGUAUGUUGAUCUUCUUCAUUUCAUCUGAUUUGAUGAUCGAAAAUUAAAAAGGUGUGUGAGAAGUAAAAUGAGAUGUAUGGAUAUCACACCCCUUUAAUAAUUUUCACACAAAAAGUGCACUUCACACUACAAAAUCUUGGAAGGCAGAGUAAAACUCUCCAUAGCCUCUCUAGGCUCGAAAAUGGUAAAUAGUCGUGACUUGCCACCAUUUGUCCAUUUAAAAAAAAAAAAAUAUAUAUAUAUAUAUAUAUAUAUAUAGUUGUUGAUUGAAUAAGAUUUGGUAUCUGACCUUCCAAGCACAGGUGACAGAUCAAGUCAUUUGACUAUGAAUGAUUUUAUGAAUGAAAAAUCAUUAAGUCUCAGAGUCAUUUAGUUUGAUAUCAGCAUAAUGUAUUACAAACUCAUUAAAACUAUCAAUCUCAUCACCAUGCUAUGAUAAGAAUCAAACUAAACAUGUGAAACCCCACCCCCAAAUUUUAUGAAAUUCCACAUUUUACUUAAAGGUUUUCAAAUUUUUACAUUUCAGUCCCUCACUUCCUACCCAAUCAGGAUCCUCUUUUUAGAUUUCCUCUCCUCUCAUUGCUUGCCAUGAGGCAGCCCACUAACUCCUCCCUAUCACUCUUCCCUCGAGUUCACUCUCUUUCUCAGCUCACUCUUCUCUCACUUUCACACUAUUUCCCUCUCUCUUCCUAAUCGAACCCACACCCACACACACCCAUAAGGACACCCCCGACGAUGACACACCAUCGCCACCACCCUCGUGACUUUGUGUCCCUCUCUCCGCUUGGACAUUCUUGUAAUAGCACAUUCCGCUUGUAUUCUGAAUUAGAUGUAUGCUCUGAACAUGUCAUGCAUUAUCACUAUGCUUUCAUUGUAGGCAGUUGAAUAUUAUUAUAUUAUUUUAAGUAGUUUGAACGAAAUUUAUAUGCAUGUUUCAUAUGUUCUCAGCAUUUGCAUUCAUAAAUGGCUUGCAUCACCCUCAGGUGUCGGCCAUCACGUGACUAUCCCGAUGUCCCACGGACAUCAGGAUUGGGGCGUGUCAAAACAGGUCUUAAUAAUUAUUCAUUAAUAAUCAAUGGGCUAGUUUGCCACUUCUAUUUCUGAAGCUAUCGAGAGGUCAUAAGAGAGCCUGAAAUUAUGUGUCUUGUCCCAAGUAAACGAGUCAUGAUCCACCAUCUCUCUCUAUCCAUCUAGGCACCAAACUAAGCAAUAGACAGAUAGAGGUAGAAAUUGGGAAUAGAAAGCAAGCAAGGGAGGAGAGAGUAGUUGCCCGCUGAGACUAGAUCAGUUUGAGUUCAACAAUUGUACUAGUUGACCUGACUUACAAAAAGGUUACAAAAGUUCUCUAUGCUCUGGACAAUCAGACGGAGAUGUCGAAUAAAAAAAAACGGAUAAAUGAAAUUUCCCAACUCAAGAACCUUACUUUCCCCGUAUAAAAAUUCAAAGCAUUCCAACAUAUGAAGAAAGACAAAAUAAGGGCACACCAACAUCUGUUCAUAACUUUCAUUACAACCAAUGUCUUAAAUGUCAAUAAUAUCGGCGAUAUUUCGUCGAUAUUAUCGGUUUUUUGCUUUAGCGAUAUUUUAAUAGGUAUCCAAGGAGUUUUCGUCAAAAUAUCGCGAUAUUAUCGAUAAUAUCGCGAUAUUACCGAUAAUAUCGUGAAAUUUUGGAUCUGUGCAAAUCGGAGAAGAACGCCGGAGCUUCUACAGCUCCGGCCUACUGUAAAAGAGCACCCUAGACUCCGAUCUAGGUAUCAAAAUUAAAUAGAAGACGAGAGGAAUGUUUUUAUAACUUCUGUUUGCCGUGAAACGGUUGAAGGUAUUCGGAAAGUUCGUCGACAUUCACGGCCUCGCCGGAGCUGGGUGUGCCUUCCCCCGGGUCAAUCUCCUUCUAAAACCUUGUUAAAAAAAUCAGAUAAAACUUAGUAUAUCUCGAUUCUCAACCACACCACACAACAUCCAAGAUGAAUUGAGGGCUUACCUAACCGGAGAAGGAUCAAGAGAACUCGUCGGAGAGUUCCUGGGUUCCACUGUUCUAGCUGCACCGAGAGAAAGGGAGAGAAAGACGAGGUUUAGCUUGUCUCUGUGAAGAUGAGGGAAGAGAGAGUGCUGCCGACGAAUUUCUGCAGCGCGUCUGUGAAGAUGAAGGAGGAGACAGUGCAGAGAGAAACGUAUCUGUGAAGAUGAUGGAGGAGACGGUGCGGGGAGAGAGAGAGAGAGAAAGAAAGAGAGAGAGACUUUAACAUACCACCCAAGGUGGACGGGAGACUUAAACAAACAAAACCAUGGGCUCUGAUGGUUGUAACUUGUAAUUAUGAGGUGGACAGGUGACGUGAAAGAGGUGAGGUGCACCUAUGAUGGUUUUAACUUUUAAUAAUGAAGGCCAUCCAUUUAUAUUUUUAAAAGUUUAGGAUAUAUUAUAUAUAUAUAUAUAUAUGUUAUAUAAAUUAUAAAUUAUAGGUUAUUUAGAUAAUAUUUUGUUUUUUUUACUAAGCAAGCAGAUUAUAUUCGAACCCUCCCUUUGUCAACCAUGCACCUGAGCCUUAUCCAACUCGCUACAGAUGUGUUUGUGAUUGCAUAUUCAGCCUGUAAUAUUUAUAUGGUUGUUAAGAUGUCUGCAAGGCUUGCAAGCUAAUAUUUAUUAUCUAGGAUAAAUUUCUAUAUUUUAAAAAACACCAAGGUGAAAAUUUUGAACCUCAUAGGAACUCUAUGUGGUACUAAGUCACUCAUGUAUCUUACCAUACAAUGUAUAAAGUGUAAAAUAUUGUACUAAUUCAUUAUAUAUAAAUGAUUAUGGUGUGUUUAAACUUCUUUCAUUAAUUACUACAUAUUUUCUACACUCACAAUGUUUGCCAGUUCGCUAUAUAAUCAACUUGAUAAUGUUAAAUCCAUCAUGCAUUUCCUUCCAAUUUUUUGUGAUAAACUAAUAGAUAAUUGACUAAAUAAACAUCCUGCAAAGUUUCAAUAAAAAUUUCCAAGUUUUUCUUACAAUUUCCGUGGUUUCCAUAUUAUUUUUAUCGAUAUCGAUAAUAUCCCGAUAUUUCCGUAUUUUCGGAUUACCGAUAUUUCCGAUAUCAUCGAUAUUUAAUACAUUGAUUACAGCUGACAAGUCACAACUCACAAGUCAUCCCUUACGCACUUUAUGUACAAAGUUUUUUUUUUCUAUCGUACUAGUUUAAGCUUUGAUCAGCAAGCCGUCCAACGGAAUUUAAUCUUGACAAAGAUAGCUAACCUACACCUGGUGAGUCACCGUAGCACUCAGUAACGUACCAAAAUGUACACGACUCUUCAAUUGAAGAUAAAAGCAAACUAAAAUAUGUAUAGCCCUUUGAUAAAAUGUAUAUGUAUAUUCUAUAUAUGUGUGUGUGUGUGUAGGAGUGUGAUAUACAGGAAGUCAAUGAACAAUUGAUGUGAUAUACAGGAAGUCAAUGAACAAUUGAUGAGCCUGAUAAAAUUCUCUCUUUGUUGGCGAAAUGUUUUGAAGUCGAGAAGACCUCAUUGGUGAAGUUCGUAAGAUAGCAUUAAUGCAAAAGUUCGCGACCGUUAUUAAACGAUCUAAGACAAAUACAUGUGUUGUUAUUGGUUGCGAUAGACGUGGGUAUUAUUGAGUCUCUAAAACUUCACUAGAUGAAAGAAAGAGAAACUCAAGAUCUCUGCUCGUAAUUGUCCAUUCGAAGUCAGGAGGCAUCAAAAGAAACGUGAAGAAUUUUGGAAACUAGAGAUAAAAAGUUUGUUACAUAACCAUGAAUUUUCGAAUGACACGUGUGGACAUGUGUGGACAUCCUUAUAUUGGAGUUUAAAGAUAAGCCUGAAAAGUUGCCUGUUACUCAAAAAGAGGAUACCAAAAGACAACUUUGUGAAUUUCUUGAUACUUCUAUUCCCUCAAUUCUUGAACCUAAUGUUAAACCUCACAAAGGAUAUCUGGUAGGGUCCAAAAAUAGAAAAGAAUCAAGCUCUACAAAGUGUAGUCCUUUAAAGUUUGAAAUAGUAGAGAAGACUUAGAAACGUUCUCGACAGAUAUGUCAUUAUUUAUUGAUUUGUCUUUUGAUAUAGUCAUGAUUAUUUAUAUAUACGUAUAACACUUAAUGUGCAUAAUGAUUUGCCAAAAAAACUUUUUAUUAAUUAUAUAUAUACUAAAAAGAGGAAAUGAACUAAAAUAUCGUUCAUUCUACAGUGUUCUCCCUUAUUUGCCCUCGCACUUUAACACUAAUUCCGAUUGUGUCCCUGCUGCAUUUUAUUUUUUUAUUUUCUUGUUCUUCUUUCUCCGUUCUCUAUUUCCUCUAGCUCGAUGCUCUCCGCCAGAGUCUCUGGCUUCUCUCAUUCUCUCUCUAAAAUACCCACCCUCUAAAACUCCUUCUCACCUCUCCUCCUCCGAGCCACUUUCUCUAUCUAGAACUCACUCGCCACUGCCUUCUCUCUGAUGGUUCAAUAGGCCGGCGACGACUUCUACGAUUUCGGCGACGGCCAGUCUCGAGGUUGGUCUUAACCAACUCCUCACAAGGUCAGGCACAUUCUACACCUAUUGCAUCUGAAGAUCUGCCUCAAAUUUGCGAUUAUCAGUUCAAAUCCUAACUGCUGCGUUUUCCGACGAAUUUACAGAGGCGGCGAGCUCAAUUCCGGCCAGGUUCUGUCAAAUUAGGUGGUGAUAGGCCACUCGAGGCUUGAACCAGAGGAGGAGAGGAGUAGUUGUUUUCAUGGAAGGAAUAGAGCAGCAGCAGCGGAGGAGGAGUAUGCAGAGGCAAACGUGGAGGAGUAGUUGGGGGUCAUCAAUUAGAAAUGUACUGUUCCAACUAACACAUAACCAUUUGUUAAUUGAACCACUGAUACGACAGGCUUUGUUUUUGAGUUUCAAUUUGUUGAUUAUUGCAGGACGAUAGGUAGAGAGUGGCACUUUUCUUCAUCAGUUGCAUUCCAAGCAUUUCUUUGGGAGAGGUAUAGAGUCUGUACUUAACUUUUUAUAUUUCAAUGUACAAAUACUUCCCAAUGGAACCGCAAAAUUGGUAACAAACACCUUGACUGCUGCAUGGCAUACGAAACCAACUAUGCUCAUACAUAUUCAUGGGUUUCUUAUAAAGCAUUAAACUACGGAUUGCUCCUUUGCUACUUGAACACAUAUUCGCUUUAUAAAGAUCAUGUCUGUGAAAAAUCAAUUUAAAUGUAUGUGAUAGUGACUGUCUUAAACUGAUAUGCUCAUAUACAUCAGUAAUUCGUAUUAUGUGGGACAGCUUGAAUCCAUCUUUUCUUUGUUUGACUUGCUAAUUUUUCUUUAUUUUUCAAUUGCAUAUAGUGCAAUUCACUCUGUUUUAAAUUAAGUGGUAUAUUGAGGUAAUUUUGAGAGGAAAUAUAUAAAGCACUCUCUUUGUAUUAGUGUGGGUGUAUGGUAUGUAUGGCAUCGGAUUAAACCGUGAAUAUUACCAAAAGUUGCUCUACUUCUAUCCCCAUCGUGUUUUAUGUUGAGCUUCUGCAGAUACUUUGUUAAUUAAAGCAAUCACUCUUUAUGCAUUGCUGUCACCAGUUUCAACGAAAUAAUUUAUGACAAGUUCUCCUUCCGUUUCAGGUUUGUUCCAGACCUGAUUUCGUAUGCUCGGAGUAAUGAACUGAGGAUCUUUAUUAAUCUCGGCAUGCUUAACUAUUUUGGUACUAUGCAUGUAUAUCUAUAGAUGUAAUAUGAUUAUAAGAAUAUAAACUUUGUAAUUUUACUUGCUUCUUGAUUAUAAGAAUAUAAACUUUGUUUAUUGGUGUUCUAGACAAACACAGCAGUACUGCGCCUACGCUUGAGAGACCUUUGAUUGAUUUCAGACGUUAGACUUUGUCCAUAUUGAAAUUAUCUUUUGAACACUGAGCAACCAAUCUUUUGAUAACAAAGAACUUAGCUAUAAAAUCUAACUUCUAUAACCUCUGUUUUCUAUUGUAUAUUUUCACAAUAUUUUAAACACCUGCAGCAUCACGUGGGUCUUUUUGCUAGUAAUAGCUUAGAUGUGUAAAGAAUACGUGAAGAUCCACAUUUGCCAUAGUUAUCUUGGCUUCCCUUGGAAACUCUUUUCCAUGAAAAAUACAUUCCAUCACACAUACCACAGGAUUCAUGCUCAACUUCAAUAUCUAUGUAUUAAUAACUUUCAUUUUACGUGCACGUGAACAACUGUUCUUAGCAUUUGCAAAUAAGAAGAUGCAACUAUGCAUACCAAAAAAUAGUUGAGAGCACAUAAAAUUGGCAUGUACUUGAUAAAAUUCGAGAAAUUCACCGGAGUUGCACGCUUCAAUGUAGAGUAGCUAGUGACAUACGCCAAACCAACAUAUACAGUUACAAAAUCAUGGAAACAAUACAAGGUUGUAGCUCCAAUUAAGAAUGCAUUACAUUAUGUGUCAAUGUUUACUUAUUACAUCAAUUCUAUGGUUUUGGCCAAGAGAUUCCUAAUGUUUUAUUUAAUAGAUCUUUCCAUGCACAUCAAGUAAUACAACAAGUUUCAGGGACUAAUUAAAUAGUGAAAAUGAGGCGAUCACAAAAGGGAACAACUUACUUCUGAUAAUAAGAGACUAAAGUCUAAUCAGAAUGCAUAUAGGAAAAAAAACAUUUCCAGGCCGUAUGCUUGCGGUGAUGCUACUUCCAAGACAGAACGUUGAAGCAUAGGAUUGGACUGAGCAACUGCAGAACUGAUGUUUUUGCCGUAUGACAUUCCUGUUGCUGCACCAAUAAAAAGUGAUGGAGCAUAGUAGCCUCCAACUAAUCCAGAGGCUCGACACAAUGAGGUUGCACCUAUCUUGACCACCACCAACUGAAGCAACAAAUCAGCUGAGAGGCCUUUCUCCAGUGGUCGAGAUUCUAGCAAAAUGUCAACACUCUCGAAACCCCGAUAAAGAAUUUCAGGAUAUGCCAAUGCCAUCAGCCCGAUAGCCAAGCCACCCACGAUAAGCAAGCACGAAAAAACCAAAGCAAAAAUAGGCAAUGAGUGACGGAAGUUGAGGUUCCACCCCAAAUUGGAAGUGGGAGAGUAGCCCGACCCUUUGUAAGUCUAUGCAAGGUUCCUUGACUUUCCGACCUGGGACAGUUUUUCACAUCCUCCCGUGCCUUGUCACAUGUUCCAGCACUCAAGCCAAACAGAUAGACAACACACAUUCCUAUGUGAGACAAUUCUUUAACAUCCUCACAAUGAAUAACAAAAAAACAAAAACAUGUAAAGAUCACUAGCAGACUACAAUGCUAAUGUAUCUCAUGAACAUUUACAAAAACAAAACAUGUAAAGAUCACUAGUAGACUACAAUGCUAAUGUAUCUCAUGAACAUUUACAAUUUGUGUAAAAUUUCAGAUAAAAGAUCAAAACUUUGCAAACAAGCAAGCAAGAAAAGCAAAAAUGGACAAUUUGUUUGGGUUAAAACCUAAACUAGGGCUGUGGAGCAAGAAGGCCCAGAAUCGGGCCUAAAAGAAGAGAAGAACCAAGAUGCCCAGCGACAAGCCCAAACCACCGAAGGAGUCUUUCUCAGCAAAAUUCAAGUCACUUGGACCACUUGCCUACCUACUCAAAGAUCAAGUGGAGUAGACCAGCCAGCUAUCAGCCCAUAAAGUACUUUACCAUGGCAGUACAAGUAAAAAGUUGAUGAGUCACUACCCUUCAAAGGCAUUCGGGUAAGGACCAAGCUGCAGGCAGCUUCUCCAGUUGCUUAUAAAAGGAGGAAUAAAAGAAGAAAAAAGGACACUCAAUCAACCAAACAAACAAUCUUACAACUUGCCUCUUUCAGCCAAGCAAAGAUCUCCAGAAAACUGAACAUCUUCAGAUUCUGCACCUUUUUUAGCUUUAGUCUCUCCGUAGAAAAGACAAUUCUUGUCUAAGUAAAAAGCUCUGCUACCUUUUCCCUGGAUUUGCUGUAGUAUCGAUUCCCUCCCUUAAAAGUUAGCUGCCAUCACCCUCUUUUUGCAUACAAACACUUUGUAAUCACAAAGAAAGGAAUCUGCAAGACGUGUAAACCUUGCCCGACAAGGUUAAAUCUUGCCCGACCUUCUUUGUUUAGUCUUUCAAUAAAUAGAUCUGAUAAUAUAAUGAAUACCUCAAUGUUCAUUCAAGUCAUUUUCAGUCAGUUUGUUGUUAGAAGGUUUAUUAGUUCUUGGAUAUGAUCUUCCCGAAGAACUGAUGAUCUAAUCAGAUCUAAGUCUUUCUUUUUCAAGCAUACAAGAUUGGUUACCUAAAAGUCCUUGGACUCAAGGCAUAAAAAAGAACUUAAUGUCGACUUAACCCAUCCACGACAAUCCCUUGAUAAAGAGAGAAGUCCGAGUAACUUGAGGCGCAAGUAAUCGACUUUCAUAUUUAUUAUGUUACAAUCACGAUGAUACGCUUUAAUUAUUGAGUUUGGUCCUGAAAGUGAGCCUCAAGGCCUACACCUAAGGCCCCACAAAGGCACCUAUCAUGGCUAAUUCAAUCCUUCGAGCGCGAGUGAUUAAGCUUAAAUAUCAGUUGUUCAUCCUUGAUAACAAUAAGUGUCAAACAAUAUGCUAAGAGUACUGAGUUAGUUUGUGAUCGCAUGCCUCAAGGCCUACACCUAAGGCCCAACAAAGGCAUCUUUCACAAACUAAUUUAGUCUCUCGGGCACAAGCAAACAACUGAACAUACUCAUUUUACAUCUGCCAUGUUGAAGAUGGCAGUGGCACGCCUGAACAUCCAACAUUGGUUUUUGAUUGUGAGCCUUAAGGCCUACACCUAAGGCCCUACAAAGGCACCUUUCAUAAACUAAAUUUGUCCUCCUAUUGCAGCCCGCCAACAAGCAGGAGCCCGACAGCCAUACACGAACCAACAUGUGCCAACUCCUUGGGGAGCUGUGUGCUCGAGCCAGGGACCCUUCCCAACGAAAUUCUUGCCCGAACAUAGUUUUGGCACGCCCGGUGGGACCUAGGGUUGUUUUGUAUGCCAAAAAAGAGAAAAACUCAAGCUCUUAAGUUGAGUGCAAAGCAUAGACCAUAAAAAACCGUGCUGAAAAUGACUGAUAAACCAAAACAUCUUCUUUCCCCAAUAGGAUCAGCAGUUUUGGAAAGCCCGACUUCACCUGAGAAAUCGGGAGGAAAAAUAACAAAUGAAGACUUGCAGGCCACCAUGGUGUAAGUAUUAAAAAGCAUGGAGAAUCUUUCCCGAUAAACUAGAGGGGAAGUGAGUAGACUCUGUACUUUAACAGGGCACCUACAAAGAAGGUUAGAUCUGGAGUUUUCCACCCCAAGAGAUAAUCAAUAAGCAGUGGCAAACAAAGCCACCCUUAUCAGUGAACCAGUCUUUCCCUUAAUUCCUUCAUUUGAGGAAGAAAAAUAUAGGGAAAGAGGAAGGAGGGAUCUGAAGGAAGCCAACAAGUCAUUCAAGCUGUUCUAAAAACAGAAUCGCCUAGCUUCCCAGUGCUCUCAGUAAGUAGUAGGGGGCAGAAUGAACAAGAAAUGACCAAGUACGGGAUGCCCCUGACUAUGGGGGAGUCCAGCGGGAAGGAAGAAUCUGCCAGUACAGACAAACCUCUUCCUUAUAGACCACUCUCAAUGGUCAAUAAGGGAGGAGGAACCAAUUGGAGGAAGCCUGAACCUAGGAAGGAAGCACUAAGGGGCAACGAUAGAGGUCAAGCUGGUAAUGAUCGAAGCUCGAAGUGGGAAACUCCUCACAACUUCCAGAAUAAUAUGGCUACCCAACAACUCAGGGAGGAGUUAGCUGAGUUAAGGAGGGUGGUAGCUCAAAAUGUUCAGCCUCGGGCUCGCCCGAUGUUCAGGGUAACUUACCAAAAACCCUAUCUCGAGUACAUCGAUGAACAAAAUCCAUUCCCUCCCAACUUCAAGAUGCCCGCAUUCCCAACAUUCAAUGGAGAAGACGUCAGUGUAUCCUCUAGAAAUCACAUUUUUGAGUUCUCCAACCACUGUGUGGCAUAUGAAGACAACCCCAACUACAAGUUAAGGUUGUUUGGGAACUCAUUGGCCGAACUGGCCUCUCAGUGGUACUCUCUUCUACCUCCAAAUUCUAUUGCCAACUAAGGGCAAAUGGAGAUGGCUUUUCAUGAACAGUUCUACAGAAUAGAACCAGAAGUAACUAUCAACGAUCUAGUUGAGGUGAAACAGUACGAUCAUGAGUCCACAGAGGAUUUUAUGAUGAGGUUCAAGAAGACGCGAAUGAGGUGCCAGUUCCUUAUCAACCAGGCUCAGCUCAUCUCAAUUACUCAGAGAGCCCUGAGAUUGCCUCUGAGGGAGAAGUUCUAUGAUGUGCAGUUCAAUGAAUUGCAAGAACUGGUGAUCGCUGCUACAAAAUAUGAGAAGAUGUUGCUAGAGGAACAGCAGCUAAAACAUUCCUCCAAAGCUCAUCCUUUCUAUAAAAACAAAGCUGCAAUUCAUCAUAUAGAGUUCGAGGAAGCGGAUCUAGAGCAGAUAGAGGGACGUGAGAGAGAGGAGAUUGAUGUAUAUGCAGCAGAGAUGACUACGCCUUUCAAGCCAUUAAUAGUGAAAGGGCUGGUCCAACCUGUCAAGGACCAGAAGAUCGUAAUGAAUGAUGGGGGAUUCGUCCCUAUGAAACCUCCUAAAUACCAAAGCUACUCAUUUGAUCUGGCCAAAGCCCCUGAAAUUUACGAAGAGUUGGUGCGGGCAAAAGUAAUUGUGCCCGAUGGCACCAAAAAUAUGCCUAAACCAGAAGAGCUGAAGGGGAAGAAGUACUGCAAGUUACACUAUACCUUCAACCAUUCUAUAACUAAUUGUGUCCAAUUUAGAGAUUGGGUACAAGAUCUUAUAGUGAAGGGCAAGUUGCUGCUUGACAAACCCCAGGCCAACAUGAUGAUCGAUACAAAUCCCUUCUUAGAAGCCCCAAUCAACACGAUCAAUCUGACGGGGCCAAGAAGGAGUUUUCUCCAUUCAUUACUGAGAAGGAGGGGGAUAAGGCCUGCACUGCCCUAACAUCCUAACACCAGUAAUGGUAAAGAAGAAGGGACCAAGCAAUCAAAAUUGGGUCCUUAAAAAGAUUGUUGGUGUGAAAAGAAAUAAGAAGGGGGCAUAGUUGCCCGAAUAGAAAAGAUGGUGUGAAAGCUUCAAAAUAAUACAAGAGGCAAAAGAAGUGAAAUCAAAACAUCAUUUUCAUUCCAUGAGAAGAAGGGUUGCAAUUUUGCUAGCUUAUCAAAUUCACAUCUUUACCCAGAUUAAUUAUUCUGGAGUGAUAAGUCUGCAUAAUUGUAAGAAGCCUAUCAGGAUCGGCCAAAACGGUAUGGUUAUUGACAAGUUGAGAUUUGACAUGCUCAAGCUCCGAAUUUGCCUUUUUUACCUCCUCGACCUGAUGCUGGAGCGUGCCAAAGAGGGUCUUUUGUUUAGCCUUCAGUAUAGCAAGCUGUCCUUCCAGCUUUUGGAUCUCAGAGGUCAACACCCCAAUCUUUUGUUCCGUCAAUGAGCCUUCGUCUAUCGGCUGAUGAAUACAAGCAGAAGUGCUGGACUCUUUCUCCUGAAAACAUCUCACUCGGUUGGCUUGCCUCUCAGCUUUCUGAUGUUGAUCUCGAAGGGCCCUCAGGUUCUCAAAAAAUGAGAUGAAGGGGUCAUGCUGAGAUUGUGAUAAUUGAUCAGCCCUAAAGAGAUCUUUCACAACCUUCUCAACAUGGUGAAGAGCCUUAAGGCUGAAGGAAGAUGUGAAGUCUUUCUCCACCCACUCUUGAAAGAUUCGGCGUGACUCUUGGAAACUAGAGGACUCAGAAGUGCUCUUUGAAGAUCGCAGCUUUGCUUUAAGCUGCCCGAAUUCUUUGAAAAGCUCAGGCAUAGCAGCAUCUGAGGGGAUAGGUGAAGAAAGAGGGGAGCGUACUCCAGUUUCCAAAUGAGCUUCAAUCUCCUUAAGAGGUUCAGCAGGAGAAUGAACCUGAGAAGAGGGAGUAUCAAUGACUAUAAGGGCAAUGGUGGUCUUGGCCUUCUUAGGCUGAGGAGCGGGUGUUCCUAUAACUUCAGGAGCGGAAGAAGCCUGAGGAAGCUUUGUUUUACGCGCCAGACGAGGGGGAGAGUUGCCCGAAACUCCUCCAAGAGCUUGCUGAAAAGUUAAAGGGGGCAAAAAUCAGCGUGAGGAUUGCAACUCGGGAUACAAAAGCUCAGAAAAAAAGGAAUAAACAUACUGCUUCUAGUGGGGUAACGUCACUAUCACCACCAGAGGGGGAGGGAACCAUGCCCGAACCUUCACCAGAAGCCUAUAAAAACAUCUGACAUAGGUAACAAGUGUUUAAAAGUCAGGUUUUGAAGACAAAGAAAAAGAAGAAAUUUUUUACCUGAACAGGGUCUUGAGAAGUAGGAGGAGGCACCUUUCCGACAAUGGUGUGAUCCGGAGACUCUUGCAGACUGAUAAACUCUGGGACCACAGGAAUUUCAGGAACUAAAGGUUCUUCGCCAAAUGCUGUUGUUGUUGGUUGUUGUGGCUCAUGUGUUGGGGAUGGCUGGAAAGAGUAGAGACAAAGAGUGAAUAUGAGAAAAGCAUAGUGAGAAUUGGUGACAGGAUAAAUACUCACUGAAGCACUGUCCUCUUCUACAAAAUGUAACACUACUCCUGUCUUUGGAUCAAAUUGAGAGGUCGGCGUUACCUCCAGGACAGGAGGAAGAGUUGAAGACUUUAGAGUAGGGUUUCGACCAGUAGAAGAAGCAGAAACCCCCGCCUAAACUUGCAAAGAAAAAGGGGUCAGUCAUUCACUACCAAAAAGAUAAAGCUUGUGUUUGGAUUAAAACUUGAACUUUUGGCUCAAAGGGGAGUUGGCCUAAAAGGCAGCCUAAAAGGAAGAGGGACUCGAAGCCCGGCCGAAGCCCAGAAAGCAGAAAAGGCCUUUUCUGACUUGGUGCAGCUCAUGUGAACCACUUGCUCACCUACCCAAAGGCCAAGUGGUAUAGACCAACCAGCUAAUCAGCCCAUAAAGUACUUUAUAGUGGCAGUACAAGUAAAAUAGCUGAUGAGUCACUACCCUUCAAGCUGUAUUCGAGCAAGGUUACUGCUACAGGAAGCCAAGCCGAGUUGUCUAUAAAAGAAGAAAGAGAAACCAGGAAUAAAGACACUCAAUCAAUCAAACAAAUACAAGCACAAACUCUGCUCAAAAGCCAGAUUUGCCUUCAAACGAAGCUGUAGUCAGCCCAAGCCUUCAUCCCUCUCGGGAUAAACCUUCACUCAAGCCUUUGUAAUAGCUCUGCUACCCUGUUCAACUCUUGCUGUAGUAUCGAUUUCUUUCUGUAAACUCAUCUCCUUACCCCCUUUCCUAAGCUUUCAAACCCCUUGAUAAAGCACAAAGAUAGGAAGUUGCAAGACGAUCAGCCUUGCCCGACCCUCUUUGUUUUUUAUCUUUUCAUUCAUUAGCCUAGCAAUAUGUUGUAUACUUCCAGUUGUAUUCAAGUUAUUUAGUAAGAUGACUAUUAAAAGACUCUCUCAGUGCUUGAAUCCGAUUUGAAUAUGUCUUCAUAGUUCAAACCAGAUCUAAGUUCUAAGCUCUCGGGCAUGUAAGAUUGAUCAUUUAAAAGUCUUUGGCCUCAAGGCAUAAAAAAGAACCUAUGUGGACUUAACCCAUCCACGACAGUCUUUGAUAAACAAGAAGUCCGAAGUUACUUAGGGCGCAAAUAAUCGACCUAUUCAUUAGUUUUAUUUCUAUUAUAUUAUGAUUAUCAUAGAACGUUUGAGUAUGGAAUGAAUUCUAAUAGGAAGCCUCAAGGCCUACAUCUAAGGCCCCACAAAGGCACCUAUUUGGAUUCAUUUUGCUCUUCGGGCUAGAACGUUUGAGUAUAGAGUUAAUUCUGAUAGGAAGCCUCAAGGCCUACAUCUAAGGCCCCACAAAGGCACCUAUUUGGAUUCAUUAUGUUCCUCGGGCUCGGGUAAUCAGAAGUAUGAUGGUUAUAAGAUUCCUGAAAUCAAUGAAACAAACAUUAUAUGUUCGAGUAUUGGUUUAGUUAUUGACUGGAAGCCUCAAGGCCUACACCUAAGGCCCCACAAAGGCACCUGUCAUAACUAACACGAUCUAUCGGGCAUAUAUACAACUAAAACUUGACAUCCGUUUUACAUCUGCCAUGCUGAAGAUGGCAGUGGCACGCCUGAGCACUUAAAAGUUAAUCUUGAUUGUGAGCCUCAAGGCCUAGACCUAAGGCCCCACAAAGGCACCUUUCAAAGUUAACUCUCUCAUUCUUUUUCAGCUUUGCCCGACAAGCCUUGCCCGAUAAGCCCGCCAGUGAAGCAGAAGCCCGACAGAAAGCAUCAACAGGCACAAACCUCUCGGGGACCUGUGUGCUCGUCGGCCAGGAAACAUCCCCGACGGAAAUUCCUGCCACGAACAGCUUGUCCAAAGAGGAUCAAGAAUGAAGGAUUGCACCUCAGAAAAUUUAGCCCGAAUGGGGGAAGCAGAUGCCUCGCGGGCAGAGGGAAAGGAGACCUCAGACUGAGAAAAUAUUUCUUCCCUUGCGGUCUGAAACAAGCAAUCAAAGUUAAUAUUAACAAAGGAAUGAGAGACUUGCGGAGAAGAUUUAGGGUGUGGUUCAUACAUCUAACUCCUUAAGAGUAGCAGCUCGGAAAGCCUCUGCUUCCUGGCGCAUUUCAGUCCUCAAUGGAUCAUCUGGAGAAACCAUGGUUGGUUUUUUGGAAGCUCGAGGUCCUGAUCUCGAAAGAAAAAGAAAUGAUUAGUCAAUAAAGGAAGAUUAAGAACAGAUGAAUGAGGGUACACAACUCACUAGAAGAUUUCUGUUUUCUUCUGCCCACCUGAGGGGCUGGAACAGUAGAAGCAGAAGACUUUGAGGCCUUAAAAGUCUGAGCUCUAGUUCCUUUCCUAGUAGGGGCUGCUCGCUUAGGCCUCAAAGGCAUUCGAGCAAGAGCCAAGCUGCAGGCAGCUUCUCCAGUUGCCUAUAAAAGGAGGAAUAAAAGAAGAAAAAAGGACACACAAUCAACCAAACAAACAAUCUUACAACUUGCCUCUUUCAGCCAAGCAAAGAUCUCCAGAAAACUGAACAUCUUCAGAUUCUGCACCCUUUUUAGCUUUAGUCUCUCCGUAGAAAAGACAAUUCUUGUCUAAGUAAAAAGCUCUGCUACCUUUUCCCUGGAUUUGCUGUAGUAUCGAUUCCCUCCCUUAAAAGUUAGCUGCCAUCACCCUCUUUUUGCAUACAAACACUUUGUAAUCACAAAGAAAGGAAUCUGCAAGACGUGUAAACCUUGCCCGACAAGGUUAAAUCUUGCCCGACCUUCUUUGUUUAGUCUUUCAAUAAAUAGAUCUGAUAAUAUAAUGAAUACCUCAAUGUUCAUUCAAGUCAUUUUCAGUCAGUUUGUUGUUAGAAGGUUUAUUAGUUCUUGGAUAUGAUCUUCCCGAAGAACUGAUGAUCUAAUCAGAUCUAAGUCUUUCUUUUUCAAGCAUACAAGAUUGGUUACCUAAAAGUCCUUGGACUCAAGGCAUAAAAAAGAACUUAAUGUGGACUUAACCCAUCCACGACAAUCCAUUGAUAAAGAGAGAAGUCCGAGUAACUUGAGGCGCAAGUAAUCGACUUUCAUAUUUAUUAUGUUACAAUCAUGAUGAUACGCUUUAAGUAUUGAGUUUGGUCCUGAAAGUGAGCCUCAAGGCCUACACCUAAGGCCCCACAAAGGCACCUAUCAUGGCUAAUUCAAUCCUUCGAGCGCGAGUGAUUAAGCUUAAAUAUCAGUUGUUCAUCCUUGAUAACAAUAAGUGUCAAACAAUAUGCUAAGAGUACUGAGUUAGUUUGUGAUCGCAUGCCUCAAGGCCUACACCUAGGGCCCAACAAAGGCAUCUUUCACAAACUAAUUUAGUCUCUCGGGCACAAGCAAACAACUGAACAUACUCAUUUUACAUCUGCCAUGUUGAAGAUGGCAGUGGCACGCCUGAACAUCCAACAUUGGUUUGAUUGUGAGCCUCAAGGCCUACACCUAAGGCCCUACGAAUGCACCUUUCAUAAACUAAAUAUGUCCUCCUAUUGCAGCCCGCCAACAAGCAGGAGCUCGACAACCAUACACGAACCAACAUGUGCCAACUCCUCGGGGAGCUGUGUGCUUGAGCCAGGGACCUUUCCCAGUGAAAUUCCUGCCCGAACACAAUUGAGUAAUGGGUAAAAAUCAAACAUACAAAGUAGUUGAAGAGGAUGACGCCGAUUCCGGUGAGUAGAUCCACCAAGCUCGACGACAGCACUAUCGUCCAGUUCCCUCGGACAUGGCCUUGUACUCUGUUUUCAUCUUCCCCCAUCUUCUUGUUCUUCUGCUUUGUCAUCGUCAUCGUUUUGUUGUUUUUGUUGCUGGGUUUGUUGGUUUUAAGGGAGGGAAAAAUGAGGUCUGAGAGUCAGAUCUCUGCCAUCUUCAUCUUCCCCUUCUUCUUGUACCCAGCACUUGCAUUUUUGGUGUUGAUUGUUCUGGUUUGGGUGUUUGAUGUGGGAGAGAAUAGGAGGAGGGUUUUUCCCGGCGGUGAUGAAGACGGAGGAGGUGAAGAGGCCAAGGGACAUAAAUGGCGGUGGAAGUGGAGAAAUUUUUUAUUGCAACGGAAAUACGGUGUACAUCAGCUGUUUUUAUAUAAGUGGUGAAAUUUUUUAUUUUUUAAAGUUAUUAACUGUUUUAUAUAUAUAUAUAUAUUCCAUCAUUUUUAAUGAUACGUGAUGUAAUGACAGUCAUAUUGAAAAAUCUUUGGGCAUUGGGGAAGCGCCGUAUGCAGGUCAUGCCUCCCAUUAGCUGCUACACCAGUUGAGCCAACUGUUCAGUCCAAUCACGACCAACUAAUGGAUAAAUGUCUGACAAAAUAAUUAAGUAAAAUUCAUAUUAAUAUAAAUUAAUAUACCCUAAUUUCCUUUUCCUUUCAUAUUAACCAAAUCAAGAGUUAUCUUGUAAUAGUAAAUAUAGUCCAUGAUUGGAAAAAAAUAUUUGGUGUAUCAGAUCGUGUUUUUGAUAUACUGAAAAAUGCUCAACUUUAUUAUUUAUAUUGUAACACCAAAUAUCCAAUUAGAAUCCAAGCUAUGUUUGUAUUCAUAACUUACAGUUUACGCACACAUGAGCAACUGUUCUUAACAUUUGCAAUUAAGAAGGUGCAACUAUUCAUACUAAAAAAUAGGGUAAAGUACAAAAAACUACCUCAACUAUUGGUGUCACGACACUUUCAUACCUCAUCUUUUAAAAUUGACAAUGUCAUACCUUAUCUUACGAAUUUGUGUCAAUGUCGGACCUCCGUCAAUUUUUCUAUUAAUUUCUCUGUUAAAUGCUGACAUGGCCCGACACGUGUCCCACUCACUAAUCCAAUUGGAUUAAAAAAUAAUAAAAUACAUUUUUAAUAAUUAAAUAUUCAAAAAUUAAAAAAAUAUAUAUUAAAUCUCUCUCUCUCUCCUCUCUUUUUUAUUUUUAUAUUAAAUAUCUCUCUCUCUUUUCUCUCUCUCCCCUUUUCUGUCGCCUUUCUCUCUUCUCUGCAUCCCAUAACCCAUUCUCAUCUCCCCCCCCCACCCCAACCCCUUCCCGUUCCCCCUCCGUGCAACCCCCCACCCUUCCCCACCCAUGCCAACAUCUCCAUCUCUCUCAGCUCACUCACUCUUUCUCCCCAUCUCUCGCACAGAUUAUACCUCUCUCCCAGAUCUACACUCACGCACCCAUUUACACACCCACACCCACUGACGACGGUACCAAAACCAUCAUUGGCGUCAACCCUUUCUCCUUUCGUCUCCGUGAAGCUCCGAGGCACCCAGAGGACACCCAACCCAGGUCCGGCGAGCCAUGGGUGUGCGAGCCCAAGUCUCGGGUGGGGACGAACUGGGUUUUGAUUUUUAGUUUUUUUUUUUUUUUUCGUUUCGUUUCUGGGCAGCAGGGGAAGAAGAUGGGGGAGGAGAGAGAGGGGGUUGGGGGUGGGUGGGGACGAAUUGGGUUUUGAAUUUUUUUUUUUUUUUUGUUCAUUUCGUUUCUGGGCAAAGCAGGGGAAGAAGAUGGGGGAGGAGAGAGAGGGGGUGGGGUGGGGGACGAAUUGGGUUUUGAUUUUUUUUUUUUAUCGUUUCGUUUCUGGGCAGCAGGGGAAGAAGAUGGGGGAAGAGAGAGAGGGGGUGGGGUGGGGUGGGGACGAAUUGGGUUUUGAAUUUUUUUUUUUUUCGUUUCGUUUCUGGGCUGCAGGGGAAGAAGAUGGAAGAAUAUGGGGGAGGAGAGAGAGGGGGUGUGGUGGGGACGAAUUGAUUUUUUUUUGUUCGUUUCGUUUCUGGGCAGAGCAGGGGAAGAAGAUGGGGAGGAGAGAGAGGGGGUGGGGUGGGGACGAAUUGGGUUUUGAAAUUUUUUUUUCACUUUUCUUUGUUAUUUUAAUAUUUAAAAUAUAUUAAAUGAUUUUUUUUAAUAUUUUCUUAAUUUUUAAUAGAAAGUGGGGUUUGGAUCAAGGCACGUCAGAAUUUAACUGACAAAUUAACGGUCAGGCUAACGGAAGGUAUAAAAUUGACCAAAUUCUAAAGAUGAGGUAUGACAUUGUCAAUUUUAAAAGAUGAGGUAUGAAAGUGUCAUGAGACUAAUAGUUGAGGUAGUUUUUUGUACUUUACCCUAAAAAAUAAUUAGGAGCACAUAAAUUGACAUGUACUUGAUAAAAUUUGAGAAAUUCGUCUCAGCGAUUGAGACAUUUUUGCUACAACUGAGAACAAAAGAAGCUCCCACAACGAAGUUGCCCACUUCAAUCUAGAGUGGCCGACAACAUACGCCAAACUAACAUAUACACUUACAAAAAAUGGAAACUAGACAAGGUUGUAGCUCCAAUAAAGAAUGUAUUACAUUAUGUGUCAAUGUUUACUAAUUACAUCAAUUAUUAGGCCGGUUCUUUAAUUUUGAUCUGAAACAUAGCACUACUUCAAAGAUCCCCAAUGUUUUAUUUAAUAGACAUUUCCAUGCACAUCAUGUAAUGCAAGAAGUUUCAGGGACUAAUUAAAUGGUGAAAAUGAGGUGAUCACAAAAGGGAUCAAUCAAAAUGCCUUAAUUGUACCAACUAAUGAAGUUAUUUGAAGGGUUUAUAAUCAUAUUUAGAAUGCUAAUAAUUGAUCGCCUCCUUAAAGAAAAAGAUGAAGUGAAACCGACGAAAUGUGAACAUAACACCGUUGUGGACAUGAGCUGCUUGUUGGCCAUGAUAAGAUUAUCAAUUAGGUUUCUUCUUUAGACGGAUUUACAAAACGAUGUCUAAAUGUACAUCUGCGAUUUAUAGUCUCACAAUAUAACAUGUCAAAUAUCCGACAAACAAAUGACUCUGAUUUCUAAAUUAUAGUUUCCUUCUCAAUCUCGCAUUAAUUUACACUUUUCUAUACGUGCACCUUUUCAAUCUCGCAUUAAAUUGUAGCUUCCUUCUGAAUCUCGCAUUAAGUUGAAAAAUCGAAAACAUAAACUUGCAAACCAACUCUGAUUUCUAAAUUGUAUGGGUAAAUUACACUUUACCACCUCAGGUUUGAGGUCUAUUUCAAUUCCUUAUAACAUCUUCAAAACAUUUCACUUUCAUACCUUAAGUACUAUUUUAUUUCAAAAUAAUACCUCUGUUACAUUUUCCAUCCAUUGAUCUAUUAAGUGCUGACAUGGCUGCCACAUGGCAAAAAAAAUAAUUUUUAAUUUUUUUUUUAAACCUGAAUGUUCUCACACAAAAAAAAAGAGGGUAAAUUACACUUUCAUACCUCAGGUUUGGGGUCUAUUUCAAUUCCUUACAACAUCUUCAAAACAUUUCACUUUCAUAGUACUAUUUUAUUUCAAAAUAAUACAUCCGUUACAUUUUCCAUCCAUUGAUCCGUUAAGUGUUGACAUGGCUGCCACAUUUGUACCACAUGGCAAAUUUUUUUUUUUUUAAAAAAAAACCUGAAAUUAAAAAAAAAAACAGCAUUGAUCCCCGCAUACAAACCCACAUACCACCACCACCUCCCCCCCCCCCCGGCGCCGCAAGCAAACCCAGAAACAUCCACUCCCAAAAAAACCUGAAAAACCAACUCCCCCCCCCAAAAAAAAAAUACCUGGAACCAGUGCUCCCCAAAGCAUCGUCGAGUGGGCUCAUCGGUCGGCUCCAAUAACGAGGUAUGUAUUCAAAUUUUGAAAUUUUUUGGUGCUUGGUUGGUGGUGGUCUGAAUGGAGUUAGGUUUGCUAAGGAUGGGUGGGGUUGCAAAUAAGAGAAGGUCGGGGAAGGUGGGGGUGGGGUGGGGGGUUGUGGGGAGGUGAGGGUGGGAUGGGUUUUUGGAUGGGAGGGGAGGUGAAGAGAGUGGAUGAGAGGGAGGUGGUUGGGAUGCUUGGGAGGGAGAAGAGGGGUGGGGAGGGGUUGCGGGGGUGGAUGUUUCUAGGUUGCUUGCGGUGCAGGGGCGGGGGGGGGGGAAGGGGAAGGCUUCGGGGUUUGUUGGGGCGGGGUAUGUGGGUUUGUAUGCAAGGGUGGGGGUGCGGGGAUCAGUGCUAGCUUUUUUUUUUUUUUUUUUUUAAAUUCAGGUUUUUUUUUUUAAAAAAAAAUUGUCACGUGGCACACAUUUGGCAGCCACGUCAGCACUUAACGGAUCUAACAGAGGUAUUAUUUUGAAAUAAAAUAGCAUUUAAGGUAUGAAAGUGAAAUGUUUUGAAGAUAUUGUAAGGAAUUGAAAUAGACUCAAACCUGAGGUAUGAAAGUGUAAUUUACCCUUCUUUUUUUUUUUGGGAGAAAAUUCAGGUUUUAAAAAAAAAAAAUUUGCCACGUGGUAGACAUUUGGCAGCCACGUCAGCAUUUAACGGAUUAAUGGAUGGAAAAUGUAACGGAUGUAUUAUUUUGAAAUAAAAUAGUACUUAAAGUAUGAAAAUGAAAUGUUUUGAAGAUGUUGUAAGGAAUUGAAAUAGACCCCAAACCCAAAAUAUAAAAGUGUAAUUUACCCAAAUUGUAUUUGUUGUGGUAGUACCUAAUGGGCCGCCGGACUCAUUAGGACCAGUGGCAAUUUUGAAAAAUAACCAACUCUGAUUUCUAAAUUGUAUUUCUUCCCGGCGCUCCUUACGCGUACUGUCGCCUGAGGGCGCGGCGCUCUUGAUUGAUUCCGUGGUCUGAUCUUCCGCGAAUCGCAAUCUGACGGUGGCGAUGGCAUCGCCGCAGAACCAAUCGGCGAAUGUGGAUCUCUUCGAUGGGUAUUUCCGACGGGCCGAUUUGGACCGCGAUGGCCGGAUUAGUGGCAAUGAAGCCGUCGCUUUCUUCCAGGGCUCUCGUCACCCAAACAGGUCCUUGCGCAGGUACUCUCUCUCUCUCUCUCUAUAUAUAUAUAUGUAUAUGCAUAUGCUUGUGUAUAUAUGUAUAAUUGGAUGUGUGUGUAUGAUUAUAUUUGUGUUCCGAAUCAGAUUGAUUUUGAAUUUUUAGUCUAAUUUUGAAGUGGUAAAUGUGAGCUCGGGAUGUCUUAAUUCUCUUAUCUAAGCUGAGAUUUUUUAUUUCGUGUUAGUAUAAAUGUGGAAUUGAUUUUCAAAUGGUAGAAAAUAAGUAGAUGAAGAAUUUAUACUACAGUUAGUGAGGUGGUAAGCAGACUUUAGAAAUGUGUUAUAUGACCCAAGGAUUGGUCGAGGAUUGUUUAUUACAUUAGAAUUGUGCAGUAGUGAAAACCGGCAGCAUAAGAUGACUAUGGAGUAGUUAGGAUUGUCGCGUACAGGGGAAAUGUUCUUGGGUCAGGAUCAUAUCGACAAAUAGGUUCUUGAAGUUGUAUACUUGUUUUGCUGAAGGAGUUUCCGUAUAAAAUGAAAACCAGGGGAAUAUUAUGUUAAAUAUUGAUUAUAUGAAUGCCCUUUCUCAUUAGCUUGAAUUGCUGAACAUAACAGGCUCAAUCAAGCACAUUUUUCUGCGAGAUGCUGUGCUGAUGGGUGUUCAUUCUUUGCAUGAUGUGUUCGUAUUUUGAUGUAAAAACUUACAUAUGCCAUAGAUAUUUUGUACAUAUAAAAUUUAAUUUGUGAUUGGGAGUAAUCUUUUGCUGGCCAAUUGACAUAUGAACAUCCAUAAAUAUAUGCUAUUAAAUUGAGUCAUGUCUAAAUGUGCAGUCUAGAUUGAUAGAGUGACUACCCAUCAUGCCACAUUAUCUUUGAUGGAGCGGUUUAGGGAGGGACGCCCUCUUCCAGCAGUGCUACCAAGCAAUGUUAUGUUUGAUUUAUCCAAUAUUUUUCAACCUGCAAAUAAUUACUCCAAUGCUGGCAAUGUAGCCUGGAGACCUGCUUCUUGUAUUCAACCAUAAAACAAAUCACUUUUAUAUUUUGAAACAUGUCUUUCUUUGAUAGAGAAUAGUUUCUUAUUUUUCACUUUAAAAGGCUUCAACAACAGCAACUGAUGCCUGGUCUUGGUGCUCGGCACAUGGCACCGAAGACAGUUGCUCCAAUUAGCGGAAACCCAGAGUACCAGAAUUGGAGAAACAUCUUGUAGAUCAAUCUUGUAGAUCAACUGAGUACAGAGGAGGUUAACUCACUGAACUCAGUUCAAAGAAGCAACUGAAGCUGAUAAAAAGGUACUUAGAACUUUAAUGUUUCCCCAAUUUUCUCAUCUUGAGCAGCAAAGUUAUGUGUGCAUGUUACUUCCUGAUAAGUGUCAAAUCGUAACAAAUAUCCCAGAGACUUGGGGAAAGAAAUCUUGGAUGCUAGAGAGAAAAUUGAAUAUUUCCGGUUCAAAAUGCAGUUCAGCCAUCGAACUUGUAAUGUAUCUUUUGUAUUUCAUUUCUUUGUGUAUGCAUCUCGCUUUUUCUUCAUUCUUUUCUUCCUUUAGCUUGUAGCGCGACGUAUAAUUUUUCUCCUUAAUUUUGGAAUGUUCAGUCCUAUUGAAGCAAAGAGCCCUAUAAUUUUAUCGUUGUUACAAAUUCGAUGAUUGUAUUAUUAAACUGGGGCUGUGCCUUUCUUUUUUCAGCCUUAAUUUGCUGUAAUUUUUUACCCUCUCUAAUAAAAUUUGUUUCGCUGAUCUUUGUUUGGUGCAAACAAGAACACUGAGUUUUGCCGUUGUUAGUCCAAUGGGGCCAUUCAUAUUUUUUGCUCAUUGCAGUUCAGCCAUUGAACAAUCGCAUAUUUUUGUCGUUGAAUGUUCAAACUAUCGCGCUUGGUUGUGAGAUUUUUACUUUGCCCUGGCAUGGUGUGUUAAUUAAUGUCUGUUUGUGAUAUAAAGGUAAAUCAAGUUUUAAGGAUAACAAAUAGGCCAUUAUACGCUUGUCCAUAACUAGUGCUUUAUAAUGUAUAAUUAAUGUCUUAAUUCUUGGUCAGACAAGCGAGCUAUCAAAGUACAAAUUUGCCUUAAAAAGUUUUUCCUAAUCACUUUCAUUUGCUUCAGACUCAUCACUUGAUCCACUAACUUGAGGUUCAUCUCAUGAUCCACCACCUUUGGAAUCAACAUCUUGUCUUGUUUCUUCUACUUUUGGUCCCCUCGACAUGAACACGUGACCAAAUUUGAAUUUCUCAGCAUCUUCGGCAUACAAUGGGCAUAUACCACAGCUUUCCACCUUCAUAUGGGAAGCAAAAUCCUGCGGGUAGAAGACAACAGAGGCCUCUUUGGCAAGUUUGUAAACAUCAGGGGAGCAGUUUUUUCCUACCUCUUCACUUCUAAAGGCCUCAUUCCACACAAGCACGUGCUGUUGACCGUCACAGUCGUAGUUGUAGCUAUUGCAUGGGAUAAUGUACUGAGAAUUGAACAGUUCAUGGCUUUCACCCCUGAAUUUGACAAUGAAAUUAGCUCUUAACCUUAUGAAGUAAUCCUGGCACGGUGAAACAACAACAGAGAGAGCGAAACCAAAUAAACCUGUUCGAAACCAAUCUGGACAAAGCUCGAUGUCUACCGAAGAUCCCUCAUUUUGAUAGCUGAACCAAUUUGGAAUUUCUUUUCCUGGACAUGCAAUGUUAAUCUGAGGCCAGGGAUUACAAGGCAACCAAUAGUCCUCUAAUGGCGCAACAGUUGCCAUUCGCAUAAUUGUAAUCUGUGCUUCAUCCAUUAUGUUGCUCCUUGAAUUAUUAUCCAAUUUGGGCAAUUACGAAAAACUCUGAAACAAUAAUGAGGUUUAUCCCAACCUUGUGUGAGUGCUGUCCUUGAACUUGACACUAUCUUCAGAGACGCGCAGGCUUCAGCUUUAACAUUACAUAGCACUGGGAGCUCUGGUAUAGAUACAAGCCGCUCGCAGCCUUCUAAGCCGAGUAUAGACAAUCGAGAAGCCUUUUUGAUGCCUACUGGUAUUAGGUAUAUACCGCUGUAGCUGAGUUCUAGUUCUUCUAAAGAGAGAAAACUGACAGGGCUGAAAGGCAAUUUUUCAAGUCUCCGACAAAAUUUAAAGUCGAGACGUUUAAGAUUGGUUAAACUGUAGAUACUUGUUGGGACAUCCUUAAGUUGCAUGCAGCGACUAAGGUUUAAAUCUUGAAGCCUAUUUAGAUUUCCAAUAGACGAAGGAAGCAUUUCGACACCUGUGAAUUCCAAACUAAGAUACACCAAAUGUUCCAUUGGCUUGAAGAUUUCAGGGAAUUUGGAAAAUCUAGAGCACCUGGUGAGAUCAAGACUCUCAAGAUAUUUCAACUUACAGAUUGAUGAGGAUAGCUCUGUAACUGCUGUUCCCCUUAAACUUAAGGACUUCAACUGUUCCAUUGGCUCCCAAAUCUCUGGGAGGUUUUCAACGUUAUAGCACGAAUAGAGAUCGAGUUUCUCGAGAUUUUUCAACUUACACCAGCUACUUGGAAGUUUCUUAAGGUCUUUGCAUUGCCUUAAAUUCAAGUAAGAAAUAUUUUCGUUAGACCAAACUGAUUCAGGCAACUCCUUUAUACCACUGCAUUCUAAAUUCAAGUAUUGAAUAUUUCCUGGCAUUUCUGGAAGAUACUUGAGACUGCUGCAGUCUUUAAGAUCAAGACGAGUAAGCUUGUCAAGAUGUUGAAAAUAUGAAGGAAUUUCAACCAAACUUCGACAGUUCCCAAGAUUUAUGUCCACAAUUUUUGGACUCCCAGAGAGAUUUGGAACUUCAGUUAGAUUUGAACAGCCCCACAGAUCAAUCACUUGUAAGUUGACAAGUAUCUGCAACAAAUGAAAUAGAAAUAUAAAGAAUUAAUAUAAUUUCUACACUUGAUUAUAUAAAAGAAAUAAAAUAGGCAUAUAAUAUAAUAUACCUGCUCUUCUUUCCAAAGCUCCUUCUCAACUGUGCUAUAUGGCAUAUGAAGCUCAACUAGAUUUUCUGGAGAAAAAGUUGAUGGCAAAGAAUCCAGUGGAUAUCCCGACCACUCAAGAUAACAAAGAGAAUCGGGAAGGUCUAAAGAAGUGGUCAAUUUGUAGCAACCAUUCACAAUUAGCAUUAUUAGGUUAGACAUCUUUUUGAAGUCUGCACGUUUCAACGGUCGCUCUUGAAGAUUAUUCCAAUCAACCUCUAUAGCUUCAACAUUUGGAGUUUCCUGAGAAUAAGAAGAAAGUUUAAAUGUGAAUAUAAACAUAGUAAAAUGAAACGCACAUUUGGAACAAAGAGUAUUUGCGAUGGUAAUCAUGUACAAGUGUCUUAGUCUAGUCAAAUAUCCAACAUAAUUGUAUCCUCCUCUACUUGUCUAAAUAAACAAACAUUUGUUCAUAUUGCAAACACUUCCUAACACAAUAAAUAUUCAAUCAAAUUCAUCUUUUAACAAUCUCACUUCUUUAUUAUAAAUUAGUUUUACUUUGUUGUGUUAUCAUCUCAAGUUUGUAAUUUUUAUUUUCUAAAAAAAAAAAAAAACAAAAGAAAAAAAUUGAAUGCAUUUGGCUCUUACCGUGUUACUCCUCAAUACACGAUAGACAUCCUCAUCAUUGAACAACCUACUCCGUUUACCGGGAUCUUUAAUACCUUGUUCUUGAACAAUUUUCCUUCCCAUUUCUUGUAGCAAAUCGUGCAUCUCUAUGGUUUCCAUUCUCCCUUUUGAAUCAAUUGAUAUGAGAGACAUCUCAAUGAGAAUUCUAAUUCCAGAUGGCGCAAAGAAUCCACGAACAUCUAACAUUUGUUUCACCUUAACCACAGACUUCCCUUUAUGAAAACAUGCUAUAUCCAGCAAUAUCUCCUUCUCAUUUUCUCCCAAUCUAUCGUAACUUAUUCUCAACACUUUCUGAAUAUCUACAUUGGGAAAUCGUUUCAAUUUGUUGAAUUCAUCCUCCCAAUCUUCUUUGCUCUUGCAAUUGAAGAACAAGGACCCCAAAACUGUAAGAGCUAAAGGAACGCCUCUGGCAUAAUGCACAACCUUUUCUGCCGACUCCUUAUAAUCUGUUCUACGAGUACUGUUAUUCUUGAAAGCACGUGAACAGAAGAGCUGAAGAGCGUCAUCCGGUUGUAAUCCGUCAACCUUGUAGAUAUUAUCCUCUUGAACAGUUUGCCCAAGUUUGCCCCUAUCUCUAGUUGUGAUAAUGAUUCUACUUCCGGUGCCAAACCGGAGAGGACUGCCAGCUAAACGUUCCAAUUGCAUAGAAUCACUCACAUCAUCAAGAACAAUGAGGACCUUUGUACGCCUGAGCCUUUCUUGAAAAGUUGAUUCUACGGGCAAAGAAACUUCUUCCUUUAAUAUCUCCUUAAAAAGUGUUUUUACCAAGUGAUCUAGUCCAUCUGGUUUUUCUGAGUUCUCCCUAACAUUCUUAAGAAAACAAGAAGCAUCGAAUUUAGAAGAGAGUUUGCGAAACAGAGUUUCAGCAAGGGUGGUCUUGCCAACACCACCCAUUCCCCAAAUACCUACAGUGAUGCAAGCGUCUUGUGAAUGAAUGCCCAAUAGCUUUUCAAUUUGCUUGAUGCGGCUUUCAAUUCCAAACAGGCCCUCUAAAUUACAUGAUGAUUCACCAAUCAAUUUGGUGCAAAUACAAUGGACAACAUUCUUUACUAGAUCUGCCUCCGUCCUGGCAUAUAUAUGUAUGAUUAUGUAGAAAAAAGCAAUAGUUAGUCCUAAAUAUGCUUGAACAAAUCUUAGCACAAAUCAAACUGUCACAAGUUUACAGAAAAUUUAUAACUUUAGACAAGUUAAAGGAUGAGUUAGUUACCCGGAUUUGUUUGAAUGAUCAAACCCAGAUAGAUUGGCUGCAGUCGUCAAAGCAUCCCUCCACUUGUGCACCUUGUCGAUACUGUUAGCGAAUCGUUUUUCUAGUUGAGCAAAUGCAUCUGCAUAACUCCCGUGUUGUUUUCGUACAUCAGAUGGAUCGAUGUCGUAGAAUACGGGUAUAACCAUCCGGCCUUCUCUGUUGUUGCAUUUUAGUAUAUGCACAAGCUCAUCCAAACACCAUGUGGAAGAAGCAUAGUUUUGUGAGAAAAUGAUCACCGAAAUGGUGGAUUUCUCAAUUGCUUCUAGAAGGGCAGGUCCGAUUUCUUCUCCUCUCUGAAGUCUAUUAUCGAUGUAGGUUUCAAAUUUCUUCUGAAGUAAGGCAGCAUGAAGAUGGCUGGUAAUACCAAGGCGGGUGUCCCCACCUCUGAAACUGAUAAACACAUCAUACUUUUCUCGACGUGGGGGGUUAUCAGCGUCGUCAUCAUCCUUAACAGCAGUAGAAUCAGCAGCAGAAUCAGCUACAUCAGAAUCAGCUGCAGGAGACGAAGAAGAAAAUGAUCUGCAGCACAUAUAGAACAGAGUCCCGAUGGCGAUGACGAUGAUGUUGAAAGCUUGAAUGAAGGCAAUCAACUCCAUCUCUCUAUUAGGUAGGUGCACAAAGUUACAAACGCUUCAGGAGGACAAAAAUUGAAAAUAUGGAGAGACAAGGAUUAGUCACUUUCACAUACUUAAAAAAUAUUUGAUAAUUGAUAAGGCUAAACUAACCAACGCUUUCACAAAGUUACAAACGCUUCAUGGAGGGCAAAAAAUAUUUGUCGAAAUGGUUUGUAUGGUUUUUAUACAAACAAUAUUGGUGGAGGGGAAUUAGACCUCAGACUCUGUCCUCAGAUGUAAUUCAUGUUCAUGGAAGAAACAUAGCGGAUGCAAUUAACUGAACUGAUGUGUCAUACAAAAACAAUUUGAAUAAUACUGAAGUACUCACUAGUGAGUAUUUUAUGUACUCACCCAAUUGACACGUGUUUUUUUUUUUUUUUAAUAGCCCAAGAAAAAUUAUUGACAUAUACAUUAUAUUAUACAAGAAUAAAACGUGUUAAUUUAUCAUUGGACAAAAUUAAGAAGUGACUACACAAAUAUUGUCCUAACAAUUAUACUUUGCUUUCACAGUUUCCUAAAUAUGUUACAAAAUGCAUGUAUAAUGACUACAUGUCCAUUUGGAAGAAGAGGCGGUAGCAAUAUAUAUUACCUUGAAUUGGCUUUUGGCUACCUGCACAAAGUUUCAAAGGCUCGAAAAUCAACGAGUGAGAUAUGAAAGAUGGUGGAAAAUGGGGCACAUGAUACGCACAUAUUUUAUUAAAAAAAUCCUAUAAUUUAAAGAAAGAUAUUCAUAUAUUUGCAGUCUUAAUAUGAACAAUGUCAUCACAGCAUGUAAAGGAAGACAAUUGAUCAAGAUGCGAACAAAACAAAGUGACAUCCGGUGACAGGUCACCAGCGAAGAAAUUAACAGCAGACAUAACAAAAAUUAAUUAGCAAAUGAAAUGCCAGCAUAACAUAACAACUAAACUUAUUAAUUAAAAAGAAAUGACAAAAAAUAUAGAUAGAGCCUUAAACAGUAUCAAUAAACAUUAAACACUGACUAACCUCAGAAAGACAAUGGCUUGGUUACCAAUUUGACAAUGGCUUGUUUGUUUUCUCCACCUUCAAAAUAAGAAAACUUCACCUUCAGAAUAAUAUAUCCAAAACAAUUACUUUUUUGUAUCAUCAGCAGGAGCGGCAGCGGAUGACGACGACGAAGAAGAAGAAAAAGGCAUAUCCAUAACCUCUAGUUUUCAGAUCCAGGAGUAGUAGUUGCAGAGAGAUUAAUUGUGUAUAGCGAGAAAGACAGACUGGUUCAAAAUUAAGGAGGAUACAAUAAAGCGAGAGAGAGAGUAAUUCAGAAUUAAGGAGGAUCUAAUUAAACAGAAAAGAGCCGGAGAGGGAGACUAGUUCAGAUUUUUCUUGAAUUGGCUUUUAACUAGAUGCACAGAGUUCCAAAGGCUCUUCUGGAAAAGCCAUGAGCAAGAGAUGACCAGUUACUAAAGCAUACAAAGAGGCACAUGGGAUGGGGCCCUCCCUUUACGCGCUUUGCGCACGCGGCUUUGAAUUUUCCUUGAUUAGUAUGUCACCAAUUCCUUUCAAGAAAUUUCCAAACAAUUUUCAAGGAGUUUCAAUUGUGGACAUUUCUAUAAUUUCCAAAAGAAAAUAUGUGAAUUCCACACUACAAAAUCAUAGAGGGCUGAGAAUAUAGUUGUUCACUAAUGAAAAAUCUUUAGAGUCACAGACUCAUUUUAUUUGAUUUCACCAUAAGAUAUUACACAAUCGUUACAACUAUCAAUCUCUCUACCAUAUUAUAGUCAAAUCAAACUAACUAAAUCUUAAUAGUUAAAAAAAACACUAAUGAAAAAUACUUCAAAACUUUGAAUUUUAACCAAAUUACCUCACACGCAGCAUAUCUGUCUAUAAUUAUUCUGCAGUUGUUUUAUACAUGCACGACCUCGUUUCUUGGAAGAUUGUGUAUUUAUUCAUAUUGGUUUAGUCACUGGAAUUUUUUAUAUUUUUUUGGACAAAUAGUCACUGGAAUUUAAUUUGUCUGCUAACCGUGUAGCGUUUGGGUAAAGCCUUGUCAAGGAUGCAGACACAUGCCUCUGGAAAAGGAAACAACUUAGCUGCUGAUGGCCUAUCACACGCAGACACAUGUCUGAAUUUUGAUUAAAAAAAUUAAAUUUGAACACGUGUUCGCGCGUGAUUAGUUAUCAGUAGCAGCUGCUGAUCUUUCAGCAGCAAAGUCUUGUUCUCUAAAAAAUACAUGGAAAAUAGUAUUUUCCUAGAAGAAUAGUAUUUAAUGGAAAAGGUAUUGUAUAGAUGGGAGAUAUUAAUGCACCGGACCGUUGGAUUGUCUAGCGGUUGGUAAUUGAGGAGGAAGAUAUCUUGAAGCCACAAAAGAAAAUGACAAACGCAGUUAGACCAUCUCCAAUCAAAGAGUUCAGAGGGCCAGAGGGUCGAAAAUAGCCCGAAAAUCAUCUCCAACCGAGGGCUAGGCCAAAUGGCUCGUGGGCCCCACUGGAUAAAAAAUGGCCAAAGGGCCAACCGGCUGACCCAAAUGAGUCAACCAGCUAGCCCCGGGCCGGGCCAAAAUUUUGAGCAUUCCCAUCGGAUAUAACCGACAACAUUGUAUUUAUUCCUGUCGGUUAUAUCCGGCAUGAAUGGUAGGCCAAAUUUCAACUACGUCAGCUAGCCGUUAUUUUUGAAAAAAAGCUAGCCGUUAUUUUUGAAAAAAAAAAUUCAGUUUUUUUUUUUUUUUUUACAAAAUUUUUAAAUCUAUUUUUUCCCUAUAACUUCCUAAGUCAUUAUACAACAUUAAAUUAAAUUAAGUAACAUGAAAUAACAUUAAACAAUAUGAAAUAAACAUUAAAUAACAUUAACCAACAUAAAGAUUUGGGAGCUUUAAUGAAAAGAGCUCGGGUCAACAAAUAUUUAACCAAAAACCAUCCCAAAAUGUUAUUUAACCAAAAAGGCUCAAAGUUUAAUAAAAAAUCAUCCAAAACUAUUGUUCACGGGCCAAACUUACAAGUCCAACCCGCUACAAAUCUACACUUCCGUAAAUACCCUAAAUGAUUCGAUGCAAGAGGAAACUGCAGUUCUUCGAGACCACGAACCGCGAAGAGGUUGAAGAUAUGUUCAGAUCGAGCUUUAUGAUCAACUCUAGUGCCAAAAGGAGCUGCCCAUGUACAUAAAUCAAAGCUGCUUCAUGGAUUGGUGCCAAUUCAAUUCAACGGACUACUACUAUUACACCUUUUUUCUUAUUUAUUUUUCACGAUUUUUGGUUUCUGGGUUUUAUAUAUGAGGAUAUGUACGGUCCAAAACGUGGCAAUCACGUCCGUAUAAUUUGUAUUACAAGUUCAUGGAUAGAUUCAAGCCUGGUGGGCAAGAUUGAAUUUCCAGGUUAUAUAUAUGAGGGGUACUUGGAUGAGUUUUUCAGACAGUUGGAUGUAGAUUUAUAUUUGUAUUCCUUCAUCAUCUGUGAGUGUGAAUUACUUCAAUCAUAUGAAUUAUCUUUCCUCCACAACUAGCUAGCUAAUUGGUAUUCUUUGAAUUCUUAUUAUUUAUUCUCUUUGGAUGUUGAACAUAUCUUCAACCUCUUUGCGGUUCGUGGUCUCGAAGAACUGCAGUUUGUUGGAGAAUGGUCCACACCAAAUUUGUAAAUGUAAUCAUUAAAACAUAUCGCUUAACUCAAAAUUACAAAAUUCACAAACCAAUAAAAAAAAAUAUUAACAAAUAGAAUGUUAAGUUACAUAUGUUGCUCAAGCUAAGAACGUAAUCUAUAAACUCGUUUCUCACAAACAGCGUCAAACUGUUCCUACUUCAGAAAAGUACUCCGCACCUAAAGUUCAUCAAGAAUUUGCUAUUUUUCAAGGGUAGAGUGCAGUGGAAAACAAUCAAACAUCACUCAUCAUUCAUCAAUUACCAUAAUUCAAAGUACUUGAGAUUAGCAGGCAAAGAAAUUAACUGAAAAAGGAAACUUUGCAUGGAAGGACCUGCUCGAAAAUCAAGUUUCAUGUCUCAGAAUAGAAAGUUUCACUGAGCUUUGACAGCAACGAAGGCAGCCAUGCCCAGUUCCAACAAAUCGACAAAAAUGGCAGAAUUCAUAAGAACCACCAGUCCUGAUGAAUUACAUAAUCUGUUCCUCUGCGAUCGUCUCUACCGUACGGUAUCAGAUAUAGUGUAAAAACUAAAAAGGUUUGUACUUGUGGUAGGUUUUUUUUUUCUAUAUAUGGGGCUGGUGCAUUGCUGCAAAGAUAGGAAAAGAGAUAGAGAGGAAGAUAAAGCUCUUGUCCUUGUUGGAAUUUAGAUUAUUAUUAGUUAUCUUGCGGGCCAAGGAUUAGUUACUUGCCCAUUAAGUUUUUGUUUUAGUCUAGGGUUUGCUUUAGUCUUUCUCUAUAUAAAGACCUCUUUGUAUUUGAUAUUUUUAAUCAAGUUAGUCACAAUGUAGCCUCUUAAGGUGUAUUUGUUACACCUCCUUAGAAGAGACUAGCAGGGAUUGGCUUAACUAGGACUAUAGUCCCGCGUUUGGCAUGGUCUUGGAUUAGAGUUAAUGGGACUCGCCUCGACUACGAGGCGCCCCGCACUUCACUAAACCUCAAUAUCUAGUCCCACCGUUUCACUUGGUAUUAAGCAAGACUAACAAAGAAACGAACCGACGACCUCAGCCCACCCUUUCUCUGCAUGCGUUUCUCUCUCUCUCAUCACAAAUCCAUGUGAUGCAGCCAUUCCUCUGCAGCCCACAAAAUUGAUUCCCACCACUCUUGCGGUGCAACCUUUCCUCCGCCGGUGGGAAACGGCGGUUACAAUGCCAUUUUUUUUUUCUGGGAAGCGUUGUUGAUGGUGUUGGGUGUGUGGCAGCUUACAAAACUGGGUAUUUCUGGGUCUCUCUCUUUCGGGUCUGGUUAUUUCUGGGUCGAUUGGGUCUUCGAAAAUCUAUUGUCGCAGACUAGUGAGUUGCUGCGGUAGGGAAGCAAUUGAAUCGCUUUAAUAGAUAAACAAUUGAAUUGGGAUAGAACAUCUGGGUAUUUCUUUAUUGUUGGUGUUGGUGAGUUGUUGCGAUAGGAAAUUAAAAAAAAUUGCUGGCAAUUGAAUUGGUAGACGAAGCAUCUGGGUCCUUCUUGUAUAGAGAAUAGAGAAGCAAUUUAAUUAGGUUUUUUUAAUUUAAAAUAACUACAAAAUAACAUUUUAUAAUAUAAAAUUUAAUAUUUUUUCAUGUCUAGCUUGUUAGUCCGGCGUCAUACCAAACACUUCACUAUUUUUAGUCCUACUUAGUCUAAGCCAAGCCAGUUCAGCUUAGUUCCUGAAGUUAGUCCAGUGCAACAAACGCUCCCUUAGGGUUUUGUAGCCAUUUCGGCAUUCUCAUUAGUUUAAUAAUAUUCUUUUUAUUUUGUAAUCUUGUUCGUUGAUAUUCAAACUUGGUAUCAGAGCCUUUAGGAUUUAAUUUGCUUCUGUUCAGUAUCAAUUUGUCCGUCUCUGCCGUGGAUCAUUGCCGCUGUUUCUUACCCGCAAUCUGCACAAGACCACCACGAAUCUGCAUCAGUCACUGCAUCAUGCCAGAUCCAGAUUGGCCACCAACCUGCACCCAGUUCCAUCUCCAUGGAUUCCAUCGCUGCUGCAUCGUCGCCGCACCACCAAGUCUCGCCUGCUUGAAACACCGCGCCACCAUCUACUCAACCUACUGCUGCUGCGUCCGGACCCGCACCACCCCGCCGACCAAACCCACCUGAUCAGUUCCGUCCAGAACCUGCACUGCGCACCCUCUGCACCAUCCCCGCGGUCCGUAUUCGUCCCUAACGAAGCCCAGAUCCAAGAACCACUCGGAUCAAGUUCGCCUGCAUCUGUUUCUAUUUCGCACCACACACCCGCUGCCUUAGAACCACUCUUUUGUGCUGUUUGUUCGCACCGCCGCGACACCAAUGCGCCACAGACCUCCAGUUUGAUUUUGCAUUGUCUGCCCAGAAAGAAAGGUUGUUUGUUGCUCGCAUGCUUGUUUGUUCGUUCGUUUGUUUGCUCGCUUGUUCGCCUUGUCUUGUCUUGUCCGCCUAACGGAACUUGCAUCUGCAUCUACUUGUUGGCAAACUCAUGUAUGUGUUCCGCCAUGAGUUUGAUGGGGGUGUUGGAAUUUAGAUUAUUAUUAGUUAUCUUGCGGGCCAAGUAUUAGUUACUUGCCCAUUAAGUUUUUUGUUUUAGUCUAGGGUUUGCUUUAAUCUUUCUCUAUAUAAAGACCUCUUUGUAUUUGAUAUUUUUAAUCAAGUUCGUCACAAUGUAGCCUCUUAGGGUUUUGUAGCCGUUUCAGCAUUCUCAUUACUUUAAUAAUAUUUCUUUUAUUUUGUAAUCUUGUUCGUUGCGCACUCUGAUAUUUAACUAUUCUGAGGUUAUUGCUCAAUAAAUAUGACCCCCAAAUUCCCAAACCGUAUCAAACAUGUAUAUGGUGAGAUCUUGGAAAGCUGCUUUUCAUCACAACUUUUGUUUUUUACCAUGUAACACUCACACCAUCACGUAAUAUUGUUGUUUCACUCAUAUUUUUUAAUCAUUAAUACUCACACCGCUAUUUAGUAUUACCAAUUCAGUUCUGUCAUAAAACAUGUAUUUUUUAUGGGAAACCAUUUUUCUCGUUUAUGCACCUUUGUUUGUUUCUAAUCUUUAAAAUUUAUGAUCCUUUAUUCUUCUUUUUCAAUAUAAAAAAUAAACAUGAUUGUGUAUGAGAAGAACAAAGACGUUCAGAAAUCAUUUCCUUGUUUAUUAAUAAUAUAAUCCUUCCAUAAAAUAUCAGUUAUAUCGUAAGAUGUGGGCUAACAAUACUUUGUCACAACAUGAACAGUUUGGAUAUGUGUACGCUUUGUAGAGACCAUAGGUUUUUUCCCAUUUAUCCAAUCAUUUUUCUACAUGUAAGUUGAUUUGUCACAUUUGAUUUGCCUUCCUUGUGGGAUAAAAGACUAUAAAUGCGCGGAGACCUCAAUGAUAAAUGCAGAUGGGAACAGGCUAGAUGAGAGGUGAAGAAAUAUGGGGCCAGAAAAGACCAAUAUUGAUGUAUUAUAUAUAGUCGAGAAUAUGAUAGUGUUAUUCACACAUAUUUUUUUACCCUUUACAUACUGUAUGUUAAUUUAUAUCUUUUGAUCUUUUUCAAUUAUUUGUUUUGACAGUCAAAAACUGAAAAAUGCAUGUAAAAGAUAAAAAAAGUGUGUAGAUAAUACCACUCCGAAAAUAUAAAGAUUUCGCCAUCAUUUUUAUAAAUUUGUUUGUAGUCUUGCUUGCUCAUGUUCAAAAUGUGUGGCAUACGCCAACUAGCCAAGGACCACAGUAUAAAAAAGGGGCUUGUAAGCUUCCACGCACCCUCAAAUACACGUAUUCGAGUCCACACUGUGAAUCGGAUUAGGAGAAAAAGUAAAUCAUUUUAGCACUGACGUUUUCUCUUUCUGCACUUAUUUCGUUGUUUUGUGUCUUAAUUUCUUUUUUGAAUUUAUUAAAUCUAACUACUAGAAAAGAAAAUGUGUGUAGGGAAAAAGAAAGCGAGUAUAUUGUUUUCCAUAAGAGAAUAACCUUUUUGUACGCGCACAUCUCAACUUUUCACAUGACUUAUAUCUCAUAUUAAGAGUGAGAUACAACAUGGGGAUAUAAAACCGUUUUAGGAAGAAAAAAAAUGGAUAUAAUGGGAUAUCUCUCUUUUCUUUCUGUAUAAUAACGUGAGCGGAUCACAUGAUGAGCAUGGCCGGCCUUGAGAUUUCAAGGACUCUGUGCAAAAGUAAAUUGGAGGUCCUAAAAAGUACUAAGAAUUUAAUUUUUUAUAUUUUUUUGUUCAAAAAAUUAACUUUAGUUUUAAAUUCUAAUAGCACAAACAAAUUUAACAAAUCAACAAGUGGAUAGGUGGCAUAUUGUUUUUCCUUAACUAUUUAGAGGGUCAGGGUUCGAAUUUUCAUGUUAUUGUGUGAAAAUUUUAUAUUAUUUUGUGGAAGCUGAUGCAUUUAAUAAAAAUAAACUGAAAAAAUGAUGAACACAAGUUUCGAACCCAUCCCCUAGGCCAAUGUAAAGAAGCAAUAAUACCACUUGUGCUAAGACUCAAGUUUUUUAGUUUCUACACAUAAUACUAUAUAUACGUAUAUGUAUGCAAAAUUGAAAAAUCAUGGACCCUUCCAAUUUGGGGGCCCUGUGCAGUGGCACUACUUGCACCCCCUCAAGGUCGGCUCUGAUGAUGAGAAAUAUAAAGAUAAUAGUAUGGUCGAUUGCAUGAAAGAAUAUCUCUCAUUUCAUUUAUUUUUCUGUCAUAUCAAUCCUUACCCACAAACUCGGCUCAAUGUGACUUGGAACUAAUAGUCAUUGCGGCUAUAUUAAUUAGUUUGAUUACAAAUUUCCAUCCAAAUUGGUGUUGUCUAGACUUAUUGUUUGUCAAGGGAUUGACUAAUGACUAGGGAUAUAUAGCUUAGGAAUUAAUACAUCGAAUUCACAUCCAAUCAAGUGUCAAAGAAAUUACAAAAAUAAAGUUUCUUAUUAAGUUGGUUAGAUCAGUGUGUUUUUUUCUCUACAUUUACAAUUUAGAUUAAUUUAGUGUACUCUUUCGUGUCCGUCCUAAAAAUUAAUGCAUGAUUACUUUUUAGAGUGAACUUCUUAUGUUCCCCAAGUUUUAUUAAAUUAAAAAAUUUAUAAAUUAACAACGAAAUUCAAAUGAUUGUAUAUACCAAAUAAAAAUUAGAUUCUGAUAUGAGUUCAUGUUUGACAUUGUUGAUAUCUCGUUUGUGUGAAAUCUAUAAGUCUAGCAACUCAUGUUGUGGCCAUUAAUGGUGAAUGCAUGAUUUAGAAGAAGGUUUCGUUUGAUUUAUCGAGAUAAUUUUAAUGUGAUCACAACUAUUUUUGCAUUGCAUUACAAAUUUAAUCAUGCUAUAAAAUACGUGUUUGUUUAUAAAAAUGUAAAAUUACUAUCUAUAUAUUAUAAUAAAUAAAUUAAUAACAUACGGAAAAUUAUCAUCGAGCCGACCACGUUUGAUGUUUUUUUAAUCCAACUUUCCACAAGUUUUCCAUCAAAUCUGCUUCGUCGCGAAUAGUGUAGCGUGCCUGGAAUGGAAGGUCCAUGUCACGUGGGGCAGCGACGAGACACGUGGCAGCAUUUGCAGCCGUAUGAGCACCCAAGGAUCACGUGGAGUCGUGGACACGUGUCGUAAUGUCGGUCGGGAGAGCUACCAUGGGUUUGGGGGUGGGAGGGUCCAUUCCAAUUCCUGCAACAAAGAAUCUCAAGGAAAUAUUUCCCCUCCCUCUCGCUCUCAGUAGUAAUUGAGUUUACAUGUAAACGACCAUUACGAAUGAAAAAUCGGAAGGAAAAAUAAAGGUUUUCGUAGUGUGUUUUGGUCAUAAAAACAUAUUUGAAGAAUCGCUUUCACGUGCUUAUCCAUAUGCACACUUUAUAACUGAAGUGUUUUUUCACCAUGGUCGUCUCAAGUAUACUCUAAAUGAUUCAUUUAAACCAAGUUUUCAGCAAGAAAGAAAACUGGAACAAAUCCAAUUUUGCAAUAUUUGCCUCUUAUUAGUUAAUUGCGAGUUCAUGAUUAGUCAAUAUGUAGAGAGAGACUGAUUUCUCAUGUCAAACAUUCAAGCAUGUUAUGUUGUGGAAUCUUAAUGCAUUCAAUCAUGCUCAGAAUUGUGGUGUAAGAACAUAUACAUUUAAAGGGGUCAAACGAAUAGGCCACCGUCAACUCGUUAAAUUAAGGCAUCACCAGCCCAAUCCGUUUUAAAGCAGCCCUAUCUUAUAACAAGCACUAGGUCGAGAUUAUGCCCAACAGGUCAACUCGACUUGUUUACUAAGUGGGCCAACUCAAGUACGACUCAAACACGCAUACUCCAAUUUGAAACCGAGAUGUCCAUUUGACACUUUGUUAAAGCUCAAAAAGUACAAUAAUUAGCCCUUGGUAGGCUUGGAAUUGAAACUAAAAUGAAAUGGACUCAUAAUUUAAGUGGUUCACCCCAAAACAAGACUACAUCCGCUGUGUUGCUCAGAUUAUAUUGAUUUCAAAGUUUACAAAUAGCGUUCGGCUAAAUACUAGAAUUUUAUCUCCCUUAAGUUGUCUGACCCCCUUACAAGAGGUUCCGACCCCUUUAUAUAGGCCAUCCAUGAACUCAAAAAGUCUUGGGCUCACCUAGUCUUAUUUUUCUAACAUUUAAUGUGACACCUACAUCAACUAGCGUGCUGACAACCUUUUUAACCAUCAGUCGAUAUUCAGCGGUGAAAAGACACUUGCUCAUUUAGAAUUGCACGCCCUUCAAGAUCAAUGUGUGUCGAGCAACCUACUCGGUCUUGAUUAGUCAACCAUGUCACUCCAAGCAGCAACUCAACCGCUUUUACGUCUCGUCGUAGACUUCUGACAUGAGCCCUGAGUGGUGUUUGAGUAGGUCUGCUCCUAAAAAUUUGUACCAUAAAGUUGUUGGUCUUCCCACGUGUCUUGGGGGUCGAAAAGUACUUUAUGUUGGUCAGUCGGACUACUCUGGUUAGUGGUCCCCCCUCUUUAAUUUUGUUGAGCCUUGGGCUUCUUAUUCUUCUUUGGGCUUUAACUUUUAUUGGGCCUUUUGUGGCCUUUUUCUAGCUUGCACUAUUUUGAGGGUUGAAAAGCACCCUGCAUUAACAAAUCUCUGUACACACCAGACAAAGUGGUAUUCCUUAGUAUCGCUUGUAUCGCACGGAGGUUUUGAGUUUAAAUCCCUCUUUUUUUUUAGUAUCGCUUGUAUUGCAAAAAAUAAAAAUAAAAAAAAAUAAAAAUAACAGGAAGCAUUUUUUGCCAAAACAUUCUACGUAGUUAUAGUGUGAAUCCAAACCGUUGAUUAGGUGGUACAUUUUAUAGUUAAGUUCUUAAUUACUUUAGUUCAGCCUUUGCCAAUAUGGCAAAAGAAUCACAAAGCAUAAAUUAACUAGAAUGCAGGGAGAUGGCCUUGCUCCACCAAAGAGGCAAUGCAAUCAUCAAACAUCUCUUGGAUACUCUUAAACUUGAACCCUAGACUCUCCCCAGCUUUGAGGUGUUCAACUCAUAAUAACGUGGCCUCCCUAGUUGGUCAAACCUAAAAAUUUUCACGUAAAAUUCGAUUAAAAGUAAUUGAUAUAACUGAUGCGCAUAGCGUGUGACGAUCUUUUUUUUUUUUUUUUUUUUUUUUUUUUUGGGAAUUUGGAGCAUAAAAAAUGGAUCGGCCCACAGUAUGAACCGAUAAAUUAUGCUUAAUUAAUUGUAGCUGGUAAAAAUAUCAAACCUUGUGGGGAUAGGCAAGGAAGGAUAUCUUGUAGAUAAUAAGGAACCCAACUCGGUGUUGUCCAUAACUGUUGAGCUACAAAUAUAUCUGCCAUGAGCACUUUCAUGCUCAUAAACUAAGAUGUGACAGAGUGCAACAUUAUCAAUGUGAACAUAUCCCAUCCUUCCAUACCACUUAAAUAUCUCUGUUUCCCCUGCUUGAUUGUUCAAACAAAUAACCGUGUAAUGUGCUUAUAAUCGAAGUUAAGUAAACGAAGAACUAGCGCGAAAAAUCACGAAGAUAAAUCUGUAGUAGUAGUAGUACCUUUAAGCAGGCCAAGAACAUCUGAUGCAGUAGAACACAACUCUGGUGGCAAACAAGGCCCGAUCACGAAGGAGGGUAGGACAGUAACCAUAUCAAUCCCAUUUUCUUUGCAGAAAUCCCAUCCUGCUUUCUCAGCUAAAAUUUUCUACUUAGGGUACCAAAUCUAGUGAAAUAGGUGCAGAUGCAUAAUUUGUCUGUUAAAUGGUUUGGACGGAUUAUAUAUAAUGCACAUGGAAAAGAAAACAUUGAGCUUAAGAAAUGUAAUAGCACAGAUCAAUAAAAUUCGGCAUUACUUUGCUUUGCAGCUAGGUAUUAGUAUAUAUGUCACGCCCCGAUCCCGACAUACGUCCAGGAUCGACACGUGACGUCACCUAAAACCCGUAUCUCAACAUACCCCGCCUCUGAGAUAUGGCAAAUCACAACUCGAGAAUCAAUUCUCAUAGUAAAUUUUUCUUUUCGUAUACUUUAUGGCUGCAUCUAACCUCCUCGUUAGACUGCCUACGUACCCUCAUUAGGGAUCAAGCCAUUCGUAGUUCACCAUUCAUUACACUUCGACAUUUAUCAUACGACGUUCAAUCAAAAAGCAUAGCAUUCCUCAAUCAAUUAUUAGAACUUAACAAGCAUGAAUUACUAGGUUCAUGGCUACAUAACAAACCACAUGACAUUCAAGGUUUCCAUUCCAUCCAUCAUAUAAAUCACUAUGGUUUCAACAUGAUCCUUCCAUACACAGCAAGUAACAUAUCCAAUAACCAACAAAGCACAUAUCAUUCGUAAGCCACAUGGAUCAACUAAAAUAAUAAUAUUAACAAUCAUAUCCAACGUCAUUUCACAAUCCCGUCAAUUAAUCUAUUCAUGAAUCAAGGAAGCAUGAUCUUAGCAUUUAAUUAUGUUAAUCAAUGCAUGUAGUAACAUAUCAUUUCACAAUUUAACCCAGGGAACUCUAUAUAAUACCCUUAUUGGAUUAUGAGCAAUAACAUGGUAAAUCUAUUUUAUAUUCACAAGGUCUAACGUGGAUAAUUCUCAUUCACUUGGAUCUAGGGUUCUUGACUAACCUUUUGGAACUGUGCAAGAGUAAGGAUUCCGGACCACUCAACGGAAUCCAAUCACAUCGAUUUCUCGUAAUCUAUCCAGACCUGUUGCAUGCAAAAUCAGUGCCAUCGAUCAUAGUUUAUAAUUCUCAAUAUAAGUUCGUAACUAUGAAUACAUAGUCAAGUCUCUAAUAACUCCGAAUGAGUUACCCAGACAUCCAACGACUUUUCUAAUUUAAACUACAAGAUUCUCAAAAUCCAUCUUUCAUAUGUACAAUAAACAUUAGGGCUAGAAGAACGCAGUUCGGUCGAAGCCUACAUAAGUAACCAAACAGGAAGUGGCCCCCAAAGCGGAUUACCCAAGCAGUGCCACCCCUGAGAAAAUAAUCAAGUAGGCAGCGACCUCCCAAUGCGGAUUAACCUAGCACAAUCACUCAUAUAGCUGUUAGAAAGUGAUCAUCCAAUGCGGAUUAACCAAACAUGAUCACUCUUAAGCAUACAUGGCCAUAAGGAUCGCCCAACGCGGAUUAACCAAGCACGAUCCAUAUAUAGUAUGGUCCCCCAAUGCGGAUUAACCAAGCAGGACCACUAAUUACCCCCAAUGCGGAUUAACCAAGCAGGGUCAAGAAAAUCAAGUAGGUAACGCAGAUAUACCAAGCAUGAUCACUCUUAAGUAUAAAUGGCCAUAAGGAUCGCCUAACACUGAUUAACCAAGCGCGAUCCAUAUAAAGUAUGGUCCCCCAAAGCGGAUUAACCAAGCAGGACCACUAGUGACCCCCCAAUGCGGAUUAACCAAGCAAGGUCAAAAUAAUCAGGUAGGUAGUGAUCACCCCAUGCGGAUUAACCAAGCAUGAUCACUCCUAGUACGCGUAUGGUCCCCCAAUGCGGAUAUACCAAGCAGGACCAUCAAUGUACAACUACUACAUGGUGCAGAAAAUUCAACACACACAACUUACCCAUCACUUAACCCCUAUGGAUUACAAUGUAAUCACCUACACCAACAAUUCUCAUGCCCACCAACUCAAAUGCCUCACAAGCAUAUAAGUUCUACAAAAAUACUUCUAAUAGGAAUCUACGAUCACAUUGUCACAACAUUUAUCGGACUUACCCUUCACAUUACUAAAAAGAUAAUUAAACGCACAUGUAUCACAAUCAUCAUCCGUACAUAAGCCAAUUCAUGUUUAAUAAACAUAAGUCUAUGGCCAAAUAUAUAAAAAGCACAUUUCAAUAGAAAUCACCUUUAUAAGACCAAAACAUAAUCACAUAUGAUACUAAUAUAAAAAUCAAGGUAAUAGCUUUGUCACAUAUACACAAGUCAUUCCCUAACCAAUGUAGACUCACUAGACUUCACUUAAUCUUCCGUAGUACUAAUUUUAGUAAUUAGGACGUUUCAUGACAUGUUGACCAAAAGUCAAUUCUCAAUAAACAUUAGGGUCCACAAACUUACGUAAUUUGAUUCGGAAGAUCCGCACCUCAGAUUUCUGAUCCAUAACUUUCCAAAGUCCACAUUAUGCUCAAAUAACAACAUACUAAAAUCUCAACACGAUCCGACCGUCGGAUCUCUGCCAAUUUCAAAAUUCAAGUGGCGGUCGACACUUAAUUUUUCAACUUCGAAAUCCAAUUAGGGAAGAUCCGUAUGUCGGAUUCCCGAUCCGUAAAUUUCUAUGAUCCAUAAAUAUUAUAUUCUAUCAUGCAUUAAGGUUUGGUGACAAUCUAACGGUUGGAUCGUCGAAUCAUAUUUUGACCUAACCACGUAUCAUAAUGAAAUUAGGUUCAAACAAUCAAACCAUAUCAUAAGGAUGUCAAUUAUGAAAUCAGGACAUCUAAUUGAACUUAAAAGGACAUCGUCGGCCCACUGGCCAGGGCGCCGCCGCACGCGCCACCGCAGGUGGCAGUCAGCCGCCCCAACUUGCCGAAAAAAUUCAACUAUUUUUAAAAAUUACCAAAAUUUACAGAAAUGAAGAUCUCAAUGAGUAGAGUAAGUUUUAUACCUGUGGCCAAGUCUAAUUUGGCGGGUAAAAGCCCCAAUUUUAUCCAUACCCGCAAGAACCCUAGAAAUUUGGGUGACUUUGAUUCGGCUUCUCCGGUGCUCCGCCGCCCCUAUAUUUGUUUGGGCUUUAUUCCAGACCUCAAGAAGAGGCUAUGGAUGGUGGUAAUCGAAGAAAUUUGUUUCAAAUUGGGAAAUCGUCCUCUAUGAACCCGCACACCCACCGGUGUGACUUUCCCAGUUUCAAGAUUAUUUUGCAUGGAAUGUGGGAUAGAAUAGGUAGAGGGGAAGAUGAGAAAUGGUUUCAAAGUGAUGAGAAACUUCAACUCGCUGGGAAUUUGCCGAAAGACUACCCAAUUCCAAUGGGUCUGCCCGUUGGUUUUGCACGGGUUCAGUGACCCGUUUCCUCCCCCCCCUUUCUGAUUCCUUUUUCCUCCCUUUUCUUUUUUUUUUUUGCUGCCACACGGCAGUUUCAAAUUAAUCUUUUUUUUUUCUUUUUUUUUCCCAUUUCUCAUUGGUCCCUUUCCCACUAUGUGGGAGUUCACUAAUUCCUACACUUUAUAGUGUCACAACUUCAAACGUUCAUAAAUAUACCGUUAUAAAUCGAACUCACAAACGGCAUUCGCCUAUGCGUUCGUGAUCUCGAAAUCUAUUCAGCAAUAUAAAUUGUGACCUCGAAAGGUUCGCAGAUUUUAACUAAUUACUUCCCAAACUUCAAACUUCGUGACUAAUUUAAUUAAAAUCUAAAUUCAAACAAUUUAAAAUAAAUUCUCAAUAAUACAAAUACGUAGGUGAUAAAAGUGAAAUCCAGGAACGAGAUUUCACAAUAUAUGAGAAGGGAUGCAUUCAAAGUUAUGCUAAAUUCGCCGAACAAAUAUGUAUUGGUUAGACUACUGUUCGGGCAGGAAUUUCGUUGGGAAAGGUCCCUGGCUCGAGCACACAGCUCCCCGAGGAAUUGGCGCCGAUUGAUGUGGCUGUCGGGCUCCUGCUUGUUGGCGGGCUGCAAUAGGAGGACAAAGUUAGUUAUGAAAUGUGCCUUUGUGGGGCCUUAGGUGUAGGCCUUGAGGCUCGCAAUCAAAACUAACUAAUUGCUCAGGCGUGCCACUGCCAUCUUCAACAUGGCAGAUGUAAAAUAAGUAUAUUCAGUUGUUUGCUUGUGCCCGAGAGACUAGUUCAGUUAUGAAAGAUGCCUUUGUUGGGCCUUAGGUAUAGGCCUUGAGGCUUACAAUCAUAACUAACCAAGUACUCUUAGCAUAUUGAUGUUGUUUCAUUGUUGUAAAGGUCAAACAACUGUUUUCAAGCUAAUUACUCGCGCCCGAAUGACUGAAUUAGCUCUGAUAGGUGCCUUUGUGGGGCCUUAGGUAUAGGCCUUGACGCUCGCUAUCAAAACCAACUCAACACUUUAAGCGUAUCAUUGUAAUUAUAGUAUAAUGGAUGUGAAGGUCGAUUACUUGCGCCCCAAGUUACUCGGACUUCUUGCUAUCAAAAGAUUAUCGUGGAUGAGUUAAGUCCACAUUAAGUUCUUUUUUAUGCCUUAAGACUAAGGACUUUUAGUUGAUCAAUCUCAUAUGCUUGAGAAGUGAGAAUUUAGAUCUGAUCAAAGCAUCAGUUCACCAAAUGGAUCAAAUCUAAGAACUUAUGGAUCUUUCAAUUACAAACUGACUGGAAAUGACUUGAAUAAACAUUGAAGUACUCAUUCUACUACCAGAUCUAUGUAUUGAAAGACGAAACAAAUAAGGUCGGGCAAGAACCACUCGGUCCGUAUUCGUCCCUAACGAAGCCCAGAUCUAAGAACCACUCGGAUCGAGUUCACCUGCAUCUGUUUCUAUUUCGCACCACACACCUGCUGCCUUAGAACCACUCUCUUGUCGCUGUUUGUUCGCACCGUCGCGACACCAAUGCUCCACAGACCUCCAGUUUGAUUUUGCAUUGUCUGCCCAGAAAGAAAGGUUGUUUGUUGCUCGCAUGCUUAUUUGUUCGUUCUUUUGUUUGCUGUUUGCUCGUUUGUUCGUUCGUUUGUUUGCUCGCCUGUUCGCCUUGUCUUGUCUUGUCCGCCUAAUGGAACUUGCAUCUGCAUCUACUUGUUGGAAAACUCAUGUCUGUUCCGCCAUGAGUUUGACGGGGGGUGUUGGAAUUUAGAUUAUUAUUAGUUAUCUUGCAGGCCAAGGAUUAGUUACUUGCCCAUUAAGUUUUUGUUUUAGUCUAGGGUUUGCUUUAGUCUUUCUCUAUAUAAAGACCUCUUUGUAUUUGAUAUUUUUAAUCAAGUUCGUCACAAUGUAGCCUCUUAGGGUUUUGUAGCCGUUUCGACAUUCUCGUUAGUUUAAUAAUAUUUUUUUUAUUUUGUAAUUGAUAAAUAUCGUUUUGCUGAUGAAUAAUCAAGCUCUCUCACCUUGAAUCCCUGCUGCAAUGGCAGCAUGGUUUAUAUACAAGUUUACAAGCAUGCAAUAAACAAUACUACUGUCCUUAACCCUUGCUGUACUGACAGCAUGGUUUAUAUACAAGUUUAAUACACGCAUGCAAUAAAUAAUACAGGUGGCAGAAACCAUGUGAAGUAUUCCUUCUGUCAGGGUGUGCAGCUAAGUAUUCCUUCUGUCAGGUUGUGCAGCAAGUGGAUUGCAGCUGGAAGGUUGAGGUUGAAUUGGUGGUGCUGUCGUGGACCUUUCUUUAGGGUUUGGUUUAUCACACCCCCGCAAGCUGACGGGGCGUUGACGAACGGGAAGCUUGGAGAUAAGAUAAUGGAAACGGACAGAGGACAAACCCUUGGUUAAAAAAUCAGCAAUUUGAUCUGUGGUAGCCACAUAACCAACCUCUAGUUCCUUGCGAAUGACCUUUUCCCUUAUGUAGUGAUAAUCCACUUCAACAUGGCGCAUGCGAGCUUGAUAAACAGGAUUGGAAGCAACAGCAAUGGCGCUGAUAUUGUCACACCAGAGACGAGGUGGCUGUAAUGGUAGAUAUAAAUCACGGAAUAGAUUUCGAAACCAUGAUAGAUGGGCAGAAGUAUAGGCAAGUUGACGAUACUCCGCCUCUGUGCUGGACCGGGACACUCCACGUUGCUUUUUCGAACUCCAGGAAAUUAAAUUAUCUCCAAGAAAUAUGCAGUGACCUCCAGUGGAACGACGGUCAUCAGGGUCGCCGGCGUAGUCAGCGUCAGCGAAGGCAGUUAGAGUGAGGGGACUGGGUUUGUAAAUUAAGCCAUGAUCAUGUGUGCCUUUCAAAUACCGUAAGAUGCGUUUGACUGCAGCCCAAUGUGCAGUAGUUGGAGAGUGCAUGAACUGACACACUUGGUUGACAGCGUAAGCAAUAUCAGGACGUGUAAAUAGAAGAUAUUGAAGGGCGCCCACAACACUGCGAAAAGAAGAUCCAUCUGAGAGAGGCUCUCCAUCAUAUAAACUCAAGCGUGUUGUGUGAACCGUCGUAGGCCACUGAAGCUCAAGGGAAAUUUUAUAGGAUGGCAAUAAGGCCAGCGAUGUUGUAUGGCACAGAAUGUUGGGCGGUGAAGCAUCAACACGUACACAAAAUGGGUGUAGCGGAGAUGAGGAUGCUUCGUGGGAUGUGUGGGCACACGAGAAAGGAUAAGAUUGGGAAUGAGGAUAUCCGAGGUAAAGUAGGAGUAGCCGAAAUUGUAGGAAAGAUGAGAGAAAAUCGGCUCCGGUGAUUUGGACAUGUGCAAAGAAGGCCGACUGACGCUCCGGUUCGAAGAUGUGACUACGGGACAGAGGUUCAGGGCCGAAGGGGUAGAGGAAGACCUAGGAAAAUUUUGGAAGAGACUCUAAGAAAAGACUUAGAGUACUUGGAUCUAACGGAGGACAUGACACAAAAUUGAGCGCAAUGGCGUUCUAGGAUUCAUAUAGCCGACCCCACUUAGUGGGAAAAGGCUUUGUUGUUGUUGUUGUUGUUGUUGUUGUUCGUUGCGCACUCUGAUAUUCAACUGUCCUGAGGUUAUUGCUCAAUAAGUAUGACCCCCAAAUUCCCAAACCGUAUCAAACAUGUAUAUGGUGAGAUCUUGGAAACCUACUUUUCAUCACAACUUUUGUUUUUUACCAUGUAACACUCACACCGUCACGUAAUAUUGUUGUUUCACUCAUAUUUUUUAAUCAUUAAUACUCACACCGCUAUUUAGUAUUACCAAUUCAGUCCUGUCAUAACACAUGUAUUUUUUAUGGGAAACCAUUUUUCUCGUUUAUGCACCUUUGUUUGUUUCUAAUCUUUAAAAUUUAUGAUCCUUUAUUCUUCUUUUUAAAUAUAAAAAAUAAACAUGAUUGUGUAUGAGAAGAACAAAGACGUUCAGAAAUCAUUUCCUUGUUUAUUAAUAAUAUAAUCGUUCCAUAAAAUAUCAGUUAUAUCGUAAGAUGUGGAUUAACAAUACUUUGUCACAACAUGAACAGUUUGGAUAUGUGUACGCUUUGUAGAGACCAUAGGUUUUUUCCCAUUUAUCCAAUCAUUUUUCUACAUGUAAGUUGAUCUGUCACAUUUGAUUUGCCUUCCUUGUGGGAUAAAAGACUAUAAAUGCGCGGAGACCUCAAUGAUAAAUGCAGAUGGGAACAAGCUAGACGAGAGGUGAAGAAAUAUGGGGCCAGAAAAGACCAAUAUUGAGGUAUUAUAUAUAUAGUUGAGAAUAUGAUAGUGUUAUCCACACAUUUUUUUACCUUUCAUAUACUUUUAUGUUAAUUUAUAUAUUUUCAUCUUUUUUAAUUAUUUGAUCCGACAGCCAAAUAUUGAAAAAUGUCUGUAAAAGAUAAAAAAGAGUGUGUAGAUAAUACCACUCCGAAAAUAUAAGUGUGAACACGGAAAAUUCCUGAAACGAAAGAAACAAGAACGACGUGCACAAACAAAUAUUAUGUAUUUGAUGAUUUUGGAUUACAAUCUCUCUUAAAUUUGAUCAUCUGAUUCAAUCUCCGUAAGGUGUGUAUUUGUGGAUGUGCGAUUGAUCCAAAGGGCCGUUUGGGCUUGAUCUAAGGAUGAACGUUCUUCAAGGGCCGUGGACUUGAUCUUGAAGGUGGAUUUGAGCGGAUCUUCAAAUGGGCUUUUGGGCUUGAUCUUUGAAGAACAAUGAUGAACGGAUCUCCAAGGGCUUUUGGGCUUGAUCUUGAAGAACGAUGAACGAAGAACGAAGAACACUUUCUUCAAGGGCCGAAGGGCUUUAUCCUGAAGGUGGAUGAUUGUUGAUCCAAGGGGCCGUCGGGGCUUGAUCUUGGAAGAAUGAUGAACGAUGGUGCUUUCUUCAAGGGUCGUCGGGGCUUGAUCUUGAAUUGGUGGAAGUUCUUCAAGGGCCGUUGGGGCUUGAUCUUGAGGAUUGGUGGAUGAUUGUUGAUCCAAAGGGCCGUUGAGGCUUGAUCUUGGAAGAACGAUGAACGAAGAACGAAGAAGGCUUUCUUGAUUCUUCGGGAACCUGGAUGCUUGAGAGCUUCAGAGUUUCAGAGCUUCAGGGCUUCCAGGUGUAAUAUGAAUUGGUUCCUCCCCCCAAAUGAAUGAAAUGGGCUUGUAUUUAUAGAAUUUUCCAAGGCCUAAUUUUGAAUAUAAUAUCCCAGAUGAAAUAAGUCGUUUCUGCCAGGUGUUGACACGUGUCCUAUUUGAUGACUUUUCCAACUCAUUUCAAUUUUCGUUUAAUCACACGCUACAUGUAAAAUUUAUGUAAUACAUGAGCGUUGACACUUUGAUUUAUCGGUCAACAUUUAUUUACCGAAAUUUCGAUGUCUACAAAUGCCCCCACUUCAAGGCACGUCAUAUACAUGUGCUUGUCACGUGUAGGAGAUGCGUUUUGAAGUCCCUUACUGUAGAUGUCGAUCCAAGGGCCAUCGAGGCUUGAUCUUGAAUUGGGCUGGAGAUUUCUUCAAGGGCCGUUGAGGCUUGUUCUUGAACUUUUAUUUGAAAUUUCUUCAAGGGCCGUCGAGGCUUGAUCUUGAGGGUUGAAAUUGGACCACAAGGAGCUUCAUGUGGUAGAUCAUCUUUAGAUUUGGUAGUGGGUGAAUCGGCACGUAUUUUGUUGCGCUUGUUGACUUUCCACAGCUUUGAUCUUGAACUGGGUUGAAGGAUUUUCUGGAUUCCUCCAAUUGUUGAUUUUCCACAGCUUAUUCUUGAACUAGGUUUUGAUUCAAGGGUGGUAGACACUUAAUCUUGAAUCGGACUUGUGAUUUCUUCCAGGGCCGUCGAGGCUUGAUUUUGAAUUUGGCUGGAAGCUUCUUCAAGGGCCGUUGAGGCUUGAUUCUUGAAGGCUGACUCGAACACAUGGCAAGCAGGCACGAGGUGAAGGUGACGACUUGUUGCUUUGUUCAAUCUUUCUAAUUCACACCUGAGCAGUUUGGUCAACGGUAUGAUCUUCAAGAUUGAUGGGCUCUUCUUCCAGUUGGUGACUUGGUCUUUAAGGAUUUGAUUCAAGGGUGGUGAAUCGGCACGUGCAGCCCACAACGCCUAGUAAGUCGACCCAAGAAUUUGAGGGUCAAAACGAGUUCACCGUCCUCAGGCAGAUGCGGCAUCUUCUCGAGUUCUUCAUCUCAGACUCUUUUUGCUGAGUUGACUGUGCAUGCUGCAUUCUUCUCUGCUUGUUUCUUCAGGCAGAUGUGGCAGCUUCUCGAGUUCCUCAGUUCGGACUCCUUCUGCUGAGUUGACCGUGCAGACCGCAUUCUUCUCUGCUUGUUCCUUCUGCACCUUGUCUCCACAUGCUGCAAGGUAUCAUUUUCACUUGCCUUAUCUGUCCUCCAGGCAGAUGUGGCAGCUUCUUUGAAAGUACAGCAGCGGUGGAAGGCGAGUACUCGAGAGCAGUGCUAGGUAGGCAAUCAGGGAAGGGUUCCAAGCAGUCGGUUCCUUACCCGAGUUUGAGUGGAAGUUCCAGCAUAUUGUUUUCUUUAUCCUUGUCUUUGUAGGUAGGAACAAGGACAAAGGAAAUGACAGGGACAACGCAUGUUAUGAGAUACUCUUGCUUUCUACCCUGGUGAUAUGAGAUACUUUUGCUUUGGAGUCAUUAGCUUGCAGAGGUACCCCAAGGAAUAAGGAACACUGAAUGACUCGAGAGGUUUCGUUGGGAAAACAUUUUUUGAGAUGAAGAAAGGCUCUGUAUGUCUGCCUUGCUAUGGAAGGCGAAGGUAGACAAUUAUAGGAAGUUCUUUGAUACCUGUAGAGGUACUAUUCUUUCACUCGUGUCGGCAACCGAUGCGUGAUUGAUCUAUAUAGCUUCACGUGCUUGUUUCUUUAUUAGAAAUUUUUGACAAAUUGUACCUCUUCUUUCUUCAACACUUUGAAAAUGUCAGGACCCUUCGAUCGUCGUUUUGACUUGAAUCUUGGUGAAGAGGCAGUCCCGCCUUCUCCAGACAACAUAUGGCGCCCAUCAUUCAUAUCCCCUACUGGUCCUCUUACCGUUGGGGAUUCGGUGAUGAAGAAUGAUAUGAUCGCUGCGGUGGUGGCCCGGAAUCUUGUCACUCCCAAAGAUAAUAGACUACUUUCCAGGCGGUCUGAUGAGUUGGCUGUUAAGGAGUCUCUGGCUCUUAGUGUGCAGUGUGCGGGUUCCGUGUCCAACAUGGCCCAACGCCUAUUUGCUCGAACCCGUCAAGUUGAAUCGUUGGCGGCUGAAGUGAUGAGUCUCAAACAGGAGAUUAGAGGGCUUAAGCAUGAGAAUAAACAGUUGCACAAGCUCGCACAUAACUAUGCCACAAACAUGAAGAGGAAAAUUGACCAGAUGCAGGAAUCUGAUGGUCAGAUUUUACUUGAUCAUCGGAGGUUUGUGGGUUUGUUCCAACAACAUUUGCCUUCGUCUUCUGGGGCUGUACCGCGUAGUGAAGCUCCGAAUGAUCAACCUUUGGCUCCUCUUCUUCCUGGAGUUCCGCCGAGUGGUGAGGCUUCAAACAGUCAACCUCCAGCGCCUCUCAUUUCUGGAGCUCUGUCGAGUGGUGAGGUGGCGCCUGAUCGUCCUUGAAGAUCCCCUCUUGUAAAUUUGAUUUGAUUUGAUUUUUUUUUUUUAAGGUAUGUAUAAUGCAAAUUUAUGUAAAAUUUCCAGAAAAAUAAAUAAAAUGGACUUUAUUUCUCUCAAUGCAAUUUCUUUUUUUUUUUGCUAUAUAUAUAUUAUGUACACACAUAUAUAUAUAUAUAUAUAUAUAUCUAUAUAUAUUAUUUCUUUUUCUUUUGGCGCUGUACAACCAUCCCCUUUUUUUUCUUUUGUUUUUUUUUCUUUUUCUUUUGGCGCUGUACAACCAUCCCUUUUUUUUUCUUUUGUUUUUUUCUCUUUUUCUUUUGUCACAUGGUGCCAGACGCACCAAAGAUCUUUUUUUUUUCUCUUUUAUUAUUAUUAUUAUAUAUAUAUAUAUAUUUUUUUUUUGCCUUUAAUUAUGGUGCCAGAUGCACCCUCCCCUUUUUUUUAUAUGGUGCCAGACGCAUCAUGCAUUUUUAUUAUUAUUAUUAUUAUUAUUAUUAUUAUUAUUAUUUUCUUUUUCUUUUGGUGCUGGAUGCACCAAGUUCCAUCAUCAUUUUUUUUUUCUUUUUCUUUUUGCACAUGGUGCCCAUGCACUACCAGGAACUUUUGAUCUGCCAUGGGGCUGUUCCCCAUCUUUGAUCCACCAUCCCAUUUUCUAUUAUUAUUUUUUUGUAUAAAUUUCGAUGAUGGGCUGGGGAAUUUACAGGGAGCGGAGCAAGGAGGAGAGGAUGGGGAGUUGGAGAGGGCUUCGGAGCACCGGUGCUUCAGCCAUGGAGGGCACGAGGUCGUCAGUGCCAUAUUUCGUCGUCUGCUGGAAUAGUCUAGGGAGCGAGCUUCUUGCAGUGGGCACACCGCGAUGCGUAGAACUGAACGACGAUGAUGACGGUUCCUUGUUGUCGUGACCUUUGGCGGAUGGAGUGAGAGUCCUAACUUUGAGUUCGAGGGCUGUGAGGACGUGGUUUGACGGAGAUCUUGCCAUCGUCGUUGGAAUCGAAGCUUUUGAAGACCUUUCUGGUCUCCUCGGCGACGAAGCUGCACUCGUCGAUGCGAGCAGGCGGCGGAACGGUGGUGGCUGCAACGCUGUGAUCUCUUGAAGUCCCUGCAGCUUGUCUUGAAUGCACGUACCAAGCAAACCGCCCGGAAAUCGACGGAGGCAAGGCCCCAAGGAAGCAGCUGGCCACCAAGGCAGCCUGGAAGUCUGCUCCGGCGACCGGAUGAGUGAAGAAGCCUCACCGCUUCAGGCCGGGAACGGUGGCGCUGAGAGAUCAGGAAGUACCAGGAGAGCACGGAGCUCCUGAUCCGUAAGCUGCCAUUCCAAAGGCUGGUGAGGGAGAUCGCCUAAGACUUCAAGACCGAUCUGAGGUUCCAGAGCAGCGCCGUGGCGGCGCUCCAGGAGGCGGCGGAGGCGUACUUGGUGGGACUGUUCGAGGACACCAACCUAAACAACUUUUAAAGAGCAUCGAGCCAUUGCUAAAGCGGAAGAGCCUGGCGGACGGCGUUUGGGUUCGAGCCAAAAAGGAGAUGAUGUCGGUAUCUUUACUCAGCCCUUGCCUCUCGGAGCCGUCGCUUUGCUCGGCCUCGGCGCAUCUGUCCUCAUCUAACACUCGAAAAUAUUCCUCUUUUCUCAUAGUUCCCUGUUCUUGAGCUCUGUACCCUUCUUCACAUGACUCAUCUUUUUCGGGAAUCACUUCAGGUGGCUGAAAGGCACCCUGACUGGGAGCGCUUCGUUCAUACGGUUGUGGGUUUUCAUCAGGAACAUAUCCCAGAUCCAAGAGUAUCCUAGCCUGACCAAAAUCCACCAGCUUGAGAACUCCAUCGUCCCUAAUCAACAAUUUACAGGGCUUCAAAUCGCGGUGGACCACCAAAUUCUGAUAACACGAGUCAACCUCCGAUAGGAUUUGCAACUUCCACCGCUUGAUCUCGGACAUGUUGGAUGCUAGUUUCUUGUGAGUCGACUAGGUCCAGAGGGAGCGGAUCUCAUCGGAACCAAGAUUCUGUGUGGUCGCGUACUGCUGAUGCACGUGCUGGAACAGAAUUGCUUCAGCGAGAGCUUGUUCCUGGACCAGAGCGUCGUCGAGCUUCUUUUUUCCGGAAGGAUCGGACACGGCUCCAGUGGUUGCUGGAAUUGGGUUUUGGCGGUGGACUGUAGCGGGAAGCACUAGUUGGAGCAGUGCCUGGUGCGAAUUUGUUUCAACGAGCCAACGCUUCAAUGGACCGACAGAUCGGAGCAUGGAAUGGAUCCGCCGCCAUUUCUCAAAUCACAGUUGGAUCGCGCGGAGCACCCCCUCUCUAUCUGUAAAUGAUUUCAGAAGCUUUGCCGCUCGCAGCUCAACCGCUCGCAGGUGGUGUUUUAUUUGUAGACGAAGACGAGUUCACUGAGUCACAAUUGAAUCCUUCAUCAUCUUCAGCUACUCUUGCCGCCAUGGACGAGUUGCUCGAGCUCUGCAACUCUUAUGUCCCUCCAUUGUUGUCGCGAGAACGGCUUGGUAUCUUUUCCGGUCAGGGUAAGCAUGUGCUCUCCAGAUUUCUUCACAUCACCGCCAGUGUAUGGGACGGCGUGCGAUGCCAUUGUCGGUUGGUGCUCUUUUAGCUGCUGCUCGGGCGGGCCACGAGAGUUGGGCUCUUGGCAUCUGGGCCUGUGAAAUGGAGGGAGGCCUGGGCCUGGAAGAAGAAGAAGCAGACAUUUUGGCGAAGGGAUAGGCCUGGCAUUUGGGUCUUUUGCUGACAUUUUGAUUUUUUUUUUAUUUUGAUUUUUUUUAUUAUUAUUUUAUUAAUUUUUUUUUUUGAAGCUGUAAUAAAUGAAUAUAUUUUUUGUAAAUACAUAAAACAUAUGUAUUUUUUUUUCUUUUCUUUAAUAAAACAUUUUUUUUAUUUUGAUAUGACUGAACUCGAAAUUAAAUAUUACAGCUGCCUACGUACCCUUUCAAAGAAAGAGAUCAAGUCAAAACGUAUUCAAAUACAUACAUAUUUUUUUGGUAUAUUUUUUUUUUGUGCCGUUUGCAGUUUUAACUCAUGCAGGCAAGGAGUGUUGGUGCCGUGUUGCAGUUUUAGCUCGUGCAGGCAAGGAGCGUUGGUGUCGCCUUUUAUGCUCGUGCAGACGAGGAGCGUUGGUGUUGCCUUUUAUGCUCGUGCAGACCAGGGGCGUUGUGCCAUGCAGUUUAGACUCGUGCAGGCGAGGAGCGUUGUGCCAUGCAGUUUAGGCUCUUACAGACAAGGAGCUUUGGUGUCACCUUUUAUGCUCGUGUAGACGAGGAGCUUUGGUUCGUGCAGUUUAGGCUCGUGCGAACAAGGAGCAUUGUGUCCUACAGUUUAUGCUCGUGCGGACAAGGAGCUUUUGUUGAUUUUGUCAAGCAAUUUUGGAAAGGCGUUCCUCACAAUCUUCAUAGCAAGGACCCUUGACCGCGUAAUUGAAGAAGUCUUCGGGUAAGAAGUCGCGCAUCGUGAUGGCCACAGACGAUCUUUGUGUCGUAAUUUCAUCCUUUUCAACACGUUCACAUUGCUUUGAAGGUUGACAAGAGCUGAUUUGCCCCCUUUCCGAUUGGCGGAGUUGUGGAGGGGACGUAUGCUUCUUGUGUCAUUUCUUAGGAGUGACUUGAGUCCAUCCUUCAAUUUUGCUUGUCUUGGAGGAUGCCCCCAUCGGUUGAGGUGAAAACUUCGAGUCGGAAGAGCCAGGAGUGAAGGUGGUAUAGUUUAUGUUCACCACAUCGUCAAGAUCUAGCUCGAUGAUUUCUUUCUGAGCCAGCUUCAUGAUGAGAUCUUUCAGCAAGAAACAUUUUUCUGUCGGAUGACUGAUGAAGCGGUGGAAUUUACAGUACCUUGGACUGUCAGUGCGAUUCAUCUCUUCUGGCCGUUUGCACUCAGGUAAACUAAUCACCUUCUUUUCCAGCAAGUCUUCUAACAUGGCAACCGCAUCAGAGUCGGGGAAUGGAUAAGUUUUCUCCUCAAGCUCCUUCAAAGUGCGUCUACGCAUCUCUUGAUCACGAAAGCCUUCGGCUUGAAUCGCCUUGCCUCGUGUAGGGAUUUUGACGGGAGCUGUGUUGACUGUCAUUGCUUCUUUGGUGGAUUUCCACGUAGCCUUCUCCACCUUUGUCUCAAGAACUUUGUCGUUCUUGUAGUUGGCGAUUGGUUCCUUCUUCCCAUGAUGGGGCGAUGCUCAACUCCAUGUCAUGGGCGCGGGUGGCCAAUUCCUCGAAGGUCCGUGGUUUAAUGCCUUGAAUGAUGUAUUGCAAACCCCAUUGCAUGCCUUGGAUGCACAUCUCGAUUGAAGAGGUUUCCGAGAGCCUGUCUUUACAGUCGAGGCUUAGAGUGCGCCAUCUGUUGAUGUAGUCAAUGACUGGCUCGUCCUUCCACUGCUUUGUGCUCGUUAACUCUAGCAUGCUCACAGUGCGGCGGGUGCUGUAGAAGCGAUUGAGGAAUUCCCGCUCUAAUUGCUCCCAGCUGCUGAUGGACUCGAGCUCUAGGUCCGUGUACCACUCAAAGGCGUUUCCUUUUAGCGAGCGCACAAACUGCUUGGCAAGGUAGUCCCAUUCGGUCCCUGCGUUGUUGCAAGUUUCAACAAAAUGGGCAACGUGCUGUUUCGGGUUUCCUUUUCCAUCAAACUGCAUGAACUUUGGUGGUUGAUAACCCCUUGGCAUCUUCAGGGCAUCAAUCUUCUUGGAGUAGGGCUUCGAGUAGAACAAGGAGGUAUGUGAGCUCCCUUCGUACUGUGCCUUGAUGGUGUUGGUGAUCAUCUCCUGCAGCUGCUGGAUAGAAAGAGAUCCCAUGAGUGCCGCUGCUUGGUCUGGCUCCGGCUUCGCAUCGUUUUUCUUCACCGGGGGUUCUUUGUCUCCGCCAGCUCCUCCCUUUGGUGGAUCAUCCUCUGGGUCGGGUUUAUCGCCGUCCUGCGCCUCCAGUCGGUUAACUAGUGCUGCAAUUUGCAAGUCUUUUUCUUCCACAGUUCGGGUUAGCCUUGCGAUUGCUUCAUUCAUUUGAGCCAGCUGCUCAUCGAUUGAAGUUGCUCCAAUGGUCAUGACUUGCAUGGCUGAACUGUCGCUUGAAUCGGCAUCGGAGAGCAUGGAUUCAGAGUAUUUCCUUGGGCUUUCCUCCCUUGGUGCCCUUAGUGAGGCUAAGGUGAUCAAAGGCUCGUGCCUUGGGUGCUUUUGUUCCCUUGGCAGAGUUGAUGCAGAGGUGAAAGAGGCGGCGGAAGUAGCUCUUGCCAUGCUUCGAGUCGUGAUGCCCAAAGUGACACCAUUUGCGACGAGGACGCUUUUGUUCUUUGCGCCGGUUGCGGGAACAGUUUGAGCCUUCCUUGAUGCCAUUAAUUUUGGAAGUGCGCUUGAAUUUCUUGAACGGAGAAAGAGAUGAGAGGUAGAGAUUGUCCCACCGGGCGUGCCAAUUUGUGAACACGGAAAAUUCCUGAAACGAAAGAGACAAGAACGACGUGCACAAACAAAUAUUAUGUAUUUGAUGAUUUUGGGUUACAAUCUCUCUUAAAUUUGAUCCUCUGAUUCAAUCUCCGUAAGGUGUGUAUUUGUGGAUGUGCGAUUGAUCCAAAUGGCCGUUUGGGCUUGAUCUAAGGAUGAACGUUCUUCAAGGGCCGUGGACUUGAUCUUGAAGGUGGAUUUGAGCGGAUCUUCAAAGGGGCUUUUGGGCUUGAUCUUUGAAGAACAGUGAUGAACGGAUCUCCAAGGGCUUUUGGGCUUGAUCUUGAAGAACGAUGAACGAAAAACGAAGAACACUUUCUUUAAGGGCCGAAGGGCUUUAUCCUGAAGGUGGAUGAUUGUUGAUCCAAGGGGCCGUCGGGGCUUGAUCUUGGAAGAAUGAUGAACGAUGGUGCUUUCUUCAAGGGCCGUCGGGGCUUGAUCUUGAAUUGGUGGAAGUUCUUCAAGGGCCGUUGGGGCUUGAUCUUGAGGAUUGGUGGAUGAUUGUUGAUCCAAAGGGCCGUUGAGGCUUGAUCUUGGAAGAACGAUGAACGAAGAACGAAGAAGGCUUUCUUGAUUCUUCGGGAACCUGGAUGCUUGAGAGCUUCGGAGUUUCAGAGCUUCAGGGCUUCCAGGUGUAAUAUGAAUUGGUUCCUCUCCCCAAAUGAAUGAAAUGGGCUUGUAUUUAUAGAAUUUUCCAAGGCCUAAUUUUGAAUAUAAUAUCCCAGAUGAAAUAAGUCGUUUCUGCCAGGUGUUGACACGUGUCCUAUUUGAUGACUUUUCCAACUCAUUUCAAUUUUCGUUUAAUCACACGCUACGUGUAAAAUUUAUGUAAUACAUGAGCGUUGACACUUUAAUUUAUCGGUCAACAUUUAUUUACCGAAAUUUCGAUGUCUACAAUAAGGAUUUCGCCAUCAUUUUUAUAAAUUUGUUUGUAGUCUUGCUUGCUCAUGUUCAAAAUGUGUGGCAUACGCCAACUAGCCAAGGGGCUUGUAAGCUUCCACGCACCCUCAAAUACACGUAUUCGAGUCCACACUGUGAAUCGGAUUAGGAGAAAAAGUAAAUCAUUUUAGCACUGACGUUUUCUCUUUCUGCACUUAUUUCUUUGUUUUGUCUCUUAAUUUCUUUUUUGAAUUUAUUAAAUCUAACUACUAGAAAAGAAAAUGAGUGUAGGGAAAAAGAAAGCGAGUACAUUGUUUUCCAUAAGAGAAUAACAUUUUUGUACGCGCUCAUCUCAACUUUUCACAUGACUUAUAUCUCAUAUUAAGUUAGAUACAACAUGGGGAUAUAAAACCGUUUUAGGAAGAAAAAAAAAUGGAUAUAAUGGGAUAUCUCUCUUUUCUUUCUGUAUAAUAACAUGAGCGGAUCACAUGAUGAGCAGGGCCGGCCUUGAGAUUUCAAGAACUCUGUGCAAAAGUGAAUUUGAGGUCCUAAAAAGUACAAAAAAUUUAAUUUUUUUUUAUUUUUUUGUUCAAAAAAUUAACAAGUGGAUAUGUGGCAUAUUGUUUUUCCUUAACUAUUUAGAGGGUCAGGGUUCGAAUUUUCAUGUUAUUGUGUGAAAAUUUUAUAUUAUUUUGUGAAAGCUUAUGCAUUUAAUAAAAAUAAACUGAAAAAAUGAUGAACACAAGUUUUGAACCCAUCCCUUAGGCCAAUAUAAAGAAGCAAUAAUACCACUUGCGCUAAGACUCAAGUUUGUUAAAUUCUAUACAUAAUACUCUAUAUACGUAUAUGCAUGCAAAAUUGAAAAGUCAGGGGCCUUCCAAUUUAGGGGUCCUGUGCGGUGGCACCACUUGCACCCCCUCAAGGUCGGCUCUGAUGAUGAGAAAUAUAAAGGUAACAGUAUGGUCGAUUGCAUGAAAGAAUAUCUCUCAUUUCAUUUAUUUUUCUGUCAUAUCAAUCCUUACCCACAAACUCGGCUCAAUGUGACUUGGAACUAAUAGUCAUUGCGGCUAUAUUAAUUAGUUUGAUUACAAAUUUCCAUCCAAAUUGGUGUUGUCUAGACUUAUUGUUUGUCAAGGGAUUGACUAAUGACUAGGGAUAUAUAGCUUAGGAAUUAAUACAUCGAAUUCACAUCCAAUCAAGUGUCAAAGAAAUUACAAAAAUAAAGUUUCUUAUUAAGUUGGUUAGAUCAGUGUGUUUUUUUCUCUACAUUUACAAUUUAGAUUAAUUUAGUGUACUCUUUCGGGUCCGUCCUAAAAAUUAGUGCAUGAUUACUUUUUAGAGUGAACUUCUUAUGUUCCCCAAGUUUUAUUAAAUUAUAAAAUUUAUAAAUUAACAACGAAAUUCAAAUGAUUGUAUAUACCAAAUAAAAAUUAGAUUAUGAUAUGAGUUCAUGUUUGACAUUGUUGAUAUCUCGGUUGUGUGAAAUCUAUAAGUCUAGCAACUCAUGUUGUGGCCAUUGGUGAAUGCAGGAUUUAGAAGAAGGUUUCGUUUGAUUUAUUAAGAUAUUUUUAAGGGUAAAUUACAUUUUCAUACAUCAAGUUUGGGCUCUAUUUCAAAUUUUAACAUCUUUAAAACAUUUCACUUUCAUACCCUAAGUACUAUUUUAUUUCAAAAUAAUACAUCCGUUACAUUUUCCAUCCAUAGAUCCGUUAAGUGCUGACGUGGCUGCCAGAUAUAUGCCACGUGGCUGCCAAAUGUGUGCCACGUGGCAAAAAAAAUAUUUUUUUUAAUUUUAAUUUUUUUUAAAACCUGAAUUUUCUAUAUAAAAAAAAACCAUUAUCCAAAAAAAAAAACAAACAAACAAACUGCAACCCAGUUUGCAGUUCGUUCCCCCCCCCCACCCGAAUCCCACCCGAGCCACCCCUCUCUCCCAUCCCCCAUCACCCACCCUCAAAAUCCCACCCGAGAUUAGGUGGAUCUACCACAAAACCAAUCCAAAAAUCAUCUCAAACUCAAAAUCCCCAAGAUGAAUCUACCACAAAACCACCCGAGAUUAGGUGUGAUUCGAGGUCUCUGUGCAAGGGAGGUGGGUCGCGGGGGUUGGGGGGUGGUGAGGCCAUCUCCAACCGAUGGCUGGCCAGAUGGCUCGUUUUAGCCCUCUGGUCCUCCAAGAUUCUCCAAGAUAUUAAUAUUUUAAUGAACAGUACAUGGCCAUAUUUGCCUCCGUCUCCAACCGAGGGCCAGAGGGCCAGAGGGCUCGUUAUAGCCCUGUCACAAAAAACCGUCUCCAAUCGAGGGCCAAAUGGCCAAACAUAAUUUAUUAUUUAAAACUACAAUUUAAAUUCAAGUUAUAGGAAAAAAAUAGAAUUUAAAAAAAAUUAUUAAAAUAGAAGUUAUAGGAAAAAAUAGAAUUUGAAAAAUAUAAUUUAUUAAAAAAAUAUGAACCAAAUUUUGUAAAAUAUAAGUUAUAGGAAAAAAAUAGAAUUUAAAAAAAUUUGAAACCAAUUUUGUAAAAUAGAAGUUAUAGGAAGUUAUAGAAGAAAAGAAAUGUUUAAAUUAAAAAAAAAAAAAAAAAAAAAAAAAAACCCAAUGGCUAGCUAACUCAGCUAGCCGUUAUAUUAAAAAAAAAAUUCAAACUAUUAGUGUUGGUUAUAACCGACACUAAUAGUAAAUAAAAAAAAUGUGCCUAUGAAUACCUAUUACUGUCGGUUAUAACCGACAGUAUUAAAAAAUCUUAUUUAAUGUUGUCGGUUAUAACCGACAGCAAUAGGAAAACUAUAAAAAAAAAAUAGCCAGCCCGGGGCUGGCUGGCUGGCCAAAAGCAGCCAGCCCUUUGGCCCUUUGGCCGUUUGAAAUUUCGUGGGGCCCUCCCAGAUUCCCGUGCCCUCUGGCCCUCUAGACCAUUCGGUAAGAGAUGGCCUGAGGGGAGGUUGGUAGCUGGGUCGCGGGCGUGGGGUGGGGGACGAACUGAGUUGCAGGUUUUUUUUUUUCCUUCCUCUACUUCUUGUUGUUGCAGGUGGGGAACUGGUGGGGGUGUUUUUUAUUUUUUCUUUCUCUUCUUCUUCUUCUUCUUGCAGGUGGGGAAAUGGGUUUGGGUUUUUUUUUGUUUUUUCUUCUCCCUCUUCCUCUUCUUCUUCUUCUUCUUCUUCUUACAGGUGGGGAACUGUGGUGGUGGUGGGGGGGAGGGGGGGAACGAACUGCAAACUGGGUUGCAGCUUGUUUUUUUUUUUUUUUUUUUUUUUUGUUCUUUUCUUUCUUCCUCUUCCUCUUCUUCUUGCAGGUGGGGAGCUGGGGGGUGGGGGACGAACUGAGUUGAAUUGGUGGGGGGGGGGGGAACGAACCGCAAACUGGGUUGCAAUUUGUUUGUUUUUUUUUUUUUUUUUUUUUUUUUGAGAAAAUUCAGGUUUUUUUAAAAUAACGUCAACACUUAACGGAUCCAUGUAUGGAAAAAACAAAUGUAUUAUUUUGAAAUAAAUUAAUACUUAGGGUAUGAAAGUGAAAUGUUUUAAAGAUGUUGUAAAAAAUUGAAAUAGAGCCCAAACUUGAUGUAUGAAAAUGUAAUUUACCCUAUUUUUAAUGUGACCACAACUACUUUUACGUUGCAUUACAAAUUUAAUCAUGCUAUAAAAUAUGUGUUUGUUUAUAAAAGUGUAAAUUUACUAUUUAUAUAUUAUAAUAAAUAUAUUAAUAACAUCACGUGAUAGAUACGUCAAAUUAUCAUCGAGCCGACCACGUUUGAUGUUUUUUUAAGCCAACUUUCCACAAGUUGUCCAUCAAAUCUGCUUCGUCGCGAAGAUGGAACAACAACAGCAAAACUUCAUGUAGUGUAGUGUGCCUGGAAUGGAAGGUCCAUGUCACGUGGGGAAGCGACGAGACACGUGGCAGCAUUUGCAGCCGUAUGAGCACCCAAGGAUCACGUGGACACGUGUCGCAAUGUCGGUCGGGAGAGCUACCAUGGUUUUUGUGGUGGCUGCAAGGGGCCUCAUCCACCCGCUAGGGUUGGGAUGGGAGGGUCCAUUCCAACUCCUGCAACAAAGAAUCUCAAGGAAAUAUUUCCCCUCCCUCUCGCUCUCAGUAGUAAUUGAGUUUACAUGUAAAUGUCCAUUACGAAUGAAAUAUCGGAAGGAAAAAUAAAGGUUUUCGUAGUGUGUUUUGGUCAGAAAAACAUAUUUGAAGAAUCACUUUCAAGUGCUUAUCCAUAUGCACACUUUAUAACUGAAGUGUUUUUUCACAGUGGUCGUCUCAAAUAUACUCUAAAUGAUUCAUUUAAACCAAGUUUUCAGCAAGAAAGAAAACUGAAACAAAUCCAAUUUUGCAAUAUUUGCCUCUUAUUAGUUAAUUGCGAGUUCAUGAUUAGUCAAUAUGUAGAUAGAGACUGAUUUCUCAUGUCAAACAUUCAAGCAUGUUAUAUUGUUGAAUCUUAGGCCUUGUUUGGUAGCCCGUAUAACAGACCGGAUAGGAUAACUAAAACGGUUCCAGGUGUUUGGUGCUGUUUUGUACUAAAUAAUAUUCGUACUAAUUAUACUGACCCCACACCUUUUAUACGGUACAUACCUGCUAAGUUAUCCAACCAAAAAGCUCUGUCUUAUUAGUCGGGUAGUCUCGCCCUCUCUGUUCCUCCCGUCGCUCGCCCGUCGCUCGCUCUACUCCUCUCACAUCGCUUGCUCUCUCCUUUGAAUCCAAGGUUCUUCCUCCUCUUCUGAAUAUGAGGUUCUUCUUCCUCCUCUCUGUUCCUCCCUCCUCCUAUUUUUCUUGCAAUUUUUCUUCUUCUCUCUCUGUUCUGCCCUCCUAUUUUUCUUCCAACUUUUUUUUUUUCAAUCAGAUUGAAUCUGAUUGUUGUUUUUUCUCUCUAAUUUUGCAAUUGAUUUUAUAAAUUUUCAAGUGCUAAAGAACCCAUCUGCCUCCUUUGGGUCAUAUCCUUCAUAACCAUUCUAUUUAGUUGGGCUGAUUUGAAGCUAAAAAAAAAGAGAGAAGGAUUGGGAAAAAAAUGAUGAGAAUUUGGAAGGUGGGUUUUGCUAGGUUUCUUGUUGUUGCCUUUGUGGUGGAGUUUGGUUUAAGGGAGCAGACGAAGAAGAACAAGGGAGAGGGAGGGAGGGAUUUGGGGGGUGCGGCGGAGAGAUCCGGGGAACAAAAGAGAGAUUUCAGUUUUUUUUUUAAAUUUUAUUUUAAGUUUGAUUCUCCUAUCCAGUGUAAUACCAAACACAGUAUAAAUAAUACGGUCAUUAAUCCGAUACUGCACCAAACACCCAACUAAUUUAAUCAGCACUAUCCGGUGACUAUUUAUCCUAUCCGACAGAAAUAGCCAGUACAAUCCGAGCUGCCAAACGAGGCCUUAAUGCAUUCAAUCAUGCUCAGAAUUGUGGUGUAAGAACAUACACAUUAAAGGUGUCAAACGAAUAGGUUGACGUCAACUUGUUAAAUUAAGGCAUCACCAUCCCAAUCCGUUUUAAAGCGGCCCUAGCUUAUAACAAGCGCUAGGUCGAGAUUAUGCCCAACAGGUCAACCCAACCUGUUUUCUAAGUGGGCCAACUCAAGUACGACUCAAACACGCAUACUCCAACUUGAAACCGAGAUGUCCAUUUGACACUUUGUUAAAGCUCAAAAAGUAGAAUAAUUAGCCCUUGGUAGGCUUGGAAUUGAAACUAAAAUGAAAUGGACUCAGAAUUUAAGUGGUUCACCCCAAAACAAGACUACACCUGCUGUGUUGCUUAGAUUUUAUUGAUUUCAAAGUUUACAAAUAGCGUUCGGCUAAAUACUAGAAUUCUAUCUCCCUUAAGUUGUCUGACCCCCUUACCAGAGGUUCCGACCUCUUUAUAUAGGCCAUCCAUUAACUCAGAAAACCUUGGGCUCACCUAGUUUUAUUUUUCUAACAUUUAAUGUGACACCUACAUCAACUAGCGUGCUAACAACCUUUUUAACCAUCAGUCGAUAUUCAGCGGUGAAAAGACACUUGCUCAUUCGGAAUUGCACGCCCUUGAAGAUCAAUGUGUGUCCAGCAACCUACUCGGUCUUGAUUAGUCAACCAUGUCACUCCAAGCAAUAGCCCAACCGUCUUUACGUCUCGUCGUAGACUUCUGACAUGUGCCCUGAGUAGGUCUGCUCCUAAAGAUUUGUACCAUAAAGUUGUCGGUAUUCCCACGUGUCUUGGGGGUCGGAAAGUACUUUAUGUUGGUCAGUUGGACUACGCUGGUGAGUGGUCCCCCCUCUUUAAUUUUGUUGAGCCUUGGGCUUCUUAUUCUUCUUUGGGCUUUAACUUUUAUUGGGCCUUUGGUGGCCUUUUCCCUAGCUUGCACUAUUUUGAGGGUUAAAAAGGACACUACAUUAACAAAUCUCUGUACACACCAGACAGAGUGGUAUUCCUUAGUACCGCACGGAGGUUUUGAGUUUAAAUCCCUCUUUUUUUUAGUAUCGCUUGUAUUGCAAAAAAAAAAAAUAAAUAAAUAAAUAACAGAAAGCAUUUUUUGCCCAAACAUUCUACGUAGUUAUAGUGUGAAUCCAAACCGUUGAUUAGGUGGUACAUUUCAUAGUUAAGUUCUUAAUCACUUUAUUUCAGCCUUUGCCAAUAUGGCAAAAGGAUCACAAAGACGGGCUACCAUGUCCUCAUUCAUAAGGGUGGAGGGUUUUUGCUUGGCUGGUUGUACGUUUGAGCCCUUUGGACGGUGUCUUUGGGGUCUUGUUCUUUGUUUCUGUUUUUUAUGGUCUUGCAGGACUGUCCUCUGUGUGUUUGUUAGGCCUCUGUGCCUUUCUGGUUUCUAUGAAGCUUUAUCUUAACCAAAAAAUUAAAAAAAAAAAAAAAAAGAAUCACAAAGCAUAAAUUAACUAUAAUGCAGGAAGAUGGCCUUGCUCCACCAAAGAGGCAAUGCAAUCAUCAAACAUCUCUUGGAUACUCUUAAACUUGAACCCUCUCCCCAGCUUUGAGGUGUUCAACUCAUAAUAACGUGGCCUCCCUAGUUGCUCAAACCUAAAAAUUCUCAUGUAAAAUUCGAUUAAAAGUAAUUGAUAUAACUGAUGCUUAUAGCAUGUGACGCUCUUUUUUUUUUUUUUUGGGGGGGGGGAAUUAGGAGCAUAAAAAAUGGAUCGGCCCAUAGUAUGAACCGAUAAAUUAUGCUUAAUUAAUUGUAGCUGGUAAAAAUAUCAAACCUUGUGGGGAUAGGCAAGGAAGGAUAUCUUGUAGAUAAUAAGGAACCUAACUCAGUGUUGUCCAUAACUGUUGAGCUACAAAUACAUCUGCCAUGAGCACUUUCAUGCUCAUAAACUAAGAUGUGACAGAGUGCAACAUCAUCAAUGUGAACAUAUCCCAUCCUUCCAUUCCACUUAAAUUUCUCUGUUUCCCCUGCUUGAUUGUUCAAACAAAUAACCGUGUAAUGUGCUUAUAAUCAAAGUUAAGUAAACGAAGAACAAGCGCGAAAAAUCACGAAGAUAAAUCUGUAGUAGUAGUAGUACCUUUAAGCAGGCCAAGAACAUCUGAUGCUGUAGAACACAACUCAGGUGGCAAACAAGGCCCGAUCACGAAGGAGGGUAGGACAGUAACCAUAUCAAUCGCAUUUUCUUUGCAGAAAUCCCAUCCUGCUUUCUCAGCUAAAAUUUUCGACAUAGGGUACCAAAUCUAGUGAAAUAGGUGCAGAUGCAUAAUUUGUCAGUUAAACGGUUUGGACGGAUUAUAUAUAAUGCACAUGGAAAAAGAAAACAUUGAGCUUAAGAAAUGUAAUAGCACAGAUCAAUAAAAUUCGGCAUUACUUUGCUUUGCAGCUACGUAUUAGUAUAUAUGAGAAGGGAUGCAUUCAAAGUUAUGCUGAAUUCGCCGAACAAAUCUGUAUUGGUUAGACUACACACUGCAGUUAGCAAACAAUCUGUACCAAGGCAAAAUCCUUAACAAGGACAGAGGGAGAGUAUUGUUAACUAGACCUGAAGAGUCACCCAGAGGUACAUUGGAGGUGAAAUCCCCAUCUGGUCUCACCCUUACAGCUGCAGAAUAUGAGGUGAGAACCACGCUCCUUAGAGACGGAUUUUUCUUACACGAACGCAACACGUUCAAUGUGCCCUCAACAGGCGGUUCCAGGAUUUCUGUCUGUGUAUGUAUGCCGAAACUUUGUUUAAAUGUAUGAUCUGUAUUGAUGGUGUGACAACACAACAUGUUAUAUAUUUGACGAGAAAAAGUUAAACAUGCAACGUGCCUUGGGAUCAGACGAAGGUUUUAAAACAAGGGUAGCAGAGUGGAAAACGCCAUGGCACCCAAAAAUUGCAUCAUCAAAGCUGCCUUCUUCCAUCAAAUCUGCCGUCACCAAUCUUAGUCUUUCCUUAGCUCCUUCUAGCCUCCACAAAUGUGCCAAUUUCUUCUCGUUUCCUUUGAACUCAUGGAGAAAACCGCAUAAGUUUUGUGUCGAAAAAACGAAUCCGAUGCUACUUCAAGCAGAUUGACUUGGGGGUUACGGUGCCUACCUGGAUCUCUUACAGUCCCCGUUACAUGAUAGUCGGACAAGAGAAGCCGCUUUAUAAGCCAGGAUGCCAUAAAUCCAAAAGCCCCCGUAACGCAAACUUUGCCUUUCGAAUCGAGUUUUCGAUCCAUCUAUGUUCAAAUUAGUAGUGUUUUAGUCCAAUUGCAUUCCAGGCCACUAGGUUUUAUAAGGAACGUAUAAAAGUAGACAUUGUAAACAUACAUGCUAUGUGCAUUGGGAUUUCUCACUAAGAAAUGUUUAGGUAAGGCAUCCUAUGCCAUGAGGGAAAUGAUUUUUAGCUUGAGCUAUGGUUAGAAGUAGGCAAGUCAUGCUAAAGUGAUGAAGUUCGAUGCCAUACACCGCCAAUGUGACGCCUGUCCUAAUCACAAACAUUAGAUUGAGAAAAACUUACACUUGUGUUAUUCGCACGACACGUGGUGGUAAUUGUAUACCUUCUAUGUAAGUCCUCUUCCACAACAGCAAAUCUCUAAAUUGUAACUAGGUCCACUUUAACUCCAAAAAUCAUUCUGUGGGCCUGACCUCACAUUGUCAGUCAGACCAAACUCAUCCACCCAAAUAAGGCAUAUCGAAGCCUCGUUGCUCUAAGGCCCAUGUUUCUAGGGGCACUUUCUUUUUAGAUUAAAAAUGAAAAUGAAAUUUGAACUUGAUUGACGAAAUUUGAACUCAAAAUCUCUUUUAAAUAUAGAAAUACUAUUACACUAAAUGCUAGUUGUUUCUAGUGACACCUUUUUUAAGUUGAGUAGUCAAUGAAGUUGAAUUCAUUUAUUUGGUUUUCUGAAUCCUUUACCUUUGAUGAUCAUUUUGAUUUUGUCUCACAGUUCAUAUUAUGAGUUUUGUUAGGCAAUAUGGUAAGUUCAAAUUUCAUGAAUUAUAGUUGUUGCCAUUAUACCAUAUGUAGAUACAACAUUAAAGUUCUUGAAAAGAAACACAGUGUUAAAAAAAAAAAAACUAAUACAAAUACCAGUUGAUUACUCUUUCUUCUUGUCAUUUUCUAAUCAAAUAAGGCGGGAAAUUCAAACUUGAAAUCUCUUCUAAUAUUGGGAAGACAAAGCCACUGGACAUAUUGUAAGAAAUGUGAAUUGAAAUCAUUACAAAUCUUGAUGUUCCUGCGUUCCAAUUUCUAAGUUCUAUGUGUUUACUAUCACAAACGGAUUUAAAAAAAAGGUAUGAAUUUCACCUCAAGACUUGUAAUUAAAUACCUAAAAAUUAGGAUGAGAUUAACUAAAAGAACCAGUUGAUUCAAUUUACAUUUAUUUUUAACUUUCUCGAUUCGUGACUUCCCAAGUAGCAUGAGACGCAAAAAAAAAUUUUUUUAAAAAAAAAAAAUAUAUAUAUAUAUAAUCAAUAAUUUCAAUUAAAUCCCCUUUUUGUAGGAAAUAAAAAAUUUCUAUUAAAUUGCGCCUAAUGUCAGUACAACUUCCUAUUCCCAUUUGGUUUUGAUUUUGAUGCAAUCACUAUAUAUAUCCAAAAGAAAUAACAUAAACAUUUAUAUGCAAAUCACUCACAAAAUAAGGAAGUGGAAAAUUGUCUUGAUGAAUACGGCAUCUAUUCCAACCCGCUUAAUCUCGAAUCCAUACAUUUUUUCUCCACCUAUGGAUUGGUGUAAUAACAUCAAAGAGGGAACAAAUAAAACAACAAACAAAAGCCAAGCCACCGUCUUCUUGUUCUUUCUUCUAACGAACUCUUUCUCACUUCUUCCAUUUCAAAUUAAAUCCAAGACACUUCCUUUCUCCAUUAAAUUAAGGGAGUUUUAACGAAAUACUCCCGAUACUGUUCAUUUUUAACGAAAAAUCAUAUUUUUACCUUUCAUUACACCUUUAUUUGUUAUUUUUAAUUAAAACUUUUUUUUUUAAUUUUUUGUUAAUUUUCCGUUAAAUUAAAUCACAUAUAAAUAAACCAAAAAUAAGGCAUUUUCCUUACAUUGAUUUGAUGCCCUACCCGCCGGUUUAAAACGGACCCCCCAAUAACCCCAAACCCAACAAACCAAUCUGAAAAUAUAUAAAAAGUUCCAAUUUUUGUCUGAAAAAUCUGGUUUCCGCCCACGAUGGACACCGGCGGCAACUCUCUAGUGUCGGGUCCCGACGGAGUGAAGAGGAAGGUGAGCUAUUUCUACGACCCAGAAGUGGGAAAUUACUAUUAUGGGCAGGGACACCCGAUGAAGCCCCACCGGAUUCGGAUGACCAACGCCCUCCUCGCGCACUAUGGCCUCCUCCAGAACAUGCAGGUCCUCAAACCCUACCCGGCCCGAGACCGCGACCUCUACCGCUUUCACGCCGAAACGCAGCAGGACCAGCUGCGGCAGCUCAAGCGGUUCAAUGUCGGCGAGGACUGCCCUGUCUUUGAUGGGUUGUACUCGUUUUGCCAGACCUAUGCUGGUGGGUUGGUCGGCGGCGCUGUGAAGCUCAACCAUGGGAUUUGUGAUAUUUCGAUUAAUUGGGCUGGCGGUUUGCACCAUGCUAAGAAUUGUGAGGCUUCUGGAUUUUGCUAUGUGAAUGACAUUAUUCUUGCAAUUUUGGAACUUCUUAAGUAGCAUGAGGUUGGUAAAUUUGAUUGCAUAGUGUUAAAGUUUUGAACUUUUUGAUGUUUGGAUUGUUGGGUUUGUUAUGUUUUGUAUGAUCUCUGAAUUGGGUUCUCAAAAAUGUUAAUUGCAUAGUUAAGGUCUGAACUUUUUGAUGUUGGGUUUGUAUUAUGUAAUCUCUGAAAUGGGUUACUGAAAUUGUUAAUGUUUUGCCUGAACAGCGCGUUUUGUACAGUGUGGAAAAUUUUAAGCCUGGGUCUGUGGUUCUCCAGUGUGGUGCUGAUUCCUUAUCUGGGGACAGGCUUGGCUGCUUCAAUCUUUCCAUCAAAGGCCACGCUGAGUGUGUUAGAUAUAUGAGAUCCUUCAAUGUCCCGCUCUUGCUUCUAGGUGGCGGUGGCUAUACUAUUCGCAAUGUUGCUCGUUGUUGGUGCUACGAGGUAUACUUCUCAUAUUCUGUUUUACCUUUUAAUGUUUCCAAAGUAUUUCACUUGUGAUAUAAUUGUGCACAUAUAGCAUGAUUUUUAUUGCAAGUUAUAAUCUCUUGCCAGUUGCCAGAUAGCAUGUUAAUGUUUUGUGAUUGCAUAAUACGACUAUAGUGCCUGGCAGAUACAGCUAUCAGAGCAAGUUACUGUUCAUUGUUCUGAUUUGACAUGAUACAGCUAAAGUGCAUGACCUUUUCUUCUGUCUAAAGUCUAAAUUAGUAACUUGUAAUAGACAACUUCUUGUUCUCAAGAUUUCUUAUAACAUAAGCUAACUGGUGCCCACAUUUACUCCAAAGCCACAUUGUUCCUGAGCAGAAGAUCCAAUUUUCUGUCUUUUUCUUCCAUUUAUUUGCUAUCAAGCUUACAUUUUGACAUUCCUUUGUUUUCCACUUCCUUCCUGUAAUUUGAUAGUUCUUGUUCCAUAACUGGUAGAAUACUUGAUGGAAGUCUCAUAGACUUGUUUAAUGAGUAUAGUGAUGAUUCAAAAGGAAUGUUGUGUAUCUAAAUAGCAGCAAAGCUCCAUUCUGACUUUUAUUAAUCCAUGUAUAAAGAAUGUUGCUUGCUAGUUCAAGUCUAUCUAAUUUCAGUUGUUAUUUGUACUCAAUAUUUAACGUUGUUAUAUGGGCUUGUAUUCAAUGUUUUAAUAUUAUUCUUUUGUGAAAUUCUUUCAGGAGAAUGAGGAAUAGGAUGACCCAGACGAGAGGUGGGAUCCAGAUUCUGACAUGGAGGUUGAUGAUGAACGGUACUUCAAUUUAUUCUCCUAAUUUGCUCUCAUUAUCUAGCACUUUCGUCUUUGCAAUUUACUGAUUUAUGGUUUAUACAGUAAGUCUUUACCAAGCAGAGUAAAGAAAGAGAUCGUUGAACCUGAGGUUAAAGAUCCGGUACGUCACAAAUCAUCUCUUGAGCUCAACUUUUUUUUGGGUGUGGAAUCAUUUAGACUAUAAUUCACUAUAUUUGGCUGCCAAUUCAUUUGUCUAUUCUUAAACACUACAACAACAACAACAAAGCCUUUUCCCACUAAGUGGGGUCGGCUAUAUUCUUAAUCACUACUGCAUUAAAUUUCAUGUAUAGUAAAACUGUGCUCAUUGUCUUUGAUAAUGGACUAGUGGUUAUAUUGUUUGUUCAUGGCAAAAAACAGAAACAUAUUGACGAAAGGCUAAAAGAUGAAAGUUACAGGAAAAACAAAAUCUCCUUUGUACACAAGUUAAAUAGUCCCUCUGGAGUUUACUGUUUCAUUCGUUUAGAUGAUGCAAUGAACCAAUUCAAUAUGCACCAUUCUUGACGGCUCCAACCGUAAACUUACUAAAACCUGGAUUUGACUGGAAUCUAUUCAAACCAUCCAAAUCAUAUAUAAAGAGGAAGCUUGUCUCUUCAUAGUGUUUCGUUGCUCCCCUCUGUUAUCAUGUUUCUUGUUUAUUGUUACGUGAAGCCUACAUUGGUGAUUAGUAAUGUUCCCUUUCUUUCUUAUGAGAAUAUAAUGUUUCCAGCUAUGGUAUCUACUGCUGUUUAUGAUUAUAUGUUUAUAUCCUGCACAUAGCAUUACUUUCUUACGAUGUGCUCAUUUCCUUUGCUGUGCCGCAUUUUAAAACUUACAUAAACAUGGAUGAUAACCUAUUUGUUAUGUUUAUUUGCCUCAACAUUAUCUAAUUCUGGUUGUUCUGGCACAUUGGAGAUCCAGAAAGGGACCUCGGAGAAUGCUAGAAGCUCAGGCUAUGAUCCAGCAGUAGAUGAGAUUACAACAGGCGCAAAGGUGAAAUUAACACAUAAAUCCAUUAGAAUCAGGUUCCUCUUUCAUAAGAAAACCCUCCCACUAAUAGUUUUCUCUGUCGACAUUGAUAUUUGCAGGCUUUGGAUAUGGGAUCUGGAUCGGUGGAUGAACCAACUGUGAAAGUUGAACAAGACACUAUGAAUAAGCCUGCGGACCAGAUAUAAAUGUUAUCACGAUCAAAUUUAUUUAGGGUGACUUGAUCACAAGCAAAGUCAUUCAAACUUAACUGUCCAUCGAUUUGUGAAGUUGGUAAUUUAUUUGAGCAGUAGCAUUUCAUGUAUCUUAGGAUUUCUUGUAUUUGUAAGAAUUCAACGCUUGUCUAUACUAUCAUGGAUAAGUACCCAAAUUUGGCCUCUUGUACAUGUUUUUUUUUCUUUCACUGUUUUUGAACUAUUAAAAGUUAAAUAGGAAGGCAUGGAACUGUCAUUAUACUGUUGCAUCCCAAAACCGAAUUCUUUGGUCAGAACCCUAAAACCGUGCUUAUUUCAGGAAUUGUAAGUUCAAUCGGUAGUCCACUGCCCCUGAUUUUGGUGCUCCAAAAUCCAAUUUUCCUCUUUCAUUUGGGAAGAAGAUGGGAUUAGAUAUUUAGGAUGUCGUACGACGUUCAUAGAGGAAGCAUUUAUUACUAGACUCAAACCCGCGUUAUGCUGAAUGAUUGGGAGUAGGUGACCGAUGUUUUUGAAAAGUUUGGAUGUCAGAAAUUAGGAUUAUAAUCAGCUUAACUCAUUUCUUUACUCAAAAGAAUUUUCAUUUUUCAUUAACAAACGAUAACCUAUGCGGUAUUGCAGUAAAACCAGUAACUAUAUUACAAGGCAAAAUGGUAAAAGGAAAACCCCAAUUUGACGGUUUCUCUUCCAAUAACUUUGUAUAUGUUCCUGUGUCCAUCAGUUGUAUUUAGAUUCGUAGUCGUUCAGGCUAAACCAACUCUGAGCCCUUUUCAGCAAUCGAGCAUCGACUGGAAGACUUGCUGAGUGUUCAGUAUCAGAACCAUCUAUACAGAGUGAACUUUCAAUUUCACACAGGUCACUUGCAUUAGAUGUCCUUUCAGCUGAAGCACCACUUGAAGAUAUCCCAUUUGCAGUAGGGGGAAAGCACUUCAGGUUGUUGAAUGCUACUAGUGUUUCCCUGUUUGAGUUUCUUAGUCUUCCCGAUAACUUUUCUCCUCGUCUGCCCAGAUGUAAUCCACGAAGAUAACCCCACAGCUCCAAGUAGCGGCAGCACAAUACGAUAAUCUUGUGUCAAUUCAAAAAGCAACAGACUCCUGCAACACUAGCACCCAUUCCAACCUGAAAAUGGAAUCUCUCCGAUUGUCAACUCCAUCCAGCUUUUGGGAUACCUUCAGAAUUUAGCAGACAAAUACCAGAAAGAGAAAUAAUAUAUUCACCGAGAAAAGUUUGGACUUUUCAAGUCUACCAUGGAGAAUGAUAUUAUGUACACUCCAUGUCAAUUGUCAAAAGACCAUUCGACACUUUAGAACUAAUACAAUUGCAGGAAACACAUUCUACUUCUAAAAAGAAAGGUAUUUGCCCCUGAAGGUAAUGGCUAUAGAUUUCUGGAUAAUAACAUUCAAAUGUGACUUUUGUUCUCAGAAAUUAUCAAAAAUAGGAAGAAAAAAAACAUUAUAUCAAGCAUACUAGUUCAACAUUGCCAGAACUGAUGAAGUAUAGGAUUGGACUGAGAACUGCAGAACGGAUGAAUUUUCCGUAUGCCAUUCCUGUUGCUGCACCAGUAAAAAGUGAUGGAGCAUAGUAGCCUCCAACUAAUCCAGAGGCUCGACACAAUGAGGUUGCACCUAUCUUGACCACUACCAACUGAAGAAACUGAUCAGCUGAGAGGCCUUUCUCAAGUGGUCGAGAUUCCAGCAAAAUGUCAACAUUCUCGAAACCCCGAUAAAGAAUUUCUGGAUAUGUCAAUGCCAUCAGCCCAAUAGCCAAGCCACCCACGAUAGGGAAAAAAAAAAUAUUGGUAGGCCAACGGUCUUGUGAAGAUUGUCAACAAAUACCAACAUGUACGAUGUGCACUAUGAUAAGGUUAAUGAAACCAAGCCACAUAGGACACCCAGCAAUAGAUAUAGCGGAAGCUCUGAAAAUGAUACAAAUACGUCUCAUUAUUAAAACCGCAGCUUUAAACAAUGACUUGAACAUCAACCUCUACAUAUACUAAAGGUAUGCCUGAAAAAUUCAUCCCAGUAGAGUGAAUAAACUAGUGUUGUAACACAAUCAUAUAUGAAAUUAACCAUUUGGAAUAUGCAAUGUAAAUCAACUACCCAAAUAAUGGGAAAAUUCAGAAACCAUAUUCAGUAAAGGCAAAUCACAUUACCAGGAGCAAGUAAAUACUCCGAGAUUACGUACUGAUGCCAUAGUCAAUUGCAGAAAUUAUUUAAAAUAAAGAACCAUUUUUUGUUCACUCGGCACAUAAGUUUUUAUAUAUAUCAUUUUGAAGAAUCAACAGAUAAUAGAUAGUGUACCAGCAGGUGAGCCGAAGUCAUAGUAUGGGACCUUAAAGGCUGGUUCAGAACAAAGGCCAGCUUCUGAAACUACAGAAGCUAUCACAGCACUAAGUAUGACCAUAGAAGUGGUAAUCACAAGUGAAAGGUGUUCGUGGUGGAAUUCUCCGUGGAGGAUAUCUCCUGUCCGACGAGCACACAGCUCCCCGAGAGGUUUGGCGCCAGUUGAUGUUUUUCUGUCGGGCUCCUGCUUUAUUGACGGGCUUGUCGGGCAAGGCUUGUCGGGCAAGGCUGAAAGAGAAGGACAUAGUUAACUUUGAAAGGUGCCUUUGUGGGGUCUUAGAUGUAGGCCUUGAGGCUCACAAUCAAGAUUAACUUAUAUGUAUUCAGGCGUGCCACUACCAUCUUCAGUAUGGCAGAUGUAGAACGGAUGUCUGAGUUAAUUAUAUAUUCGAAAGACUAUAUUUAGUUAUUGACAAGUGCCUUUGUGGGGCCUUAGGUGUAGGCCUUGAGGCUUCCCGUAAAUAACUAAUUUAGUAUUUGAACAUAUAAGGUUCCUUUUAUGUAUUGGGUAGAUCUUAUCACCAUCAUACUUCUGAUUACCUGAACUUAAAGAGCAUCAUGGAUCCAAAUAGAUGCCUUUGUGGGGCCUUAGGUGUGGGCCUUGAGGCUUCCCAUUAGAACCCAUUACAUUCUCAAUGUUCUUGUCCGAAAAGCAAGAUGAAUCCAAAUAGGUGCCUUUGUGGGGCCUUGAGUAGGUCAUGAGGCUUCCUAUUAAAACCCAUCCCGUCCCCGGACGUUAUAUGAUAAUCAUAAUAUCACAAUAAUAAAACUAAGUGACGGGUAAAUUACUUGCGCCCCAAGUAACUUUGGACUUCUUGUUAUCAAAGCUUGUAGAGGAUGGGUUAAGUCCACAUCAGGUUCUUUUUUAUGCCUUGAGGCCAAGGACUUUUAGGAUGAUCAAAUCUUAUGUGCCCGAGGGCUUAGAACUUAGACCUGACUUGAACCGUGGAGACAUAUUCAAUCGAAUCUAAGCCCUAAGAGAAUCCUUUGAUAACCAUAUUGCUAGAAAUAACUUGGAUAUAUCUUGUAAUAUUCAACAUGUUGUUAAGGUAAUGAAUAUACAGACAAAAACAAAGAAGGUUGGGCAAGGUUUAACCUUGUCGGGCAAGGCUGAUCGUCUUGCAAGAGGUUUGAAAGUUUAGGAAAAGGGUAGGGAGAUGAGUUUACAAGAGGAAUCGAUACUACAGCAAGAGUUGAGCAGGGUAGCAGAGCUAUUACAAAAGUGUUAUCCCGAAAUGGAUGAAGGCUUGGGCUGACUACAGCUUUCGUUUUGAAGGCAAAUCUGGCUUUUGAGCAGAGUUUGUGCUUGUAUUUGUUUGUUUGAGUGUCUUUGAUUCUGACCUCUCCUGCUCCUUUUAUAGAUAUCUUGGCUUAGCAUCAUAUAGCAACGAUCCUGCCCGAAUGAAAUUUGAAGGGUAGUGACUCAUCAGCCAUUUUACUUGUACUGCCAUCGAAAAGUACUUUUUGGGCUGGAUAGCUGGCUGGUCUAUACCACUUGGCUUCUAGGUAGGUAAGCAAGUGGUCUGCAUCUAGUCAGAAACGGGCUUCUCCCAUCUUCUGGACUUCGGCUGGGUUCUGACUGGGCCUCUGAGUACCUUCCCCUUUUUAGGCUGCUUCUUGGGCCAACUUUCCCCAAGCCCAAAGUUUAAGUUUUGAUCCAAACAAAAGGGAUGAGGAAUUAGGUGGUGAUGGACUCUACGGGAAAGAAACAACCGGAAACAGCUGCAUUAAACCCUGUCAAAACAGAACAACAAUUACAAUUAGGGCAUACAUGUAUUGAUAAUGACAACAUAGAUAUACACAAAACUGAAUACCAACCAGAAGCAAUUCCAGCAGCCACAUGAGAGAGCCUUCUUUGUGAACUUUUAUCAAACACAUCACCAAUACCCUUGGCUAUAGAAGUUCCAAUCUCAACGCUAGGACCUUGGGACCUAACGAGUUCCCAGUCCCAAGUGUGACACAAGCAGCAAUUGCCUUGACAAAAGGACACGAUGCUGCCUUGAGACCAUCAAAAACCGAAAUAGACAUUCCCAUUUUCACUAAUAAAUUCUCUCCUUUUUCUCCUCCUUGCUCAUUGCCAUUUUUAUCUUGUGAACCAUCCUCAAGAGCAUCUCGAAACAAGUUUAUUAUGGCAACAAUCAAACUGUUAAGGGUAAUAGAGGAUUACCAUAUCACAUUGUAUAGUGCAGUGUGAAAGUUAACGAGAACCAUUCUUCACAUACUCAAUCUCUCUCUACAAAUUCUCUCUCUCUCUCUAAAUCUCUUGAUUACUGCAAGAUAUUAGACUUCUGCACAAACCCCCAUAAGCUGGAACCAGAAUCACCUGCUUCUACGUAUCUCCCAUGUACUCCUUUCUCAGCCACGAAGCUCCCCGUUGCGGCAUCCCACCCCAUAACACAUCACGUAUCUCAUGAACCUUCCCAUUCAUGUCAAAAUCUCAGAAAAAGCUCAAAACUUCAUGUAUAAGCAAGCAAGAAAAAAGCAAAGAAAAAAUGGGUAAUGAGUGACGGAACCUGAGGUUCCGACCCAAAUUGGAAAUGGGGGAGUAGCCCGACCCCUUACAAGUUAAUGUAAGGUUCCUUAACUUUCUGAUGUGGAAGAGUUUUUCAUAACCUCACGUGCCCCUCACAUGUUGCAGGACUCAAGCCAAACAGAUGGACAACACACAUCCUAAUGCAUCUCAUGAACAUUUACAAUUUGUGUAAAAUUUUAGAUAAAAGCUCAAAACUUUGCAAACAAGCAAGCAAGAAAAGGAAAAAUGAUCAAUUGAGUAAUGGAUAAAAAUCGUGCAGUUCCCUUGGCCACGGCCUUGUACUCUGUUUUCAUCUUCCCCUUCUUCUUGUUCUUCUGCUUUUUCAUCGUCAUCGUCAUCGUUUUGUUGUUUUUGUUGCUGGGUUUGUUGGUUUUGAGGGAGGGAGAAAGGAGGUCUGAGAGGCAGAUCUCUGCCAUCUUCAUCUUCCCCUUAUUCUUGUACCCAGCACUGGCAUUUUUGGUGUUGAUUGUUCUUGUUUGGGUGUUUGAUGUGGCAGAGAAUAGGAGGAGGGCUUUUCCCGACGGUGAUGAAGACGGAGGAUGGAGAGGCCAGGGGACAUAAAUGGCGGUGGAAGUGGGCGUUGGGGAAGCGCCGUAUGCAGUCCAGGCCUCCCAUUAGCUGCUACACCAGUUGAGCCAACUGUUCAGUCCAAUCACGACCAGCUAAUGGAUAAAAGCCUGACAAAAUAAUUAAGUAAUAUUCAUAUUAAUAUAAAAUAAUGUUUGUAUUCAUAGCCUACCGUUUACGCACAUGUGAGCAACUGUUCUUAACAUUUGCAAAUAAGAAGGUGCAACUAUUCAUACUAAAAAAAUAGUUAGGAGUACAUAAAUUGACAUGUACUUGAUAAAAUUUGAGAAAUUCGUCUUAGUGAUUGAGACAUUUUUGCUACAACAAAAGAAGCUCCCAUAACGGAGUUGCCCACUUCAAUCUAAAGUGGCCGAUGACAUACGCCAAACUAACAUAUACACUUACAAAAAAUGGAAACUAGACAAGGUUGUAGCUCCAAUUAAGAAUGCAUUACAUUAUGUGUCAAUAUUUACUAAUUACAUCAAUUAUUAAGCCGGUUCUUUGAUUUUGAUUUGAAACAUAGUACUACUUCAAAGAUCCCCAAUGUUUUAUCUAAUAGAACUUUCCAUGCACAUCAUGUAAUGCAAGAAGUUUCAGGGACUAAUUAAAUAGCGAAAAUGAGGUGAUGACAAAAGGGAUCAAUCAAAAUGCAUUCAUUGUACCGACUAAUGAAGUUAUUUAAAAGGUUUAUAAUCAUAUUUUAGAACGCUAUUCAUUGAUCGUCUCCUUAAAGAAAAAGAGGAUAUGAAACCGAUGAAACGUGAACACAACACCAUCGUGGACAUGAGUUGCUUGUUGGCCAUGAUAAGAGUAGUUAAUCUAUAUGGGUGUGUAUAAAUUAUCAAUUAGGUUUCAUUUUUAGAUGGAUUUACAAAACGAUGCCUAAAUAUAUAUAUACGAUUUACAGUCUGAUAAUAUAACAUGUCAAAUAUCCGACAAACAAAUGACUCUGAUUUCUAAAUUGUAGCUUCCUUCUCAAUCUCGCAUUAAUUUGCACCUUUCUAUAUGUGCACGUUUUUGUUUCCCCACUUUGUACAAGUUGACAAAUCGAAAACAUAAACUUGCUAACCAACUCUGAUUUCUAAAGGGAUGUGCUAUCCACACAUCAUUUUUUACUUCUCACACUCCCCUUGUAAUUUAUGUCCGUUGACCUAUCCGAUCUGACGACCGAAAAUUAAUAAGGGGUGCGUGAGAAGUAAAAAUAGGUAUGUGGAUAUCACACCCCUUUCUCAAUUGUAUUUGUUGUGGUAGUACCUUAUGGGCCGGGCUCAUUAGGACCAAUGGCAAUUUUGAAAUAUCACACAAAUACAAUACCAUUUUUGUCACAAAAAAUCAAAAGGAAAAAUCAUCGUUUUUCUACCCCAAACUAUUGGCAUCGCUCACUGUCUCCAUCGUCUUCUGAUUUUCCUCCGAAUCGGAGAAGAAAGGCAACCAAAUCAUGGUCCUUCGAAUUCGUGGUUUUCUGAUUCUUCCCGGCGCUCCUUACGCGUACUGCAGCCUGAUGGUGCGGCGCUCUCGAUUGAUUCCAUGGUCUGAUCUUCCGCGAAUCGCAAUCCGACGGUGGCGAUGGCGUCGAUGCAGAACCAAUCGGCGAAUGUGGAUCUCUUCAAUGCGUAUUUCCUACGGGCCGAUUUGGACCGCGAUGGCCGGAUUAGUGGCAAUGAAACCGUCGCUCUCUUCCAGGGCUCUGGUCUCCCAAACAGGUCCUUGAGCAGGUACUCUCUCAAUAUAUAUAUAUAUAUGUAUGUAUGUAUGUAUGCUUGUGUAUAUAUGUAUAAUUGGAUGUGUGUGUAUGAUUAUAUUUGUGUAAUUGUAGUGGUUGGUCGGGAUUUGAUGCUGGUGGAACUGUGUUCCGAAUCGGAUUGAUUUUGAAUUUGUAGUCUAAUUGUAGUUGAAGUGGUAAAUGUGAGCUCGGGAUGUCUUAAUUCUCUUAUCUUAGCUGAGAUAUUUAUUUCGUGUUAGUAUAACUGCGGAAUUGAUGUUCAAAUGGUAGAAAAUAAGUAGAUGAAGAAUUUAUACUACUGUUAGUGAGGUUGAGAGAGUUAUGUUAUCAGGUCAUUAAUAUACCUUCUGGUGUAUCCGUUCAACCUGAGGUGGUAAGCAGACUUUAGAAAUGUGUUAUAUGACCCAAGGAUUGAUCGAGGAUUGUUUAUUACAUUAGAAUUGUGCAGUAGUGAAAAUGUUCUUGGGUCAUGAUCAUAUCGACAAAUAGGUUAUUGAAGCUGUAUGCUUGUUUUGCUGAAGGAAUUUCCGUAUAAAAUGAUAACCAGGGGCAUAUUAUGUUAAAUAUUGAUUAUAUGAAUGCACUUUCUCAUUAGCUUGAAUUGCUGAACAUAACAGGCUCAAUCAAGCAUAUUUUUCUGCGAGAUGCUUUGCUGCUGGAUGUUCAUUCUUUGCAUGAUGUGUUCGUAUUUUGAUGUAAAAACUUACACAUGCCAUAGAUAUUUUGUAGGUAUAAAUUUUUAUUUGUGAUUGGGAGUAAUCUUUUGCUGGCCAAUUGACAUACAAACAUCCAUAAAUAUAUACUACUAAAUUGAGUCAUGUCUAAAUGUGCAGUCUAGAUUGAUAGAAUGACUACCCAUCAUGCCACAUUAUCUUUGAUGGAGCGGUUUAGGGAGGGAAGCCCUCUUCCAGCCGUGCUACCAAGCAAUGUUAUGUUUGAUUUAUCCAAUAUUUUUCAACCUGCAAAUAAUUACUCCAAUGCAGGCAAUGUAGCCUGGAGACCUGCUUCUGGUAUUCAUCCAUAAAACAAAUCACUUUUAUAUUUUGAAACAUGUCUUUCUUUGAUGGAGAAUAGUUUCUUAUUUUUCACUUUAAAAGGCUUUCAACAACAGCAACUGAUGCCUGGUCUUGGUGCUCGGCACAUGGCACCCCCAGCUGGAGGAAGGCCACCGAAGACAGUUGCUCCUUCUCAUGCUGAGGAAAAGCAGCAGGCCAAUUAGCGGAAACCCAGAGUACCAGAAUUGGAGAAACAUCUUGUAGAUCAACUGAGUACAGAGGAGGUUAACUCACUGAACUCAAAGUUCAAAGAAGCAACCGAAGCUGAUAAAAAGGUACUUAGAACUUUAAUGUUUCCCCAAUUUUCUCAUCUUGAGCAGCGAAGUUUUGUGUGCAUGUUACUUCCUGAUAAGUGUUGAAUCAUAACAAAUAUCCCGGAGACUUGAAGAAAGAAAUCUUGGAUGCUAGUGAGAAAUUGAAUAUUUCCGGGUCAAAAUGCAGUUCGGCCAUCAAACUUGUAAUGUAUUUCUUUUUUAUUUCAUUUCUUUGUGUAUGCAUCUCGCUUUUUCUUCAUUCUUUUUUCCUUUAGCUUGUAGCGCGACGUAUAAUUUUUCUCCUUAAUUUUGGAACUUCCUAGUCCUAUUGAAGCAAAGAGCACUAUAGUUUUAUCGUUGUUACAAAUUCGAUGAUUGUAUUAUUAAACUGGAGAUGUGCCUUUCUUUUUUCAGCCUUAAUUUGCUUUAAUUUUUACCCUCUCUAAUAAAAUUUGUUUCGCUGAUCUUUGUUUGGUGCAAACAAGAACACUAAGUUUUGCCAGUGUUAGUCUAAUCGGGCCAUUCAUAUUUUUUGCUCAUUGCAAUUCAGCCACCGAACAAUCGCAUAUUUUUGUCGUGUCAAAUGUUCAAACAAUCGCGUUUGGUCGUGAGUUUUUUACUUUGCCCUGGCAUGGUGUGUUAAUUAAUGGCUAUGUUUAUGAUAUAAAGGUAAACCAAGUUUUAAAGAAAACAAAUAGGCUAUUAUACACUUGUCCAUAACUAGCGCUUUAUAAUGUAUAAAGCAUAAACAAUACCAAAAUAAUAAAAGCCUUGCCUAUUUGUUGUCUUAUUUCUUGGUCAGACAAGUGGGCUAUCAAAUUACAAAUUUGCCUUAAAAAGUUUUUCCUAAUUACUUUCAUUUGCUUCAUACUCAUGGUAUAUGCCCAUUGUAUGCCGAAGAUGCUGAGAAAUUCAAAUUUGGUCAUGUGUUCAUGUCGAGGGGACCAAAAGUAGAAGAAGAAACAAGACAAGAUGAUGAUUCCAAAGGUGGUGGAUCAGGAGAUGAGCCUCAAGUUAGUGGAUCAAGUCAUGAGUAUGAAGCAAAUGAAAGUCGUACCCAGUGCACAAGUGGGAGCCUUGUGCACUGGGUACGACUUUCAUUUGCUUCAUACUCAUGACUUGAUCCACUAACUUGAGGCUCAUCUCCUGAUCCACCACCUUUGGAAUCAUCAUCUUGUCUUGUUUCUUCUUCUACUUUUGGUCCCCUCGACAUGAACACUUGACCAAAUUUGAAUUUCUCAGCAUCUUCGGCAUACAAUGGGCAUAUACCACAUCUUUCCACCUUCAUAUCGGAAGCAGAAGCAGGUUGUCCUUCAGAAUCUUCAAAAUCUUCCGAAUCUUCAGGAUUUUUAAAAUCUUCAAAAUACGGGCAGAAGACAACAGAGGCCUCUUUGGCAAGUUUGUAAACAUCAGGGGAGCAAUUUUUUCCUACCUCUUCACUUCUAAAGGCCUCAUUCCACACAUGCACGUGAUGUUGGCCGUCAUAGGAGCCUUGGAUAAUGUACUUAGAACUGAACAGUUCAUGGCUUUCACCCAUGAAUUUGACAAUGAAAUUAGCUUUUACCCUCCAGGGUUUAUACCUCACAUUUGAAACACAAGAAAGAACAACAGAGAGAGCGAACCAAUUUGGAAUUUCUUUUCCUGGACAUGCAAUGUUAAUCUGAGGCCAGGGAUUAUGAAGCCAGGAAUUGUACUUUAAUGGCGCAACAGUUGCCAUUCGCAUAAUUGCAAUCUGUGCUUCAUCCAUUAUGUUGCUCCUUGAAUUAUUAUCCAAUUUUGGGCAAUUAGUAAAGACUCUGAAACAAUAAUUAGGUUUAUCCCAACCUUGUGUGAGUGUUGUCCUUGAACUUGACACUGUCUUCAGCGACGUGCAGCCUUCAGCAUUAACAUUACAUAGCACUGGGAGCUUUGGUAUAGAUUGAAGCUGCUUGCACCAGCAUAAUUUGAGUAUAGACAACCGAGAAGCUUGUUUGAUGCUUGCUGGUAUUUCCAAUAUACCGCUGAAGCUGAGAUCUAGUUCUUCUAAAGAGAGAAAACCAACGGAGCUGGAAGGCAAAUUUUCAAGUCUCCAACACCCAUGAAAGGAGAGACGUUUAAGAUUGGUUAAACUGUAGAUACUUGUUGGGACAUCCUUAAGUUGCUUGCACCAACCAAGGUUUAAAUCUUGAAGCCUAUUUAGAUUUCCAAUUGACGAAGGAAGCAUUUCGACAACUGUGCCUUCCAAACAAAGAGACACCAAAUGUUCCAUUGGCUCCAAGAUUUCAGGGAAUUUGGAAAAUCUAGAGCAACCUUUGAGAUCAAGACUCUCAAGAUAUUUCAAGUUACAGAUUGAUGAGGGUAGCUCUGUAACUACUGUUUGAAUUAAUCUUAAGGACUUCAAAUGUUCCAUUGGCUCCAAGAUUUCAGGGAAUUUGGAAAAUCUAGAGCACUUGGUGAGAUCAAGACUCUCAAGAUAUUUCAAGUUACAGAUUGAUGAGGGUAGCUUUGUAACUGCUGUUUGAAUUAAACUUAAGGACUUCAAAUGUUCCAUUGGCUUCAAGAUUUCAGGGAAUUUGGAAAAUCUAGAGCACUCGGUGAGAUCAAGACUAUCAAGAUAUUUCAAGUUACAGAUUGAUGAGGGUAGCUCUGUAACUGCAGUUCGAAUUAAACUUAAGGACUUCAAAUGUUCCAUUGGCUCCAAGAUUUCAAGGAAUUUGGAAAAUCUAGAGCACUCGGUGAGAUCAAGACUCUCAAGAUAUUUCAACUUACAGAUUGAUGAGGGUAGCUCUGUAACUGCUGUAUGAAUUAAACUUAAGGACUUCAAAUGUUCUAUUGGCUCCAAAAUCUCUGGAAAGUUUUCAAAUUUAGAGCACCUAUGGAGAUCGAGAUUUUUCAACUUACACGUGCUACUUGGAAGUUUCUUAAGGUAACUGCAAUGCCUUAUAUUCAAGUAAGAAAUAUUUUCGUUAGACCAAACUGAUUCUGGCAACUCCUUUAUACCACUGGCUUGUAAACAUAAGUAUGUAAGAUUUCCUGGCAUCUUUGGAAGAUACUUGAGACUGGUGCAGAAUCCGAGUUCAAGACGAGUAAGCUUGUCAAGAUGUUGAAAAUACGAAGGAAUUUCAACCAAACUGUAACAGCAACGAAGAUUUAUGUGCACAAUCUUUGGACUCCUAGAGAGAUUUGGAACUUCAGUUAAAUACUCACACUCAUGCAAAUCAAUAACUUGUAAGUUGGCAAGUAUCUGCAACAAAUGAAAUAGAAAUAUAAAGAAUUAAUAUAAUUUCUACACUUGAUUUGAUACAAGAAUUAAAAUAGGCAUAUAAUAUAAUAUACCUCGUCUUCUUUCCAAAGCCUUUUAACUUUGCUACCUCGCAUACGAAGCUCAACUAGAUUUUCCGGAGAAAAAGUUGACGGCAAAGAUUCCAGUGGAUAAAAAGGCCACUCAAGAUAACAAAGAGAAUCGGGAAGGUCUAGAGAAGCGGUCAAUCGGCCAACCGAGCUUAGCAUUUUUAGGUUAGACAUCUUUUUGAAGUCUGCACGUUUCAAUGGUUCAAACCAACAAACCUUUAUGGCUUCAACAUUUGGAGUUUCCUAACAAUUAGAAGAAAGUUUAAAUGUGAAUACAUAUGUUUUCAACAUGUUAAAAUGUAACACACAUUUGGAACAAAGAGUAUUUGCCAUGGUAAUGAUGUACAUGUGUCUUAGUCUAGUCAAAUAUCCAAAAUAAUUGUAUCCCCCUCUACUUGUCUAAAUAGACAAACAUUUGUUCAAGUUCCAAACACUUCCUAACACAAUAAGUAUUCAAUCAAAUUCCAUCUUUUAACAAUCUCACUUCUUUAUUAUAAAUUAGUUUUACUUUGUUCUGUUAUCAUCUGAAGUUUGUAAUUUUUUUUUUCUAAAAAAGAAAAGAAAAAAAUUGAAUGAAUUUGACUCCUACCGUGUUACUCUUUAGUAUGCGAUAGACAUCCUCGUCAGCGAACAACCUAUUCCGUUCACCAGGAUCUUUAAUACAUUGUUCUUGAACAAUUGUCCUUCCCAUUUCUUGUAGCAAAUCGUGCAUCUCUAUUAUGCCUUCCCUUCCCCAUUUUGAAACAAUUGAUAUGAGAGACAUAUCAAUGAGAAUUCUAAUUCCGGUUGUCCCAAAGAAUCCACGAACAUCUAACAUUCGUUUUACCAUAUCCACAUCCUUCCCUUUAUGAAAACAUGCUACAUCUAGAAAUAUCUCCUUCUCAUUUUUUUCCAAUCUAUCAUAACUUAUUCUCAACACUUUCUGGAUACUUUCACUAGGAAAUCGUUUCAGUUUGUGAAUUCAUCUUCCCAGUCUUCUUUGCUCUUGCAAUUGAAGAACAAGGACCCCAGAACUUUAAGAGCCAAAGGAACGCCUCUGGCAUAAUGCACGGCCUUUUCUGCCAACUCUUUAUAAUCUGUUCUACGAGUACUGUUAUUCUUGAAAGCAUGCGAACAGAAGAGCUGAAGAGCGUCAUCCGGUUUUAAUAGCUCAACCUCAUAGAUAUUAUCCUUUUCAACAGUUUGCCCAAGUGUGCCCCUAUCUCUACUUGUGAUAAUGAUUCUACUUCCAGUGCCAUACCGAAUACGAUCGCCAGCUAAACGUUCAAUUUGCAAUGAAUCACUCACGUCAUCUAGAACAAUGAGGACCUUUGUACGACCGAGCCUUUCUCGAACCAAAGUUGAUCCUACGGGCAGAACUUCUUCCUUUAAUAGCUCCUUAAGAAGUGUUUUUUCCAAGUGAUCUAGUCCACCUGCUUGUUCUGAGUUCUCCCUAACAUUCUUAAGAAAACAAGAAGCUUCGAAUUUAGAAGAGUGUAUGCGAAAUACAGCCUCGGCAAGGGUGGUUUUCCCAAUACCACCCAUGCCCCAAAUACCUACAGUGAUGCAAGCGUCCGGUGAAUGAAUGCCUAACAGCAAUUCGAUCUGCUCGAUGCGUCUUUCAAUUCCAACAAAGCCCUUUAAAUCGCAGGAUGAUUCGCCACACAAUUGGGUCCAAAUAUGAUCGACAACUUUCUGAAUUAGAUCUGCCUCCGUCCUGGUGUAUAGAUGUAUAUGAUUAGGUUGAAAAGCAGUAGUUAGUCUUAAAUACGCUUUACCAAAUCUUAGCACAUAUCAAAAUGUCACAAGUUUAAAGAAAAUUUAUAACUUUAGACAAGUUAAAGAAUGAGUUAGUUACCCGGAUUUGUUUGAAUGAUCAAACCCAGAUAGAUUGGCUGCAGUCGUCAAAGCAUCCCUCCACUUGUGCACCUUGUCGAUACUGUUAGCGAAUCGUUUUUCAAGUUCAUCAAAUGCAUCUGCAUAACUCCCGUGCUGUUUUCGUACAUCAGAUGGAUCGAUGUCGUAGAAUACGGGUAUAACCAUCCGGCCUUCUUUGUUGUUGCAUUUUAGUAUAUGCACAAGCUCAUCCAAACACCAUGUGGAAGAAGCAUAGUUUUGUGAGAAAAUGAUCACCGAAAUGGUGGAUUUCUCAAUUGCUUCUAGAAGGGCAUAUCCGAUUUCUUCUCAUCUCUGAAGUCUAUUAUCGAUGUAGGUUUCAAAUUUCUUCUGAAGUAAGGCAGCAUGAAGAUGGCUGGUAAUACCAAGGCGGGUGUCCUCACCUCUGAAACUGAUAAACACAUCAUACUUUUCUCGACGUGGGGGGUUAUCAGCAGCGGAUGAUGAAGAAGAAGCAAUGUCCAUAACCUCUAGUUUUCAGAAACGGCAAAAAGAUGUAGUUGCAGAGAGAUUAAUUGUUAAUUAGAGAGAAAUAAUACUACGACGUUGCACCGAAUUAAGAGGAUGCAAGAGGGGGGAGAGAGAGACUAGUUCAGAAUUUACUUGAACUGGCUUUUGACUACAUGCACAAAAUUUCAAAGGCUCGAAAUCAACGAGUGAGAGAUACGUAAGUGGCAAAUGGGGCACAUGAUAGGACCUAUUAUCUUUAAUAACACUAUAAUUUAAAGAAAGAUAUUCAUAUAUUUGCAAUCUUAAUAUGAACAACGUCAUCUCAGCAUGUAAAGCAACUAGUAUUUGAAAACCAUAAAAUGAAUAAGUGUAAACCUUUUCUCCUUGCUUUGCUCCCCUCACAAUCAGUAUCAUCAUCGUCACCUGAUCGAUUCCUGCAAAUCAAGUUUUGGUUAUGUUUCAUACAGUCAAAAAACAAAAAUCAGAUUAUGCAUAUACCAAAAAACACCACACAAAAAGGAAGGGCCCUAUGUGAAAAAGGAUGCAAAAUCAACUUGAGACCUCUUUCUCCUGUUCUCUGCCUUGUUUUCUUUUUCCAUUUGCUCUCUCUUUCAAUCUUUUGUACUGAAGCUUUUUCAGAACCUGUGUUAAGAGAACCGUUGAAUCCAAACGUCAAAAGGAAGACAAUUGAUAAAGAUGCAAACAAAACAAAGUGACACCGGUGACAGGUCACCAGCCAAGAAAUUAACAGCAGACAUAACAAAAAUUAAUUAGCAAUUUAAAUGCCAGCAUAACAUAACACCUAAACUUAUUAAUUAAAAAGAAAUGACAAAAAAUACAGAAAGAGCCUUAAACAGUAUCAAUAAACGCUGACUAACCUCUGACAAGUUACCAAUUUGACGAGGGCUUAUUUGCUUUCUCCGGCUUCAAAAUAAUAUCCAAAACAAUUACUUUAUUGCAUCAUCAGCAUCAGCAAGAGCAGCAGCGGAUGAAGAAGAAUACGAAGAAGAAGAGGCCAAUAUCCAUAACCAACCUCUAGUUUUCAGAUCCAGGAAGUAGUAGUUGCAGAGAGAUUAAUUGUGAAUAGAGAGAAAGAGGGAGAGACUGGUUCAGAAUUAAGGAGGAUUCAGCAAAGCAAACGAGAGAGAGAGUGGUUCAGAAUUAAGGAGGAUCUAAUGAAACAAAAGAGAGAGAGAGAGAGAGAGAGAGAGAGAGAGAGAGAGAGACUAGUUCAGAAUUUACUUAGAAUUGGCUUUUGAGGAAAAGCAACGAGUAAGAGACGACCAGUUACAAAAGUAUAAAGGGGAGCACAUGGGAUGUGGCCCUCCCUUGCGCGUUUUGCGUCCACGGUUUUGAAUCGGGAAUGCUAGGAUAAAUUUGUAAAUUAAAUAAUAUGUUAUUAUUAAAAAAUGAGCAUGUAUAUUAAUAUUUAAGUAAUAAUUUAAUUAUAAAUUUCUAUGUCAUUUAGUUUAUAAAUUUAAUAUCUCUAGCAUUACUCUUUUUCCAAUUAGUUAGUCACCAAUUUCUUCUAAGAAUUUUCCAAGCACUUUUGUUUGAGGAUAUUUUAAUAAGGUGUGAUAUCCACACACCUCAUUUUACUUCUUACACACCUCAUGUUAAUUUCUGUAUGUUGAUCUUCUUCAUUUCAUCUGAUCCGAUGGUCGAAAAUUAAAAAGGUGUGUGAGAAGUAAAAUCGGAUGUAUGGAUAUCACAUCCCUUUAAUAAUUUUCACACAAAAAGUGCACUUCACAUCACACUACAAAAUCUUGGAAGGCAGAGUGAAACUCUCCAUAGCCUCUCUGGGCUCGAAAAUGGUAAAUAGUCGUGACUUGCCACCAUUUGUUCAUUUAAAAAAAAAAAAAUAUAUAUAUAUAUAUAGUUGUUGAUUGAAUAAGAUUUGGUAUCUGACCUUCCAAGCACAGGUGACAGAUCAAGUCAUUUGACUAUGAAUGAUUUUAUGAAUGAAAAAUCAUUAAGUCUCAGAGACAUUUAGUUUGAUAUCAGCAUAAUGUAUUACAAACUCAUUAAAACUAUCAACCUCAUCACCAUGUUAUGAUAAGAAUCAAACUAAACACGUGAAACCCCACCCCAAAAAUUAUGAAAUUCCACAUUUUACUUAAAGGUUUUCAAAUUUUUACAUUUCAGUCCCUCACUUCCUACCCAAUCAGGAUCCUCUUUUUAGAUUUCCUCUCCUCUCAUUGCUUGCCAUGAGGCAGCCCACUAACUCCUCCUUAUCACUCUAUCUCAUUUUCCUCGAGUUCACUCUCUUUCUCAGCUCACUCUUCUCUCACUUUCACACUCUUUCCCUCUUUCUUCCCGAUUGAACCCACACCCACGCACACCCAUAGGGACACCCCCGACGAUGACACACCAUCACCACCACCUUCGUGGACCUCCCCUCCCUCUCCUUCAAGACAUAGGAACGAGGCUUACGAUCCGCGCUACGAGGCAUUCCCAUACCAGUGACUUUGUGUCCCUCUCUCCGCUUGGACAUUCUUGUAAUAGCACAUUUCGCUUGUAUUCUGAAUUAGAUGUCUGCUUUGAACAUGUCAUGCAUUAUCACUAUACUUUCAUUGUAGGCAAUUGAAUAUUAUUAUAUUAUUUUAAGUAGUUUGAACAAAAUUUAUAUGCAUGUUUCACAUGUUCUCAGCAUUUGCAUUCAUAAAUGGCUUGCAUCACCCUCGGGUGUCGGUCAGCACGUGACUAUCCCGAUGUCCCACGAACAUCGGGAUCAGGGCGUGUCAAAACAGGUCUUAAUAGUUAUUCAUUAAUAAUCAAUGGGCUAGUUUGCCACUACUAUUUCUGAAGCUAUCGAGAGGUCAUAAGAUAGUCCAUAACUCCGCCUGAAAUUAUGUGUCUUGUCCCAAGUAAGCAAGUCAUGAUCCACCAUCACUCUCUAUCCAUCUAGGCACCAAACUAAGCAAUAGACAGAUAGAGGUAGAAAUUGGGAAUGGAAAGCAAGCAAGGGGGAGAGAGUAGUUGCCCGCUGAGACAAGAUCAGUUUGAGUUCAACAAUUGUACUAGUUGACCUGACUUACACGAAGGUUACAAAAGUUCUAUAUGCUCUGGACAAUCCGACGGAGAUGUCGAAUACAAAAAACGGAUAAAUGAAAUUUCCCAACUCAAGAACCUUACUUUCCCCGUAUAAAAAUUCAAAGCAUUCCAACAUAUGAAGAAAGACAAAAUAAGGGCACACCAACAUCAGUUCAUAACUUUCAUUACAGCUGACAAGUCACAACUCACAAGUCAUCCCUUACACACUUUAUGUACAAAGUUUUUUUUUCUAUCAUACUAGUUUCAGCUUUGAUCAACAGGCCAUCCAAUGAAAUUUAAUCUUGACAAAGAUAGCUAACCUACACCUGGUGAGUCACCGUAGCACUCAGUAACGUAUCAAAAUGUACACGACUCUUUAAUUGAAGAUGAAAGCAAACUAAAAUAUGUAUAGCCUUUGAUAAAAUGUAUAUGUAUAUUCUAUAUAUAUAUAUGUGUGUGUGUGUGUGUGUGUGUGUGUAGGAGUGUGAUAUACAGGAAGUUAAUGAACAAUUGAUGAGCCCGAUAAAAUUAUCUCUUUGUUGGCGAAAUGUUUUGAAGUCGAGAAGACCUCAUUGGUGAAGUUUGUAAGAUAGCAUUAAUGCAAAAGUUUGCGACCGUUAGUAAAAGAUCUAAGACAAAUACAUAUGUUGUUAUUGGUUGCGAUAGAGGUGGGUAUUAUUGAGCCUCUAAAACUUCACUUGAUGAAAGAAAGAGAAACUCAAGAUCUUGGCUCAUAAAUUGUCCAUUCGAAGUCAGGAGGAGUAAAAAGAAACGUGAAUAAUUUUGGAAGCUAGAGAUAAAAAGUUUGUUACAUAACCAUGAACUUUCGAAUGACAUGUGUGGACAUGUGUGGACAUCCUUCUAUUGGAGUUUAAAGAUAAGCCUGAAAAGUUGCCUCUUACUCAAAAAGAGAAUACCAAAAGGCAAAUUUAUGAAUUUCUUGAUACUUCUACUCCCUCAAUUCUUAAACCUAAUGUUAAACCUCACAAAGGUCAUCUGGUAGGGUCCAAAAAUAGAAAAGAAUCAAGCUCUACAAAGUGUAGUCCUUUAAAGUUUGAAAUAGUAGAGAAGACUUAAGACAGAUAUGUCAUUAUUUAUUUAUUUGUCUUUUGAUAUGGUCAUGAUUAUUUAUAUAUACGUUUAACACUUAAUGUGCAUAAUGAUUUGCCAAAUAAACUUUUUAUUAAUUAUAUAUAUACUAAAAGGGAAAAUAACUAAAACACCGGUCGUUUUAUAGUGUUCUCCCUUAUUUGCCCUCGCACUUUAACGCUAAUUCCUAUUGUGUCCCUGCUGUAUAUAUUUUUAAUUUCUUUCUCUUCUUUAUCCGUUCUCUCUUUCCUCUAGCUCGAUGCUCUCCGCCAGAGAGUCUCUGGCUUCUCUCAUUCUCUCUCUCUAAAAUACCCACCCUCUAAAACUCCUUCUCACCUCUCCUCCUCCGAGCCACUUUCUCUAUCUAGAACUCACUCGCCACUGCCUUCUCUCUGAUGGUUCAAUAGGCCGUUGACGACUUCUACGAUUUCGGCGACGGCCAGUCUCGAGGUUGGUCUUAGCCAACUCCUCAUAAGCUCAGGCACAUUCUACACCUAUUGCAUCUGAAGAUCUGCCUCAAAUUUACGAUUUUCAGUUCAAAUCCUAAAUGGUGCGUUUUCCGACGAAUUUACAGAGGCGGCGAGCUCAAUUCCGGCCAGGUUCUGUCAAAUUAGGUGGUAAUAGGCCACUCGAGGCUUGAACCAAAGGAGGAGAGGAGUAGUUGUUUUCAUGGAAGGAAAAGAGCAGCAGCAGCGGAGGAAGAGUAUGCAGAGGCAAACGUGGAGGAGUCGUUGGGGGUCAUCAAUGAGAAAUGUACUGUUCCAACUAACACACAACCAUUUGUUAAUUGAACCACUGAUACGACAGGCUUUGGUUUUGAGUUUCAAUUUGUUGAUUAUUGCAGGACGAUAGGUAGAGAGUGGCACUUUUCUUCAUCAGUUGCAUUCCAAGCAUGCUUUGGGAGAGGUAUAGAGUCUGUAUACCUAGCUUUUUAUAUUUCAAUAUACAAAUACUUCCCAAUGGAACCGCAAAAUUGGUAACAAACACCUUGACUGCUGCAUGGCAUACGAAACCAACUAUGCUCAUACAUAUUCAUGGGUUUCUUAUAAAACAUUAAACUAUGGAUUGCUCCUUUGCUGCUUGAACACAUAUUCGUCAUUAAACUAUGGAUUGCUCUCCUUUGCUACUUGAACACAUAUUCGUUUUAUAAAGAUCAUGUCUGUGAAAUGUCAAUUUAAAUGUAUGUGAUAGUGACUGUCUUAAACUGAUAUGCUCAUAUACAUCGGUAAUUCGUAUUAUGUGUUAUAGUGGACAGCUUGAAUCCAUCUUUUCUUUGUUUGACUUGCUAAUUUUUCUUUAUUUUUCAAUUGCAUAUAGUGCAAUUCACUCUGUUUUAAAUUAGUGGUAUAUUGAGGUAAUUUUGAGAGGAUAUAUAUAAAGCACUCUCUUUGUAUUAGUGUGGGUGUAUGGUAUGUAUGGCAUCGGAUUAAACCUUGAAUAUUACAAAAAGUUGUUCUACUUCAAUCCCCAUCGUGUUUUAUGUUGAGCCUCUGCAGAUACUUUGUUGAUUAAAGCGCUCUUUAUGCAUUGCUGUCACAAGUUUCAAUGAAAUAAUUUAUGACAAGUUCUCCUUCCGUUUCAGGUUUGUUACAGACCUGAUUUCGUAUGCUCGGAGUAAUGAACUGAGGAUCUUUAUUAAUCUCGGCAUGCUUAAAUAUCUAUAGAUGUAAUAUGAUUAUAAGAAUAUAAACUUUGUUUAUAUGGUGUUCUAGACAAACACAGCAGUACUGCGCCUACGCUUGAGAGACCUUUUUAAUUUGAUUGAUUUCAGACGUUAGACUUUGUCCAUAUUGAAAUUAUCUUUUGAACAGUGAGCAACCAAUCUUUUGAUAACAAAGAACUUAGCUAUAAAAUCUAACUUCUAUAACCUCUGUCUUCUAUUGUAUAUUUUCACAAUAUAACACCCACAGCAUCACGUGGGUCUUUUUGCUAGUAAUAGCUUAGAUGUGUAAAGAACACGUGAAGAUACACAUUUGCCAUGGUUAUCUUGGCUUCCCUUGGAAACUCUUUUCCAUGAAAAAUCCAUUCCAUCACACAUACCACAGGAUUCAUGCUCAACUUCAAUAUCUAUGUAUUAAUAACUUACAGUUUACGUGCACGUGAACAACUGUUCUUAGCAUUUGCAUGUAAGAAGGUGCAACUAUUCAUACCAAAAAAUAGUUAAGAGCACAUAAAUUGGCCCUAAUAAAAAAUAGUUAAUUAGCAUUUGCAACUAAUCCAGGUUUUUAUAUGUAUCAUUUUCAAGAAUCGACAGAUAAAUGAUAGCGUACAAGUAGGUGAGCAGAAGUCAUAGUAUGAGACCUUAAAGGCUGGCUCAGAACCAAGACCAACUUCUGAAACUACAGAAGCUAUCACUGCACUAAGUAUGACCAUAGAAGUGGUAUUCACAAGUGAAAUGGAUGAGGAAUCAGGUGGUGAUGGCCAUAGGAGACUCUACGGCAAAGAAACAACCGGAAACAGCAGCAUUAAACCUUGUCAAAACAGAACAACAACAAUUACAAUGAGGGCAAACAUGCAUUGAUAAUGGCAGCGCAGAUAUACACGAAACUGAAUACCAACCAGAAGCAAUUCCAGCAGCCACAUGAGUGAGCCUUCUUUGUGAACUUUUAUCAAACACAGCACCAAUACCCUUGGCUACAGAAGCUCCAAUCUCAACGCUAGGACCUUCGGGACCUAACGAGUUCCCAGCCCCAAGUGUGACACAUGCAGCAAUUGCCUUGAAAAAGGACGUGAUGCAGCCUUGAGACCAUCAAAAACCCAAAAAGGCAUUUCAUUAAUAAAUUCUCUCCUUUUUCUCCUCCUUGCUCAUUGCCAUUUUUAUCUUCUGAACCAUCCUCAAGAGCAUCUUGAAGCAAGUUUAUUAUGGCAACGAAGCUCCCCGUUGCGGCAUCCCACCCCAGAACACAUCAUGUAUCUCAUGAACCUUCCCAUUCAUAUCAAAAUCUCAGAAAAAGCUCAAAACUUAAUGUAUAAGCAAGCAAGAAAAAAGCAAAGCAAAAAUAGGUAAUGAAUGACGGAACCUGAGGUUCCGCCCUUAUAGUUGUAAGUUUAUGCAAGGUUCCUUAACUUUCCGAUGUGGUACAGUUUUUCAUAACCUCACGCGCCCCUCACAUGUUGCAGCACUCAAGUCAAACAGAUGGACAACACACAUUCCUAUGUGAGCCAAUUCUUUAACAUCCUCACAACGAAUGACAAAACGUAAAGAUCACUAGCAGACUACAAUGCUAAUGCAUCUCAUGAACAUUUACAAUUUCUGUAAAAUUUCAGAUAAAAGCUCAAAACUUUGCAAACAAGCAAGCAAGAAAAGCAAAAAUGGACAAUUGAGUAAUGGGUAAAAAUCAAACAUACAGAGUAGUUGAAGAGGACGACGCCGAUUCCGGUGAGCAGACCCACCAAGCUCGACGACAGCACUAUCGUCCAGUUCCCUCGGCCACGGCCUUGUGCGCUGUUUUCAUCUUCCCCUUUUUCUUGUUCUUCUGCUUUGUCAUCGUCAUCGUCAUCGUCAUCGUUUUGUUGUUUUUGUUGCUGGGUUUGUUGGUUUUGAGUGGGUUUAAUAGUUCUUCUAGUGUUUGACGUGUACCCAGCACUGGCAUUUUUGGUGUUGAUUGUUCUGGUUUGGGUGUUUGAUGUGGGAGAGAAUAGGAGGAGGGUUUUUCCCGGCGGUGAUGAAGACGGAGGAGGAGGAAAGGCCAGGGGACAUAAAUGGCGGCGGAAGUGAGCGUUGGGGAAGCGUCGUAUGCACGAUCACAACUGUUCAGUCAAAUCACAACCAACUAAUGGAUAAAUGCCAAAAUAAUUAAGCAAUAUUCAUAUUAAUAUAAAAUAAUACCCGAAUUUCCUUUUCUUUUCUUAAUAACCAAAUCAAGAGUUGUCCGUUGUUUUAAUAGUAACUUAUUAAAUAUAGUCCAUCUUGAUUGGAACGGCACGUACCACGCUAUGUUUUCGGCAUACUAAAAAAUUUCUCAUAUAUGUGGAACUGAAUGGCAAUAUGCCAUUGAUAACAUAGAUGGAGAUUAUGUUUACUUUGCAUAGAAUUUUUUUGUUACUAAAUGUAGUUGGAAUGAUGGUGAAAUUUGAGUGAUGUAUGCAAUUUGGUGUAUUGAUGUACACAAGAUAGCCGCACAAGCACAUACGAACAUCUUCAAAGGAGAUGUCAAAAGAUAAGUGUUAAAUGUUAAUUUAAUGGCUAACGUGACAAUGUCAUAUUUUUUUUUUUUUUUUUUUUUGUCGAAAGAUAGAAAUUUAUUAAGAUUAAAUACGAGCGGUUACAUUUGCAUCCUCUGCUAAAAUAUUGAACAGAAACUCUGGACCUAACAAAUCCCAAUCAAAACUCCCGUCAUGCUUAACAGCGUGCGCCGCCACCGAAUGAGCUGCACGAUUGCACUGCCGAGGGGUGAAGCAAAACCUCACCAACUGGAACAAAUCCGCCAUCAUCCAAAUGUCUUGGAGAUAGAUAUCAAGAACCACAUCAGUCGUGACCUCCUGAUUAAUCAUUUGAAUCAAACCUUUUGAGUCCGAUUCAACCACCAAACUACCCCCAGAUUCCAAAACCCGACUACUAAGAACCAUCUCUAAUCCCUGCCUGACCGCCUCCGCCUCAGCCAUUAUUGCAGCUGCAAACCUUUGCCCACCCACCCCGCCUACGAGCUUGGGAAGCCCCGCAAAAUCACGAAGAACCCACCCCACCCCACCCACCUUUGACUCAUUCCGCCAGGUCGCAUCACAAUUUAAUUUCAAGACACCAAAACUGGGUUUUUUCCACUGAAGCCGAUCUGCACCCACUUCCCCCACCCCUAACUCCCGCUUAGUCCAUUGUUCCCCCCCAUCCACUACCGUAGGCUCUCGAAACUCACCCACCUGCUUGUACCACAACUCCACUGCAAUAUGCGGCUGGAUGCUACUCCCAUUAAAUACCGCUUCAUUCCUACAUUUCCAGAUUCGCCAAAACCCGAACACCACCUGCUGCAAUAAUAAUUCCGCCUCCUCCUCCUGUCCUAGUCUCGUCACUACCCUUUCCCACCCCUCCAGAAAAUCCACCACACCCAAGCCUGCCAUAUCCAUUUGCACCUCUGUCCCGAACCAAAAAGCGCAACUAAACUCGCACCCAAAAAAUAGAUGCCCUUCGGUCUCAUCUAGCAAGCCACAGAGCUCACACUUAUUCACCACUCGAAUCCGUUGGCGCUCCAAAUUAUGCCUCACCGCCAACGCCUUACGACAGGCCCUCCAAACAAAUAACCGAAUCUUAUUUGGCACUAGGAGAGGCCAAAUUGUUUUCCACACCCCUCCCCCCACUCGUGCCGAACUCGGCAUCCCCCCCCCUUUAUGCCCAAAUUCCCCAUUUUUCAUCAUCUCCAUUGCUACAUAAUAUCCCGAGUGAACCGAAUAAAUCCCAUUCUUUGUAUAGUGCCAUAUUUGUUUAUCACGACAACCACGUCUACUAAUCGGAAUAGUUUGAAUCAGUUCUAAAUCGUCUUGUUCCACCAUGAUCCUAAGAGUCUCAAGAUUCCACCCUUGCUUAUCCUUAGAAAUAACUUGCAUACCUUUACAUUGGGAGCCCCAAUCCUCAUCAUUGGUUUGAAAGAAUGAGGCUUAGGUAUCCAAGGAUCAGUCGCCACUCUAAUAGUCUCCCCAUCCCCCACCUGCCAACAAAGACCACGAGUUAAGACUUGCCGCCCCAAUAGUAAACCUUUCCAUCCCCACGAGGAUCUGGGUCGGUUGUUAGCCUCGAGAAAUGAAGAGUUAGGAAAGUAUUUAUCCCUAAGCACCACCCCAAGCAUCGAAUCCAGCGUAUGUAGUACCCUCCAGCUGACUUUGGCAAGCAUGGCCAAAUUAAACCCAAUUAGUUCCUGAAAACCCAACCCUUCAUCCUUCUUCCUCAUAGUCAACUUCUCCCACGCCACCCAAUGACAUCCCUUAGCUUUCUCCUGCCCUCGCCACCAAAAUUGAGCAAUAACUCGCUCUAGUUCCUUACACGCACUCACCGGUAAUUUAAAGCAAGCCAUAUCAUGAUUCGGCAUCGCCAUGGCCACUGAUUUGAUCAACACUUCCUUCCCUGCGGGAGAUAAAAAUUGCUCGGCCCAUCCAUCAGUCCGGCUCUUGAUACCUUGAUGAACCGACUCAAAAACCGUCUUCUUCGAAUGCCCAAAAUCCACCUGAAUCCCCAAAUAUUUACCAAAUCCCUCUUUAGCUUGGAUAUUCAUCCUCGUAACAAUACGUUUUUUCUCCUUCUUCGGGCAACCCUUUCCAAAAAAUAUAGAGUUUUUCUCCAAAUUUAUAUUAUGGCCAGACUCUUUCCCAUACGCCUCCAAGAUUUUAACCACGUGCCCUGCCUCCGUCACAUCAGAUUUACAGAAUACUACUGAAUCAUCCGCAAAAAACAAAUGACUAAUAGGCACCGCAUUCUCUACCACCCGCACCCCACUAAUCAAACCCGCCUCUUCAGACUUUCAGAUAUACGCCGACAAAGCUUCCGCACAUAGCAAGAAUAAAAAAGGUGACAAUGGGUCCCUUUGUCGUAACCCCCGUUCUGGUCGAAAAUACCCUGAGGGAACACCAUUCACCAUGACACUAUAGGACACUGUAGAGAUACAUUCACGAAUCCAUUCACAAAAUUUAGGAUGAAAACCCAACUUAUGCAUAACAACGAUCAAAAAAGGCCAUUCUACCCAAUCAUAUGCUUUCGCCUUAUCUAAUUUAAUCGCCAUCUGAGCAUCCACCCCAUUCACCCCUUGCUUCAAAGAAUGCAAAAUUUCAUGUACCACCAAAAUAUUAUCAUGAAUCUGUCGUCCGGGAACAAAAGCUGACUGAUUAAUGCUAAUAACCCGGUUCAUCACUUUUUUUAAUCUCCGCGUUAAAACCUUAGCAAUAAUCUUAUACACCACAUUACAUAAUGAUAUAGGUCUCAAUUCCACCAUCCGCCGCGGAGCCUUCACCUUCGGAAUUAAGACAAUAUUUGUGUGGUUAGUCUUUUGAAGCAGCCGCCCUGAAUGAUAGAAAGCAUGCACCAUCCGAAUAAUAUCCUGACCCACCACUUCCCAAUGAUCCUGAAAAAACCCAGCUGUAAAUCCAUCAGGACCAGGAGACUUUGUUGCUGAAAUUUGAAACAAAGCUUCCCGAAUUUCCUCGUCCGAGAAAGGGCGGAUAAGUUCCUCAUUCUCCAAGUCCAAUACCUUCGACUCCACUGAUGUCGCUACCUCACCAUCCUGCUGUGAGUCUCCAGCAGGGAAGAAAUCCAUACAAUACGCUAUAGCAAUGUUCUGCAUACGUUCCAGGUCCGUCUGCCAUACUCUUGCAUUAUCAACCAAUCCUUGUAUCCGAUUACACCUCCUUCGUUGUACAGUUUGAGCAUGGAAGAACUUGGUAUUUUUAUCCCCUUUCCGAAGCCAUGUAUUCCGUGAUUUCACCUUCCAAUAAUAUUCUUCCUCUUUAAUAGCCCCUGUAAGCUCCUUCUCUUUCUCUUUAAUAUGCUCUUGCCGCACCAAUGGAUCCAAAAUCCCCCUUCGGAUCUCUUCCUUUAAUUCCUCAAUUCGCCGCUUAGAACUUGGUAUUUUUUUUUCUUUUUCCAACUGAUAUGUUUUUUUUUGUUAUAAAUGAUAUAUGUAUGACUCAUUUUAAAAAGAAAUCAAUUAAAAUAUUUUUUCAAUAUCUAUAAUUGGUGCAUUAACGGAACUCACGCUAUAAAAUAAUUAAAAAUUAUUUGACAUCACAUUUUCUCAUAUGUCAAAUUUGACAUAUGAAAACUCAUAUGUCCAUCCACAUAAGAUUGACAUAUUGGUUGUAGCUUGUUCUUAUCUUCAAAUUUGAUCGGUUGGAGAUGUCAAAUCCUAAAUGGAAUGCUAUGUAAUCAAAUUUGAAAGUAGGAGCAAGCUUCAACCAAUAUGUCAAUCCUAUGUAGAUUGAGAUAUGAGUCAAAUUUGACAUAUGAGAAAAGGUGAUGUCAAAUAAUUUUUAAUUAUUUUAUUGUGUGGGUCCUAUUAAUGCACCAAUUAUAUAUCUUGAAAAUUUAUUUUAAUUGAUUUCUUUUAAAAUGAGUCCUACAAAUAUCAUUUAUAACAAGAAAAAACAUAUUGGUUAAAAAAAGAAAAAAAAUCUGACAUUACCACAUCAGCCAUCAAAUUAGCAUAUAACAUUUAUCUUUUGACAUAUCCUGUCAAUAAACCUUUAACAUUAACUUUUACCCCAGUCAUUGUAAAGAUGCUAUGUCCCACCAUUGACACAGUUAUAUUGGCUUCCUUGGAAACUCUUUUCCAUGAAAAAAAUCCAUUUCAUCACACAUACCACUAGAAUAUUGCUCAAAUUUAAUAUCUAUGUUGUAACUCUAAAUUUCCAAUUACAAGUUAUGUUCGUACUCAUAACUUACAGUUUACAUGUAAGCAACUAUUCUUAGAAUUUGCAAAUAAGAAGGUGAAAUUAUUUAUAUUAAAAAAUAGGGAACUUUAACGAAAAGCUCCCGAUACUGUUCACUUUAAUGAAAAAUCAUAUUUUUAUACCAAAAAGUCAAUCCCGGUACCAUUCACUUUACCCUUUAUUUUAUCCCUUUCGUUAAAACUCAAAAAUUUCAAAAAUUUUUCAUUAUUUUUCCUUAAAAGAUAGUUAUGAGCACAUAAAUUGACAUGUACCUUUAUAAAAUUCGAGAAAUUUGUCUCGGUGGUCGAGACAUUUGCUACAACUGAGGACAAAAGAAGCUCCUACAACGGAGUUGCACACUUGAAUGCAGAAUGGCCAACGACAUAUGCUGAACUAACAUAUAAAAUUACAAAACAAAUGGAAGCUAGACAAGGUUGUAGCUCCAAUUAAGAAUGCAUUACAUUAUGAUUUUGAUUUUGAUCAAUUACAUCAUGUUUAUCAAUUAAGAAUGCAUUACAUUAUGGUAAUAUUCACAUUACAUUAUGUUUAUCAAUUACAUCAAUUACUAGGGCCGGUUCUUUGAUUUUGAUCCAAAACUUAUUACUACUUCAAAGAUCCCUAAUCUUUUAUUGAAGAGACCUUUCCAUGCACAUCAUGCAAUACAAGAAGUUUUAGGGACUAAUUAAAUAGCGAAAAUGAGGCUCAAAAUGGAUCAAUCAAAAUGCCUUAAUUGUACCAACUAAUGAAGUUAUUUAAAGGGUUUAUAUUCAUAUUUUAGAACACUAAUCAUCGAUCGUCUCAUUAAAGAAGAAGAGGACAUGAAACAACGCAAUACAACACCUUCGUGGACAUGAGCUACUUGUUGGCCAUGAUAAGAGUAUAUAAUCUACGGGUGUGUUUAGAUUAUGAAUUAGGUUUCCUCUUUAAACUGGUGUAUAGAACGAUACACAACUGCAGUUUAUAGUCUGACAAUAUAACAUGUCAAAUAUCCAACAAACAAAUCACUCUAUUUCUAAAUGGUAGCUUCCUUCUCAAUCUCGCAUUAAUUUGUACCUUCCUUCACAAAUCACGGUUUUGUUUCCCCACUUUAUACAAGUUGACAAAUUGUAAACAUAAACUUGCUAAUCAACUCUGAUUUCUAAAUUGUAUUUGUUGUGGUAGUACUUAAUGUGCCGGGCUCAUUACGACCAGUGGCAGUUUUGAAAUAUCACAACAAAAGCAGUACCAAUCUGCGAAUCGCAAUUGCUCCUCACGAGUACGGCAGACUGAGCGCGCUGUGCUCUCGAUUGAUUCCUGGUCUGAUCUUCUGCGAAUCGCAAUCCUACAGUGGCGAUGGCGUCGGCGCAGAACCAAUCUGCGAAUGUGGAUCUCUUCGAUGCGUAUUUCCGACGAGCUGAUUUUGACAGCGAUGACCGGAUUAGUGGCAAUGAAGCCGUCGCUUUCUUCCUGGGCUCCGAUGUCCCCAAACAGGUCGGCACAGCUACUCUCUCUCUCUCUCUCUCUCUCUCUCUCUAUAUAUAUAUAUAUAUAUAUAUAUAUGCAUAUGCUUGUGUAUAUAUGUAUAAUUGGAUGUGUAUUGUAGUGUGUAUGAUUAUAUUUGUGUAAUAAUAGUGGUUGAUCGGGAUUUGAUGCUGGUGGAAAUUUGUUCCAAAUCAGAUUGAUUUUGAUUUUUUUAGUCUAAUUGUAGUUGAAUUGGUUAAUGUGAGGUGAGGUCGGGAUGUCUUAAUUCUCUGAUCUAAGCUGAGAUUUUUAGUUCGUGUUAGUAUAAAUACGGAGUUGAUGUUCAAAUGGUAGAAAAUAAGUAGAUGAAGGAUUUAUACUACAGUUAGUGAGGUUGAGAGAGUUAUGCUAUCAGGUCAUUAAUUUACUUUAUGGUGUAUCCGCUCGACCUAAGGUGGUAAGCAGACUUCAGAAAUGUGUCAUAUAACCCGAGGAUUUGACAUUACAAUUGCGUAGUAGUGAAAACCUGCAGCAUAAGGUGACUAUGGAAUAGUUAGGAUUAUCGCAUACAUGGGAAAUGUUCUUGGGUCAGGAUAGUGAGGUUGAGAGAGUUAUGCUAUCAGGUCAUUAAUUUACUUUAUGGUGUAUCUGCUCGACCUAAGGUGGUAAGCAGACUUCAGAAAUGUGUCAUAUAACCCGAGGAUUUGACAUUACAAUUGCGUAGUAGUGAAAACCUGCAGCAUAAGGUGACUAUGGAAUAGUUAGGAUUAUCGCAUACAUGGGAAAUGUUCUUGGGUCAGGAUCAUAUCGAUAAAUAGGUUUUCUUCUCAAAAAAAAUAUCGAUAAAUAGGUUCUUGAAGCUGUAUACUUGUUUUACUGAAGGAAUUUCCAUAUAAAAUGAUAACCGGGCGCAUAUUAUGUUAAAUAUUGAUUAUACAAAUGCACUUUCUCCUUAUCUUUUUGUAACAGAAGUUUGGAUCUGUUCUAGUUUAUAUUUUUUAUUUUUUAUUUUUUAUUUUUGAGAAGAAACAAUUUUAUUAAAGAAUAGAGAACAGCACAGAAGUGGAUAAGAAGUCCACUAACUGUAUAACAAGGAAAAACCCAUUAGGAUUUGGCUACAGCAGCCAUUUCUAGACCUAGCUCACUUAACUGCUGCUAACAAAUCCCAUAGUAUUUGAGAUAGAGAAACAUUAUUAAACUCUUUAGUGACUGAAGCCCAAAAAGCUGCCCAAUAUUUUACUCUCCCCCAAAGUUCUUCUGCCCCCACUCCAGUAUAGUCUUCAAAAAUCCUCUUGUUGCGUUCCAGCCAUAUAUUCUAGAAAAUUGCCGAUACCAGGCAACCCCACAAAACUUUUGGAUUUUUUCCUUUUUCCAAGUGCCUUAAAGUUUGUGCUUAGUAGCUCGAAACACCCUUUAGGAAUGACCCAACUUGCUUUAACCUCCUGUAACAAUUUCCACCACAGUUGGAUCGAGUAGGAGCAAUGAAGAAAGAUGUGAUUUACACUCUCCUCCUUGGCUUUGCACAGGCUACACCAAUGUGGUGAUAAGCACAUAAGAGGGUUUCUCCUUUGAAUUCUGUCGCAUGUGUUUAGAUUCCCAUUGGCCACAAGCCAUACAAGUAUUUUAACCUUCGGAGGAACUUUUGAUUUCCAAAUCUGAGGGUAGGGUGGAAAAUAGUGCACACUCCCAUUGUUGCUCAGUAAUGAACGAUAAGAUUUGCAUGAGAACAAACCUGAAGCUUCCAGAUUCCACCUUCUGAUAUCCAUCUUUAAUGGAGACAAUCGAACCUCUUCCAGUUUCUGUAAUAAUGUGGCCACCUCUACUAUCUCCAUCUCAUUCAAGUUUCUCCUAAAAUCAAAGUUCCAACUCAAAGGAUUUGAUGAAACUUCCACGAAGCUCGAGAUGUUUUGAUUAUGCUUCCUUUAUAGUAGGAAUAGUCUGGGGAAUUGCUCCUUCAGCGGUCCCCCUGUUAACCACCCAUCCUCCCAAAACCUCACCCUCUCUCCGUUGCCCACCUCAAACGUGCAGCAUCUAAGAAACUGAUGAGAACCACUCGAAAUGUCUUUCCAUGGGCUUCGACUUGAAACCCUCCUUUGAGGAAGUGCAUCCCAUCCAUUAGCUUGUAGCCCAUACUUACUUCUUAUCACCUUGUGCCACAGAGACUGUGACUCCCUUGGGAAUCUCCACAACCACUUAGCCAAUAAUGCUUCGUUAUGAUUCCUCAAGUUCCCCACCCCUAGACCUCCUUCCUCCUUGUUUUUAGUAACUAACUCCCACUUGGCCAAAUGUGUUUUCUUACCUUCCUCCAUGCCUUCCCAUAGAAACCCCUUCAUUAAUUUUUCUAGACGUCCUCUUACCCCGCAUGGAAUUUUGAACAAGGACAUAUAGUAAAUCGGCAUGCUUCCCAGGACUGAUUGAAUUAGAGUUAAUUUACCCCCUCUAGAUAGGAAAGCCUUCUUCCAACUUUGAAGUCUUCUUUCCAUUGUUUCUACCACUGGAUCCCAAAACUUUAUUGCUCUUUGCCUUCCUCCAAGGGGAAGCCCCAAAUACUUUAUCAGCCAGCACCCUACCUCGCACCCCCAAGAAACUGCCAACCUGUUUAGUUUCUCACUCUCUGAAUUUAUCCCAGCCAAAAAGCACUUAGCUUUGUUGAUUUUCAAUCCUGAGACCGAACAGAAUAAAUUAAGCACUUGGAUUAGGUUAUUCCAAACUUCCUCGUCUUCCGUCAAGAAGAAAAUGGUGUCGUCGGCAAAUUGAAGAUGAGAUAUCUCCACCUUUUCUUGGCCGAUACACAAGCCUUUGAUGAGAUCAGUUUCUUGUGCCUUCUCCAUUAACUUGCUCAAAACAUCGACUACUAAGGUGAAAAGAAAUGGUGACAGUGGAUCGCCUUGUCUCAAACCUCUUGAAGCUUGAAAUUUUCCCCUUGGCCUUCCAUUGAUCAAAACGGAGAAAUUUGCAGAGCUUAAACAUCCUUGCAUCCAUUUCCUCCAUCUAUUGCCAAAACCUUUUCUUUGAAGUACUUCUUCUAGAAAUCUCCAUUCAACAUGAUCAUACGCUUUUUCAAAGUCUAUCUUAAGCACCAAUCCCUUCUCUUUUUUCUGCCUCACCUCUUCUACCACUUCAUUUGCAAUGAGGACAGCAUCCAAAAUUUGUCUAUCCUUAACAAACGCCCCCUGAUUCGGAGAGACAGUGGUAUCCAAAACCUCCUUCAAUCUUGAAGCCAGUGUUUUUGCUAUAAUUUUAUACAAUCCAGUUACUAAGCUUAUGGGCCUAUAGUCCGUCACUUUCAAAGAAUCUGAUUUCUUCGGGAUCAGGCAAAUAAAAGUCUCGUUCGUCACUGCAUUUAUUAUCCCUUUCUCAAAGAACUCUUCCAUGAUCUUCAUUAUAUCCUUCUUCAAAAUCUCCCAGCAAUGUUGAAACAUUUGCAUAGAGAAGCCAUCUGGUCCUGGAGAUUUAUCCUUUCCACAAUCGAAAACUGCUCUUUGAACUUCUAUUUCCUCAAAAGGCCUCUCAAGCCAACUUGCCUGAAGGGCGCUUAUUGGAGCCCAAUUUAUCCCUUCCAAACCCCAACAUGCCUCGUCGUUACGCUGAAUAAGGAUUUGAAAAAAUUGACAAUAUGCUCUUCGAUCUCUUUUGCAUCCUCUAUUAUUCCCCCUCCAACCGACUCUAACCUCUCAAUAUAGUUUCUCUUCCUUCUCCCAUUUGCAACUCGAUAGAAGAAUUUUGUAUUACCAUCCCCUUCCUUUGCCCAUUCCACUUUGCUUCUCUGCCUCCAUUUCACUUCUUCUUUACAAGCCAAGUCUCCUACAAGGGUUUGGAGUUCUUCCCUUUUUCUUCUAGCUUCAAAAUCUAAGCCUUCCAACCCCUAUCUCCUGUCCAACUCCUCUAUGUUUGCUUCCACUUCUUUCAAGACUUUUUCGAUCUCGCCGAAGCUCUCCUUACUCCAGCGUUGCACCUUUUUUUUCAUGGCUUUUAACUUGAUCAUAAAUUUAUAACCCUCCCACCCCUCCACUUGCUCCGAUUGCCACCAUUCCUUGAAUUUAUUCCUGAAUUCUGGAUCUUGGAGCCACAUGUUUUCAAAUCUGAAAGGACAUGGCCCCCAUUUCACUUUGUUGGUGUCUAGCUGGACUGGGCAAUGAUCAGAAAUGACCCUAGCCAAGGCCGUUUGUCUAGCCUCAGGGAAGAUAUCUUCGCAACCUGUAGAGCAUAAGAAUCUGUCUAAUCUCCGACACACAGGUUCUUCUCUGAGGUUUGACCAAGUAAAUUGUGCAUUGAGCAGCUCCAAAUCCUUGAGUUCUGUCUCUCUAAUGAAAUCAUUAAAAUCCCUCAUGCUUUUAGUCAACCUCCCCCCGUUUGAUUUCUCAUUUAUAAAUCUAACCACGUUAAAAUCUCCUCCUACACACCAUCUUGGUCCACACAUACCAUAAAGUCCCGCCAAUUUUUCCCAAAACUCCCUUCGGUCUCUAUUUUUACAUGGACCAUAGACUCCAGAUAGCCACCACUCCAUCCCAUUGGGAGCCAUAAUUUUUAUUGAUGCAGAGAAAACACCGAUCAAAGAUUCGGUUACUGACAUGUGUUUUGUAUUCCAGAUUACAGCUAUGCCCCCUGAGCUUCCUUGUGCAGGGGCAUAAAUCCAGUCUUUAUAUCUGCUUCCCCACACACUAGCCACAAGGCUUCUGUCAAUCAUAGCUUUCUUAGUUUCUUGUAGUAUGAUGAUGUCGGGCUGUAACCGUUGGAAUUGCUUUUUCAAAGUUAGCCUCUUCCGUCUACUUCCCAAUCCUCUAACAUUCCAGCUAAUUAUCUUCAUUAAAACUGGUAUUGCCCCUGUGAAGUUUACUAUCUCCCUUAAAACCAUCCUCUUUCUUGCCUCUUCUGACUUUCCCUUUCUUCGCUUCUUUUAACAGAGACCUUUUCAACGGAAACAAGGAAAUCUUCAUUUUAGACAAAAAUUUGGAAUUUAGAUGUUGUGCCUCAUUGUUGGCUAAUUGGCCUGCCAGUUUUUUCCUUCUUCUGUACUUUAAUAUUUCCUUGUUUUUUCCUAUUGCCUUAGUAACAGACUUCUCAUGAUUAGAUGCCUCCUCCAACGUUGUCAAUGCUUCCAAAUUUGAAUCCUUGAAUAGGUUGUGGAGGUCAUCACAGGAUAAUUCAAAAUCUUCAGAUGUUUCUUUUUCCUCUUGAGAGUAAGCCUCCGCCUCCCCAUCAGCAACAGAAGAUUGGGCGGAGAAAUCUUCGUCGUCGCUGUCUAACAAUUGAGCCGAAUCCAUGCCUAGAGCCUCCAUCCUUCUCCGCCAUUGAUCUGCUGGAUUCUUCUCAGUCGACCCGCUCGGUGAUCGGGCACGGUCAUCAUCGGCCUCGCUCUCCAGAUCUUCCUCUAAUUCACUAUCUGAAUCAGUGAAUGUGAGGUUAGAAGGCCAGCCUUUCGUCAGAAUAGGCCCUUCUAGUUGAUUCUGACCAGAGCCAAAAUCUUGUGGUGAAAGAAUCUUUAGCCGCAAUCCGCCCCUGUCAGGUUGGCCAAAUCUCCCAAAGAAACUCGAACAUGUGCUCAAGGAAGAUCUAAUUGGAAUGCCUGCUGUAUAAAACUCCGUGGCCCGUGGUUGCUGGGUAUCGCCCAAUGCCGUAUAUCCUCCAACGGUGUGCCUUAGAGUCGGCAACCUUAGAUUCUCCAACGGAUUCGACAACGUUCGAGACUUAUACAGAAGUUCCAUCUCGGAUUGAAACCAAUGUCUCAUUCCGUGAAUUGUUUGAAUAAGUGGGCCUCGACCUGACCCUUCCCAAUGAGAUUCACAGCCCAUCGAUUUACCGUUUAUAGUUGUAAAUAAAUUUUUAGCACCCAUAGGCCCGGUCACCGCCAUGUUUUCUCCACUAUUUGGGCUUUGUGUAUCAAAGCCCACCACUCCAUCAAGUUUAAUUGGAAUAAAGUUGUUUUUGUUGGGCCCACUCCCAUCGUAAACCUCUACAACAUUUCUAAUGCAUAUCUCCACUCUUGUUCCAUUAAAAAACUCCCUUCUUGAUGAAAUCUGUGCCCCCUCUGUACUCGAGCAACCGCCAUCUUUCCCCUCUAAUUCCAGCCUUUUGCUUUUACCCAGAGAAACAUAAGCAACAUUUCUAGUGCAUAUCUCCACGCUUGUUCCAUUAAAGUACUCCCUGCUUGAUGAAAUCUGUGCCCCCUUUGUACUAGAGCAUCCGCCAUCUUUCCCACCCUGUGUUUGAAGUGGCGUCCCAUACUCUCUUUCAGAGACAAUAAUGUCAGAGAGUUGGUUUGCAGGCAUCUCGUAACUCGCGUCCGCAGUCUCAGUCCCGUCGUGACCAAACAUUCUGUCACCACCGAUAGUGACUGGGCAGUCGAUGGCGCCGAUUCGAAAGCUGGCGCAUUUCCCCGUCGCGUGGGUUGCCUCCCCGAGCUCGGCCGUCGCCGGAUGAGUUAUUCCAGAAGUCCGUUGUAAUUGCUGUUCCUUUUUCAGAGGCCCAACUAAGGCUUCCGGUCUACCCAGAUCUUCAGCCGAAAUCAUGGGUCUCAUCGCUGGCGAAAGUUGCCGGAUCCUGACCCUGAAGACUAGAUCUCCGUCAGCCACUUCUACUACCUCAGGGAUGAAACCAGUUAUGUUGGUUUUGAGUUUUAUCUUUGCUUCGAGCAAGAAACCGAAUCUAGCGGUUGUUUGAUCGAUAUCCGCCAGACCUCCGCAAGCCUCGCCAAUAUCCUGGAAGAAUUUUUUGGUCCAAAGAUGUGGUGGUAAACCUUCCAGUGCAACCCAACCUCCAUAACUGACCGCCAGUCUUUGAUUUGUAUUCAAACUCUCCCACCACCCCGCCAGUUUCACCUCGGGGUACUCCUUCAUGCCUAUUGCUCCAAGUAGUGCUAUUUUUUUUUGCUUCCUCCUCGUUCUGGCAAACAAACAGUGCUUUGUUGCAUUGAAAUGGCGAGAGUCUGAUGUCCGUUCCCAGAAGAUUUCGAAGUGAGGCCUCCACCUCCCUCCAUGAUUGAUGCACCACCUUUCUCUCACAGACUACAACACUUCCCCAACUGUAAGAUUCUUUAGAGCAAUUCCUCUGAUUCCAAGUGAAUUCUUUCCAAAGUUCCUCUCUGGCUCUCCGAUUGGAUUCCUCCUUUGUUGUCUGCCUUCCUCCAGUGACUGCAUCCCUAUAUGAACCUUGAACACCGGCUCCCGACAUAUUUCCUCUCGGUUCCAACCCGAUUCAUCUUCCUCAUUGUAGUCCCCGUCUUCUUUCCCCCUUGCAAUAUUUCAUACAUCAGCUCCUCCAGAUUUCUCCAUCCGAUACCUUUAAAACCUUUUGGAACGAAAAUAUUUCUGACAAAACCAUCCUUUUCAGUUUUGGAAAGGACAAGGACCUCCCCAUUUCUGUUCUGAAAUCCUUCAACCCAAAACUGAUAGUUGUGACCUUUGUAUUUUCGGAAGAAGUUCAAACCACCUGUGGCAAUGACCGCCUUUAACUGCUCAAUGAUCCACGCUGCACAACCCAGAUCAAAAGAUAUCUGAUAUCCUCUGGUUCUCGUUCUCUCUGUUACCCGAAUCCUUUCGCCAAAAGACUUCUCUUCAAUCUCUAAAAUGAAAACCUUGUGCUCAACUUUAAAAUCCCUGGAUAAGUGUCUGUAGCUCAUCUUCCUCGAGUAUAAGUUUUACUCGGCAGCACUACAUGCUUAUUUUUAUAGACUUGUGAAGAUUGAUAAUCUGUUCUAGUUUAUAUUGGCUGCUUAUAUUUAUUGGCAGACACGGGCAAAUGCAGACCAGAGGCAGACUGGUUUCCUUGGUCGGGCAGAGUUUUACAAUGCCCGUAGACUUGUCACUGUGGCUCAAAGUAAGAGAGAACUUACGCCAUAAAUGGUGAGGGUAGCACUAUGUGGCCUGGCUGCAGUAAAAUACCUGCACCCAAGAUAAAUUUGCAGUGACUCAUGCACCGCAGUUCAAUUAUUCUGCAGCCGCACCUGCCUGUCAGGGUGGUGCUGUCACUCCGACAUCCUCGCAAAAUUUUGGGUUCAGGGGGUCGCAAAUACCACCUCAGUGUAAUUCUGCUGGAGCAGCACCUGCCACUCGGGGUGGUGUUGUCAAAAUCUUGGGUUAAGGGGAUUACCUGCGAGUGUGAGUGUGAACAAGAAAAUUUUCAUUUCUCAAGAUGGCAAGGCCACUAGGCCUCCAGUGCCUCCAUCUAGUUCUGAUUCCCAUCCCACACAGGGUGUUGUUGCCCAAGGCUUUCCCAGGGGAGGUUCAGUGGGUGAUCCUCAACCACAAAACUCAAGCAUGUUGAACGUUGGUGGAAGGACAGGUGGAGCAAUGACCGGGAUACUCUCACAAGUUGUAAACAAAGGGAUCACUCCAUCUGCAACACAGGAUGUAUUUGGGCUGGCAACAUCAGAGGAGGUUAAUAAAGUUCAAAGAAGCAACCAAUGCUGAUAAAAAGGUACUUAGAACUUUAAUGUUUCCCCAAUUUUUUCAUCAGGAGCCGCAAAGUUAUGUGUGCAUGUUACUUCCUGAUAAGUGUCAAAUCAUAACAAAUAUCCCAAAGACUUGAAGAAAGAAAUUUUGGAUGCUGGAGAGAAUUGAAUAUUUCCGGGUGUUGACCCUAGAAACUACAAAGCCUACGUGGCGCGCAGGCCGAGUAUAUUCUAAGCUAACUACGUCCUUCGGUGAUUGCGGGGCGUGCCAACUCGUCGGCCGAGGCUCGGCCGAGGAGUAAAUUUGAUGAUGCUGCGUUGGGUCGCGCUACUGACUUCUGCGUCUUGCGAUUGCGGCCGAGAAAGGAACACGUCUCGGCCUCUUGGGUUCUCGAGCCUGAAGACAAGGCUGCUAUUUCUUACAAAGUUCACGAACCGAAUUCGGCUUGCAAUGUGCCGAAUGUAAUAACUGUGACACCUCACCUCGCCGAGAAGGCUAAUGAGAUAACCUCGACCAACAAGGAUUCGAAAACCCUUCUCGACCGAGACUUGGAUAGGUAAUCGACCGUUCUCGCCGCAGUGCUGUUGAUGCCAACGGAAGAUACUGCGAGACCGACCGACUCUACGGUGACAGAGCUAUCUAUGCCGACUUAAGAUAUCACCGGUUGCUUCCACAGUGCUGUUGAUGCCAACGGAAGAUGUGUCAGCGAAAAAGGAAAAGAAAAAGAUCUCAAGUUGUGAGAGUUUGCGCAGGGCAAUUUUGUAUUGAUUUUGUGUGUUUCUUCGUUGCUACUGCCUUUGUAUUUAUAGGGAUGUGCUGCCGAGUAUUGCGUGAGAAUUUCUUGACGUGGAUCAGACUCUUAUUUCAAAUUCCCAUAUCUGACGUGACUUGAUCUUUAAAGGAUUUGAUCUUUGGUGACGUGGCUUCACCACUUGCUUUCCUCCAUCCAUCUUCACGGAACCAACCCAAGAAAUAAGCAUUAAAAACCUAGCCUACCUUAUCAUCACAUCACCAAAAAGACCUACUUUCCUAGGCUUCCUUUAAAUGAAUAUUAAAUUCAUUUUAUCUCAUAAUUUCAUCCCAUCCAUGCAUCAUGCAUGCAUCUCAACAAACCAUCUUGAUCGAUUCCAAGCUACGUGCUCAACAACAUUUAUCCACCAUUUAUCACCCACUUUUAAAUGGAUAAUAACAAUAAAAUACUCCGAUGCUCUAAUCUACCUCACGUUUAAAUCCCAAGAACCCCAAAUUAAAUAGAACUGUACUGCUCACUUUGAAGAUAUAAUUUGCACCUCAUCUUGUACAAGAAAAAAUCAAGAUAAUUUUUUAAACGAUAAAUAUUAUGAUAAAAUCAUAAUAUUAUCCUUUAACAAUAAAAAUUAUCUCCACUUUUCCAUCCGACGGUUGAGAACUACGUUUACUCAACGGCCUUGAUUACAUGGGCCGAUGAUGUAAAUUUGGGUCCAAACAUUGCCCCCCAGUUUCCUUGAACUUCGGCUCGUAAGUCGAAUGAUCAUGGAAAUUAUUCAUCAACGCAUAUCAAAAUCUUUCUCAACUUUGGCUAGAUGGCUUUGAAACUCACAACUCCGCCGAAUGACUAGGAAAAAUAUAUUGCCGAGAACUAUUGAGGAACCACCGCCGAAUACAAAUUUACUCGGCAGAAGCUAAAAUAUUUAUCAUCACCUCUGUUCUGCCAAUGUCAUGAUCUUCCUCUGCCAGUGUCGUGAGCUACCGCAGCUCUCGACUGUUUUAAAAAAAAUUGGGGCCGAGGUUGAGCAAAAUUUUCCAUAGCAGCUCGGCCUACCUAUAUAGAUAUAUAUAUUGAGCCGAGGUCGAGAAGCUUGAAACGAAUAAUAUCACCAUAUUUGAGUCACAUCAAAUCUUUCUACUUCACCACAUCAUGUCAGGGAAAGUGGAAUAAAAAUUUUAAAUCCACCUUUCUUUGACUGGUCGACCAACUUAUUAGUGGGCAAAUAUAAGACCGAGAAAAUUUUCGUCGCGCUCGACCAACAACCCUCGGUCACCAUUCCUUGAUUGAAUGCCACUGAUCAAAUCAUAUAUUUAUCGUCGAAUGAUAACAGCCGAAGGUGAGAAAAAAUGUGCACCAUCUAUGAGAUAGCAGAAAGGCUGCAACAGAGAGUAGAGAGCAGAGCCGAGAGCAGAGCCGAGAGCACCAGAUUAGCAGAAAAGAAGAGAAAAUUACCACAGCUUUCACUACCGAGAAGAAAAGGAUGCCGCGUAUAUAUAUAUAAGUAGCCUGAUGUCUGAUGUGAUCGGCCAGCCGUGUAGUUGGCAUAUAUAUAUAUAUAUAUCUUUCCUUCUUGAUAAUAGCACCCCAAAGCAAGCGGUAAAGCUCCAUCACAUCUUUUCUUCUCUCUCUCUUUUAGUCAACCACUUUUGCCAAAAUACCUGCCACCCUUAGGUCUAGGCUUUAGGCUUAAAGCCUGUCUUCAGUUUGGACCUUUCAAAGCCCCAUACUUAUAUAUAUAUUCAUGAAAAUUCGGCCAAAAAGUAGUUACAUAUAAUAUAUAUAUAUAUAAGUUUUGACCGAGGCCGAGGUUUUGUAAGCAAAGUCCACAAAUAAAUGUAUUCGGCCAAAAUAAUCAAACAAGUGUAUUCGACCAAAUUUUUAUUCGGCCUCGGCCUAGACGGCCGAAAUGCUUUUUUUUUUUUUUUUUUUUUUUAAAUCAGCCUCUUUAUAUAUGCUCAUCCUCGGCGAGAAAAAAAAAAUUUAAACCGCCGAUUAUAUCUGUGUUACCCCCUUAUUUUCUUAUGCAUCGGCUUGCAUAGCCGUAUGUUUAAGAAAAUAAUUUAUUAUAUAUAUAUAUAUAUUUUUUUUUUAGUAGACAAAGAAAAGUGGCCGAAUCAUAAUCAGGAGGAGGCCAACAAUGCUUUAUUCCAAACCGAGAUUUUUGUAUAUCAACACAGCCAAUCAAAUUUUGCAUUGAGCCGAAUAAAAAAUGAUCUCCAAAUAUUUCUGACUUGGUGAAAUAUUUUUUAUUUUCGGCCGCCGAAUGUGUUGAACAAUUAUUAUGCCCCCCAGGCAUAAUUUCGGCUUUUAAUUCAAAUAACUUGGCCGAAUGAGAUUCCUCCUUAUCGGCUUCAUCACUAAUAAUCAUAUCGAUUGGCGUGGUUUUUCUGGCUAGGCCUAUGUCUUGGCCUUGUUCGUCAUUGGAGCAUUUUUCUGGCGAAUCAUUUUUUGAGUCAAUUUGUGGCUCAGAAACUUUAACUUUUUCUUCUAGGCCUACCACACUUUCAAUCUCGACCGAAAAAAUAGGUGGCCUAGGUUUUUCUUCUUGGCUGACCAUAUUUUCAGCCUCGACCGAAAAAAUAAGUGGCCUUUGUUCUUCGGCCAAAUUAACAAUUUUCUUAGGCCGAUGUCUGAUUACGGCCGGAGCGAAAAAUUGCCCCCCGGCCUUUGGGCCUAACCAUUUUUCAAAUGGAAUCGAUCUGUAAUCAGAAACAUAAGGAAAAUUUUCUUCAUCUAGCCAGGCAUUAAAUCGAGCCUUGUCUUCAUUUACCCAUUGCCCUUGCAGGGUAACAGGAGCUUUUAUUUUCAACAUGCAAGCGAAUGACUUUUGCAUCUCUUUAUGGCCACGAAGAACUUUUUCUGCUUCCAAAGAUUUUUUACAUUCCUCAUUAUGUUUUUUCAAUUCCUCCAGGAGCUCGUACAAUCGGCUACGUUGAGCCAAAUUGGAAUCUUGAUAUAUCAUAUGAACUUCGUAGUAUUAGCACUGGGUCCCACUGGGCGUGCCAAAAUGUUGACCCUAGAAACUACAAAGCCUACGUGGCGCGCAGGCCGAGUAUAUUCUAAGCUAACUACGUCCUUCGGUGAUUGCGGGGCGUGCCAACUCGUCGGCCGAGGCUCGGCCGAGGAGUAAAUUUGAUGAUGCUGCGUUGGGUCGCGCUACUGACUUCUGCGUCUUGCGAUUGCGGCCGAGAAAGGAACACGUCUCGGCCUCUUGGGUUCUCGAGCCUGAAGACAAGGCUGCUAUUUCUUACAAAGUUCACGAACCGAAUUCGGCUUGCAAUGUGCCGAAUGUAAUAACUGUGACACCUCACCUCGCCGAGAAGGCUAAUGAGAUAACCUCGACCAACAAGGAUUCGAAAACCCUUCUCGACCGAGACUUGGAUAGGUAAUCGACCGUUCUCGCCGCAGUGCUGUUGAUGCCAACGGAAAGAUACUGCGAGACCGACCGACUCUACGGUGACAGAGCUAUCUAUGCCGACUUAAGAUAUCACCGGUUGCUUCCACAGUGCUGUUGAUGCCAACGGAAGAUGUGUCAGCGAAAAAGGAAAAAGAAAAAGAUCUCAAGUUGUGAGAGUUUGCGCAGGGCAAUUUUGUAUUGAUUUUUGUGUGUUUCUUCGUUGCUACUGCCUUUGUAUUUAUAGGGAUGUGCUGCCGAGUAUUGCGUGAGAAUUUCUUGACGUGGAUCAGACUCUUAUUUCAAAUUCCCAUAUCUGACGUGACUUGAUCUUUAAAGGAUUUGAUCUUUGGUGACGUGGCUUCACCACUUGCUUUCCUCCAUCCAUCUUCACGGAACCAACCCAAGAAAUAAGCAUUAAAAACCUAGCCUACCUUAUCAUCACAUCACCAAAAAGACCUACUUUCCUAGGCUUCCUUUAAAUGAAUAUUAAAUUCAUUUUAUCUCAUAAUUUCAUCCCAUCCAUGCAUCAUGCAUGCAUCUCAACAAACCAUCUUGAUCGAUUCCAAGCUACGUGCUCAACAACAUUUAUCCACCAUUUAUCACCCACUUUUAAAUGGAUAAUAACAAUAAAAUACUCCGAUGCUCUAAUCUACCUCACGUUUAAAUCCCAAGAACCCCAAAUUAAAUAGAACUGUACUGCUCACUUUGAAGAUAUAAUUUGCACCUCAUCUUGUACAAGAAAAAAUCAAGAUAAUUUUUUAAACGAUAAAUAUUAUGAUAAAAAUCAUAAUAUUAUCCUUUAACAAUAAAAAUUAUCUCCACUUUUCCAUCCGACGGUUGAGAACUACGUUUACUCAACGGCCUUGAUUACAUGGGCCGAUGAUGUAAAUUUGGGUCCAAACACCGGGUCAAAGUGUCGUUCAGCCAUCGAACUUGUAAUGUAUCUUUUGUGUUUCAUUUCUUUGUGUAUGCAUCUUGCUUCUUUUUCAUUCUUUUUUUUUAUUAUUAUUCCUUUAUCUUGUAGCGGGGGGUAUAAUUUUUCUCCUUCAUUUUGGAAUGUCCCUAGUCGUAUUGAAGCGAAGGCCCCUAUAGUUUUAUCGUUGUUACAAAUUUGAUGAUUGUAUUAUUGAAUUGGGGCUGUGCCUUUCUUUUUUCAGCCUUAAUUUGCUGUAAUUUUUUACCCUCUCUAAUAAAAUUUGUUUUGCUGAUCUUUGUUUGCUUCAAGCAAGAACGCUGACUUUUGCCAGUGUUACUGCGUUCGGGCCAUUCAUAUUUUUUGCUUAUUGCAGUUCAGCCAUUAAACUAUCGUGUAUUUUUGUUGUGUCGAAAGUUCAAACUAUCGUGGCUUGGUCAUGAGAUUUUUACUUUGCCCUGGCCUGGCGUAUUAAUUAGUCCAAGUUUAUGAUAUAAAGGCAAAUUUCAAGAUGUCGCUGGACUCAUAAAUCAAGUUUUAAAGAUAACAAAUAGAAUGUUACACACUUGUCAAUAACUUGCGCUUUAUAAUGUAUAAAGUAUAAACAAUACUAAAAUAAUGAAAGUCUUGCCUAUAUGUUGUCUUAUUUCUUGGACAGACAAGUGAGCUCUCAAAGUAAAAUUUUCCCCAAAAGUUUUUCCAAAUUCUAUUGGAUAAUGAUGCAUAGGAUUGUUGGAUUAAAAAGUCCGAAUCAUAUUCAGUUCCACUGACUUCGAACCCAUAGGACCCAUAUUCAUGACUAUCAUUUGCUUCAGACUCCACUUGAUCCACAGGCUUCAGGCUCAUCUCUUGAUCGACCACCUUCGGAAUCGUCAUCUUGUCUCGUUUCUUCUACUUUUGGUUCCGUCGACAUGAAGACAUGAUCAAAUUUGAAUUUCUCAGCAUCUUCGGCAUACAACGGGGAUAUACCACAACUUAACACUCUCAUAUGAACGGGGGAAAUGGGUUCGCCGAAACUAUCCAGCGCCCAGAAGUAAACAGAGGCCUCAUUGGCAAGUUUGUAAUCAGGGGAGAUACUAAUGUCCACACUCCACACAAGCACGUGACUUUGGUAGUAUCUCUUCCUGGCGUGUGGGAUAUAUAAUCCAGUGCACAGUUUAUGGCUUUCACCCAUGAAUUUGACACAGAAAUUAGCUUCUACUUUGAAGGAAUCCUCCCACACUGCAAGCUUCCCCCAAAUAACAGCAGACAUAGCGAAACCAAAUACACCUGUUUCAAACCAAUCUGGAAGAAGCUUGAUGUUUACUGAAGAUCCCUCACUUUGAUAGCUGAACCAAUUUGGAAUUUUAUCUCCCGGACAUACAACACUAAUUUGAGGCCAAGGACUGUCCUUUGAUGGAGCACUAGUUGCCAUAAUUCUAAUCUGUGCUUCUUCCAUUAUGUCGCUCCUUGCAUCAUUAUCCAAUUUUAGGCAAUUAGUAAAAUCUUUGAAAAAAUCAUGAUGUUGAACCCAACCUUGUGUGAGUGCUGUCCUUGUACUUGACAGUGUCUUCAGCGACGUGCAGCCUUCAGCGUCAACACUACAUAGCACUGGGAGCUCUGGUAAAGAUUGAAGCUGCUUGCAGGCGACUAAGCCGAGUUCAGACAACCGAGAAGCUUGUUUGAUGCUUGCAGGUAUGCUCCUAACCUUGGUUCCACUCAGAUUUAAUUUUUGCAAUGCGGUUGAGCAAACGAGACCAUCAGGGAGCAUUUCGAUAGCUGUCCCUUGCAAACUAAGAGACGCCAAAUGUUCCAUUGGCUCCAAGAUCUCUGGGAAGUUCUUAAGUUGAGAGCAGCCAGAGAGAUUGAGUUCCUUCAGAUAUUUCAACUUACAAAUGUUGGUUGGUAGACUCACGAGUCUCUUGCAAUAAACCAAUGAUAAUUUACUUACAUCCCUAGGAAGCUCAGAAAACUCGCCAAGAGAUGUGCAACGAUUUACAUUAAAACAACCAGAGAUUUUCAUCUCACACCUAUUGCUUGGAAGUUUCUCAAGGUUAUAGCAUUUACUUAUAUUCAAGUAAGAAAUGUUUUCGUUAGACCAAAUUGAUUUGGGCAACUCUUUUAUACAUUGCCUCCUAAAUCCAAGUAUUGAAUUUCUUGGCAUCUCUGGAAGAUACUUGAGACUCCUGCAGCCUCCAAGAUCAAGAUGAGUAAGCUUGUCAAGAUGUUGAAAAUACAUUGGAACUUCAACCAAACUUGAACAGCUAGAGAGGUCCAUCUUCACAAUUUUUAGACUCCCAGAGAGAUUUGGAACUUCAGUUAGAUUCUUAGAGUGACGCAGAUUGAUAACUUGUAAGUUGACAAGUAUCUGCAACAAAUGAAAUAGAAAUAUAAAGAAUUAAUAUAACUUCUACACUUGAUUUUAUACAAGAAUAAUAGGCAUAUAAUAUAAUAUACCUGCUCUUCUUUCCAAAG